UUUUUUUUUUUUUUUUUUUUUGUCUUGGGGGGCGGGGGGUGGGGUGGGUUGUAUAUAUAUAUAUAUAUAUAUAUAUAUAUAUAUAUAUUCGGUUGACUGGGUUAUGUAAUGCGGAUUUCCGUCUCCCAUCUGGGUUAUGAAAUUUGUUCUAGUGUAUUUUUAUCUGUCGUUUUAUUAUCCCCAUACAGUAUUAAUUAUUUUUUUCACAAUUUUACCCUUUUAUCUCUCUUUUUCAACACAGGGUUCUUAAUUACUACUCCUAGUUUGGUGGGAGUUAGUUUGCAUUGCUUUUGGCCUAGUAAAACAGCACCAUUUAGUACUCUAGUGAGAGAAAACAUGGGUGAAUUAGACAAUUAAUGAGGGUACAAAAGGAAAGUAGUGUACAGAUUUAAGCAAUGAAAAACUUUUCUUAAUUGGUGUGUAAAACCUUAAACGUCAGUUAUAAAAAAAAGGAAGGGAGUAUUAGGUUGUGUUUGGAUUGCAUUUUCUGUGAUUUUUUAUGGAAAAAUUACUGUAGCGAUUUGAUGUAUUGUGAGGAAAAAAGAUAAUAGAAAAAUGUGAUCACGAAAAAUGACGUAAUUUUUCGACGGAAACUGGCAAUCCAAACAAGUUCUAAUUACUACUGCUACUACUUACGUUAUGUCCGAGAAGGGGCCUUGAAGACAACACCAGCAAGUAGUGAAGUGGGAAAAGGCGCAAAAGUCUCUGUCAAAUAGAGAUAGAUAAAACAAAAACGUUGCUUUCAAUAAUAUCUUGGACCGUAAAUACCAAUAUGGUCCAGGUCUAACCCACGUGAUGUUGCUGAGUAUUAAAAAUCCUAAGUCUCCUUCUUCGAUUUUUUUUUUUUUAAUAUCACAUUUUAGCAAACCUUUUUUUUUUUUUUUUGGUUUGGGUCAAAAGGAAUGCAAAGGCCGUCACCGAAAAACAAGUAAGUAAUUCCACAAGGAGAAAUAAUUUUCCGAAGGAAACUCUGAAAAGCCUUGGCCUCUCAGUCUCUUUCCGAAACACACGACGGUUUUGCUUGCAAAUUUCUGUUUCGGGCCUGCCUCACACGCACAGCUAAUUCACCCAUUCUAUUCUCUAUGCAUCCCUUUUUGACAAUUGUCAAUGCCAAGUACUUCAUUUAUUUAGUACUACAAAGUACUUGUCUUUUCAAACUCAAUCGUGCCAGCGAGAGAACCUCGUUUUAAGGUUGUAGGCAAAGUUUUUUGCUGGAUUUGUUUGCAUUGACGAUUAUUUGGGGGAAAAAUUACUAUAAUAACUGUUGAUAUCGCUUGUGAUGUGAUGUGAUACCUAAGUAUAUGUGAAGUGAGAAGAUAGUUAACAAAAUUUUAAAUAAAAAAAUGACAAAACCGUGUUUGAGGAACAUCUAAAUUCUACAUUACUCCUUUUGAAACAAAUGUUGGAAAAAAAGUUUUAGGAAAAUUACGUUUCUCCAACUAUAUUUUUAUUACACAAACACCAUUUUCCAAAAAAAAAAAAAAAAGGAAAAGUUGUCAGAGUGAAAAUUCCCUGAAAAGCAACCCUCCAAAUGGAAUUUAUUUUUGGAAAAGCAAUUGACGUAAAUCGUGUGGUACAGAGCCUCUGUUUUUUCAUCUAAACAAUUACUUAUGUGGUAUGAACAGAUUUACAUUAUUGUUCUCAGCUCAGAUUUUGUCAUUACCCAUUAAAAAGUGAAAAUUGUCACGGUCAUAAGUAUAGAACGGGCUAAUUUCCCCUUGUAUUGUUGAAGAAAACAAAGAUCAAGAAAGUGUGGUCUUGACACGGGUUAUUAGGAUUUCAAUUUAGAAUGCUCACACAUUCCAAUCAUUGUUCCUGCGUCUCUCCAUAUUAGUAUUGCCUUUUGUCGACUAAAACGUUGUUGGAUGAAGUUCCGACAUCAUCGUGGAUUCCGCGUUGUCGUCGAGCUGCAUGCACCAUUAUAUUUGUUCUGUAAAUCUGUUAGAAUGAAAUGGACCGCUGCUUUUGCAUCAAAAUCAGUCGCACUGGAACUUCCAGCAAAUUCUGUCCAAUUUAAAGCACAUCCAUCGAGUUGAGCAGUACCACGACGGAGCAGCGCUUGAAAUAUGGUUGUGGUGGUCUAUGGCAGUCGAGUUUCCUAUGAUUGCCUUCUACGUAUCUCAGAUUUGAGACAAAUAUGUUUCCGCAUUAAUUGUCUGAAGAUUUCCAGCCAACCGAAUUACUCUAGAAUUCAGAUCUUAAGUCACUUUCACGCAUUGCGAAUUAUUUUUUGUUUGAGAUGGAUCCCCAAGACCAAGAUUGUUCAUCGCCUUAUAGUAUUCCUUUUGCUUGGCUAAGCAUUUCUCUACUCAAAUCCUGCAAAUUGAUCAUCGGCAGUUUUCUUUCAUCUUUUCUUUUGAACCCAUGCCACGUAUUUCAACCCCCUGUUGAUUGGUUUUUUUUUUUUAUCGCAACGAUAACAUUUGUAUAAUCUACUCUAAGGAAAAGAGGAGAAGCUGACGAAAUUUUUCGGUCAACCAUCAUUAAGUGGCAAGGUGAAUCCUUGACCUUCCAUCCCCUAUUGAUUGGUUGCUUCCUCAAUUGUUGUCUAACUGCCUUUUUUUCAACUCCAGUAAAUGACUUUUUGUUGAAAUAAUUAAAUCCAAUCCCAGAUUAACCUCUAAAAGUCGGAACCCUUGAAGUCAACCCAAGGACUUAACUACCCAAUCCAAACCCCCCGGAAUCGAUGUGGGACUACUAAACUAGGACUGUAGAGCGCCUGCUGCUAAGUGUUGUCUAGCUGCCUUUGACAUCAUCAAAUUCCUCUACCAACGUCAAACCUCAAAAGAAGCACUCGGGCCACUUUUGAAUGGGCUACUAUUGUAGUAGCAGUGUGAGAGACGAACGGGAGCAUUGUACGGGCUCGAAAGAUGGCAUAGAUAUGCUACCUCUGAUUUGUAGGCCUUUUAAUCCACUAGAAAUGGGCUCAACGAAGUCCAAGAAAAUGUACCAACCGUUGAUCUCAUCAGGGUCAAGAGCCUCAUGCUACGUCACCGUUUCAUCUUCUUUCGGUGGAAACUGGAAAGUUCUCCCGCCACAUAAAAAUUUCCUGCCAUCGUUGCCCCGAUCCCCAUCCCGCGCUUCGGUCUCUCUCUCUAAAGCCUAAAGCCAUGGCGACGACGAUAUCUCCUCCGCCGCAAACACUAAUAUUAAAACGAUCGUCAAUUUCCACUUCCGUUUGUUUUCCGUCAUCUCAAAGGCUAGUGUCAGCACCCCAGACUUGUUCAGUUUCAGUUAACUCUGUCAGUUCAAUCCAUUUCCCAAAAUCCAAAAGGCUAAAUCGUUCUCCGGCUAGAGCUCAAGCCUCCUCGGUUGCUUCUUUUUCCCAGAAUGUCGGGGAUUUGCUGGGUGAUGUCAGCAUCUUCACCGCCACCGGCGAGCCCGUCAAGUUCAAAGACCUCUGGGAUCAAAAACAGGUAAUUCACCCACACUUAAAUUUAUACUGGUGGAGUAGUUUUUUACGCUUUUUUUAAAAUUUUGAGAAUUACAACAUUAGCUAUGCGCUUUUAUCAGAUGAUGAUCAUUGACCGUUAGUUCCUAAUUUUACCGCCAGCGCUUCUUUUUUUUUUUUUUUUUAUAAAUAAUUUUAACUAAAAUCACACUGCCCUAUUAUUUAACCCAUGAUAUCCUGAUUUUAUUUUUUUAAUUGGUAAUUGUCUUUUAGUCUAAUUCUCGAUCAGGGGAUUUUUGCUAAAUCUUCCUUUUUUGUUUCUAGGGAAUGGCAGUUGUUGCUCUGUUAAGGCAUUUUGGGUGUCCUUGCUGGUAAGCACGGAGCCAUGCAAGCAAAUGCUAUUUUCUGUGAUGGUUGCCUGCUUGAUCUUCACACUGGUGCUUUUUAAUGGCUUUCUUUGUUCACAAUCAUUUAGCUGGGAACUUGCUUCAGUACUUAAAGAAUCAAAAGAGAGAUUCGACUCUGCUGGCGUGAAGCUAAUUGCUGUUGGUGUUGGUGCGCCCAGCAAAGCUCGCAUUCUUGCUGAGAGGGUUUGUCUCUUGCAUUUCAUAGCCGCCUUUUUUUUUUUUUUUUGGUUAACAUGAACUUCAAAAGAUUUCUCUUAACAUUUAUUACUUCGAAGAGUCUAAACUAUUUACUAUGUGAAAUAGGAUUGACGUUGGGUUCGAUUAGGAUGUUUAGAUGGUAGCUUGACGUAUAUUUGACAUCCAUGAUCUAAAUUCUGGAUUAUAACUAAGCCUGGUGUCAAGUUACUGCAAAACAAGAAACAAAGAGUGCAGUAAAUCGCACCAGAUUGCACUAUCUGCUCUUAUGAUUUCUUCAAGAAACUCGAGACCUUUUUGCAGUCGUUUUUCAAAAGGAUUUUGGUUUGCCAGUGUUCAAAAUGUUGGAUAUGUCAUAAGCGUGCAGAAAUGAUUCUUGUGAAUAAGCAAUGGAGUUCAUUUUGUCUGCCUGUGCCACAUUUGGUUGUGCACCAUUUCUUGCCUCCUUGGUUAGGAUGUCUGGCUGGAAUGGCAGAAUGGGACUUGCCUCCUGAGUUUCAUGGAAGCUUAUCCACUUAUGGAGGCCUAGUGUAUCAAUGGUUAUUCCUAACCGUACCUGUCCAUGGUUUUCAGUCUGUUUUAGGUCAUAUUUGGGCAAUUAAACUUGCAAUUUGGCAAGGCUGCCAGCAAUAUAACUGCUGAUUGAUUAAGAUUGUGAGGCUGAGUUAUUCUAUAAAGAUGAGAUUCUACACUGGAUUUCUUUAAUGUGUAAUAUGCUGGCAUGGGGUUUGUAUCAUUUUAAAGUAUAGUUGAGUAUAUAUGAAAAGGAUCCAACGAUCCAUUUCUUCAGCAUCAUUUUGCUCUGAGAAAGAUUGUUUUGUCGAUUAUUUCCACAAUUUGAUUUCAAGUAGUUUUUCAUGCUAUUGUUUGAGCUGAUGCUUCUGGUAAUGUUCUUGUAUGGCCAGUUACCAUUUCCAAUUGAUUGCCUCUAUGCUGACCCUGACCGUAAGGUAAUAGCUUGUGUGUUCUCAGUUAUUGCCAGUUCAAUUUCUUCCGUUUGCCAUCCUAACUCUGAUGCUUUGUAUCUCAGGCAUAUGAUGUCUUGGGCUUGUAUUACGGUGUCGGUCGAACAUUUUUCAACCCCGCAAGUGUAAUAUUUUCUGUUGUCUUAUUAUCGUUAGUAUUUUUGGUAAAAUGGGUUUAUCAUCAAAACUAGCGUUUUUGGUAAAUUCUUUUUGGACCCUGACCUAACAGGCUAAAGUUUUUUCAAGAUUUGAGACUCUACGAAAUGCUGUAAAGAACUACACUAUUGAAGCCACCCCAGAUGAUAGAAGUGGAGUCUUGCAACAGGUUUGAGCUCGUAACCUUUAGGGUCCCAGAUCAAUGUUACUCUUCUCUCAACAUUUUGAUUUUCUCUUGAUUAGGGAGGGAUGUUUGUAUUCAGAGGAAAAGAAUUGCUAUAUGCUCGGAAGGAUGAAGGGACCGGUGACCAUGCUCCCUUAGAUGACAUCAUUAAUAUCUGCUGCAAAGUCCCCAUUUCAUGAAGUCUUUCUCUGCUCUCUCUCUUCUAAAAUGGUGCUUUCUGGUGUAUCUGUCAUUAUUAAAGUUAGAUAACCAAUAUCUAACGGCUGUUUUUUAUAAUGCCUUCAGCAUAGCACUUACCAUUUUUUCUGUUGUCUGUUCACUAUAGUGUGAACUGCUCUCCAUCUCGCGCGCAUAUGUAAUCAUGUAAAAUUUUGUGUAUAUCGCCCCCGAGGUAGUCCGAUUGGUUCCGUAGUUUGAUAGUUACUAGCAGGUCUCGUGAUCGAUCCUCGUGUGCUACCUCACUGUGUAUCCUUGGGGCAAGGCUCUACACAAUUUUCGAAAAUUAGUCUGGUCGAAAGGAUGGAAUAUCCUUAAGUGAGAGAAAGAAAGUGUAUGUAUAUCGCUGUUCUGUUCUUGAAAUUACUAACUAAAGACUCUUGAGAAUAAUUUUACAGGCUGGGUAAGCUUAAGUAUGUCCGCAUAGUCUUUUUGCGCUUGCCCGGACUGUUAUUGAUGCACUAAGCUUCACGGUCACUGUUAUAGCUACAACAGAAAAUGGAUAGCUGUAUAUGUGAAGCGAGCUACUUGAAUACGCUCAAGGACGUGCAACUGUGCAAGCAUACUCAUGGGUUCCGGCGGUGGAAAACUAAAAACUGUGAAUAGGAUUAAGACGUGAUAGUUUCUCGGAUCAGAUGAUCCCUUUGUUUUUUUUUUCUUUUUAAAUGUUCAGAAGAAAUGGAUGAUAGUAUUUGAAUUACUAAACAAGUUUGACAUCGUCAUUUAGUCCAAACCACUACAUAAUCCUAACAAGAAGCUAAAUGCAAGCUGAAUGGAUCUUUAGUGAUGCAUUUCCAGACUACCUUUUCAUCUCUUACCCCAAAAAAAAAUGGUAUUGUCCCUUUUUAAAUAACUGGCCCUUGAAUUCUGUGGUUCCAAGUUCAUUGGAAAUAGAUAUCAAGAUAAACUUAAAUAGUGUGAAUCUUUCCAUUCUAAUAAUGUAGAGGAAGUCCAUUUCCUGGUUGCGAAAGAGAAAGCCCUCCUGAAUGGCAAAAUGGAACCAUUUCCAAGGACGUGCAAGCAGAGACAUGAAAGGCACUUGCGCCCAAAAUGGGUGACGGAUGUAGAAUCUUCUUUGAAUGAAAGCAACCCCACCCUGAGAUACAGAGUGGUCUUGUUGGCAAAAUUUUGCUAUUCCACUCGCAUUCAGAUUGUAGAGGACCAGAGGUAUCCUCGGAUUGGAUACUAUUUUAGGUUACCUUUCUUUGCCUGGUGAGAUAAAAAAAAAAAAGAAGUUAUUAAUGCAGCAUCCUUCGCAUAUUUUGGGUUUUGGCUCUUCAUGUAUCUGGAAGAGAGCAAGAAUAAUGACACUCCAAAACUGUAGUUUAAUCACCUGAAGAGUGAAGUCUAUCAUUUCUUACAAGAAAGAUAAAAGUUUUACUGUGAUUCAUCGUAAUUACAAACAUUGAAUUUGAUUAGGAAAGUGAUACUGAGAAUUGAGCCUUUUACAGCUGCAACAGAAUUAUAACAUCCUAAAUUGAACCAAAUAAAGGGUCCUUUUUGGAAAAUCGAAGCUUGACCAUAUCACAUUUAAGCCCACAUCAGAAUGCAGCCUCACGUUCGUUGGAGCUUUUUAUGAAUUUGUGAUGGAAAAUCAAAUGAGGUUGUCCUGUAUGGUCCAUGCAAGUCUAAGGUCCCCCAGAGUUCAUAUCAUACAACUAAAAGAAAGCAAAAAGGAAGACUAAUAGUACUAAGUGUACUGACAGUGCACGCGAAGGUGCUAUGGACGAAUGAAAUUUACGAUUGCCCUUUUUUUUUUCCUUUUUUUUUUUUGGGGUUUUUGGGGUUUCUUUGCAAAAUGCAAAGGUAUUGGUAUGAUGAGCCAAUUGCCAUUUUGGAUCUAGAUGGUAGAUAGAGAGAAUCUUAGGUGAAUGUGACAAGACACACAUGCCGUAGAAGAUGACAUUUCACACACACUCAGUGUAGUGUGAGACAGAGAGGAGAAACUGAGAAAGAGAGAGAGAGAGAGAGCAAAUAAAGAGAAUGAGGUUAAAAGAUUUGCUGUGGUGAGAGAGUUACAAACGAGGGGGACUUUAAUGGUGUAGAGAUAGGUCUCUCUCUGGGAGCUUAAAAGGGCAAGCAGCUGCUAGCCCUUUUGUUCUCAUGCAGAACCGCAGGCCACACCCAUUGGGCUCUGUGGUCGUUCUCAGCUAAGUUGCUAUCCAUCAUCUACUUUUUCUGUUGACUCCUCCUCCUGCCCAAUGCCCAUAGCUGUGAUCUUAUUUAGAUUUUGUGUUCCCACCUGAAUUCUGAAACCAAUCCGCAUCCUCUUUAAAGUGCACUGCCAUGGACUCUGCCUUUAUUUUUUUUUUUCCAAGUUAAAAUCGCUGAUUCCUUCUCUACCAUGAAUUCCCUGACAGCAACAUACGUGUUUCAAAUUUGUUUAUAACCAAGACAAAGUUUGUUCGUUAAAAAAGAAUCAAGAUUUGCCUGGGAUUCAAGUAUAUACUGUUGUCUUUUCUAACAUAUUUCAUUAGCAAAACGAAGCUGAAUUAGCAGAAUUUUGAUGAUAAAGUCACCGUCGGCCAACAGCAUGCAAGUAUAGUUUGCUGGCUAAUAUGGCAAAUAAUAUUUCAUGUAAGUCGGCACGUAGGAUAUGCGCCAGGCCAAGCGGGUAGAGUCGCAUAAUCAGAGAAUUUAGAUGAAAAUCCAUCGAAGCCGGCUGACGUAACGUGACAUUAGUAUAUGCCAUUGCACUAUAGCAUAUGCUCCCUGAAUACGUAAAACAAGAGGCAAUAUUGGCGGAGUAAACAUAGAUCUUCAUCAAUCUCUUCUUAAUUAAAGUUAUAAGAAGCAUAAUGCGGUACAUCAAGAUUGGACACCAUCCCGAAAUAGGAACAAGGAUGAGUGAAGGCAAGGUCGUUCUGGUCACAGGAUGUGCUAAAGGGGGCAUCGGUUAUGAAUAUUGCAAGGCAUUCGCCGAGCAAAAUUGUCGUGUUUUCGCAUCUGACAUCCCCACCCGCAUGCAUGAUAUGUUAGAAUUAGAGUCGGUCGACAAAAUUGAGACACUUGAGCUUGAUGUUUCAUCAGAGGACAGUGUCUCAUCGGCUGUGAAUUCUGUGAUAUCAAAAUGUGGCAGAAUAGACGUAUUGAUCAAUAAUGCAGGAAUAGGAAGUGCUGGCCCUUUAGCUGAGCUGCCGUUGGAGGUAGUGAGAAAAGCGUACGAAGUCAACACUUUGGGGCAAUUAAGGAUGGUUCAACACGUAGUCCCUCAUAUGGCUUCUCAGAGAUGUGGUAGCAUAGUGAAUAUCGGGAGCGUUGUUGGAAAAGUGCCAACCCCGUGGGCUGGCUCCUAUUGUGCUACCAAAGCUGCAGUACAUGCCAUGUCCGACGCUUUGCGGGUCGAGCUGCGGCCAUUUAAUGUCGAUGUGAUCUUGGUGCUUCCGGGUGCUGUAAGAUCAAAUUUUGGUGACACCAACAUGGAGAAAUUGGGAAACUAUGAUUGGAAACUUUAUAAAGAAUUCAAGGAAGCUAUUGCCGAGCGAGCAAGGGCUUCCCAGGGUAGCAAAGCGACAGAUGCAGCCCUUUUUGCUAGACAUGUAGCAAAGAAAGUAUUGAGUCCUAGACCACCAAAGCAGGUUGUGUUCGGUCACAUGACUGGGUUGUUUGCUCUGCUUUCGUGGUCGCCCCUUUGGGCUAGAGAUCUCUUUUUCUCUACUCGAUUCAAGCUAAAUAAGAAAGCCUUCCUGUAAGGGAGUUGCAGUGCUGUAGAUUGUCACAACGUAUGCAUUUGAAAACAUUUUACCGCUGGUUUUUUUUUUUUUUUUUCCACCAAAAACACGGCCAAUGUUCAAGUUCCAGUACAUGUUCUUAAAACUUCCAACAGUGACAUCUAACAACUACAAUGUUAUCCGGACAAGGAAGAGCAAUUCUUUCCUGGUUAACUAGCAGGUUUCCCAGCAUAAAGUGUCGGUACUAUACACAAUCAUACAGUAGUACCAAACAGAAGAUAGGACCAUCUGCAGAUGAAUUGCUCCCCACACCCCAAUCUUCCCCCGCCCAAAAUUUAGAAAACUAAAGCCCGAAUUAAGGGAUAAUGCAUUUCCAAAUAUGCUCCCAGGGGGGAUGGGCAUAAAACAAGGUGGGAUGUCUAUGUGUAGACAGAAAAUUAUAAGGAGGUCUGACUUCUGAGUAGUCAAGGACUAGAGCCGUUUAUCAGACCAAAUUUUCCUGGGAAUAAGGGAUUAUGAGUUGGCCUAUUUGAAGCAGACAAAGAAGAGAAAUGUGGCUCCACCGACCCCUGCUUCCAAAUUUCCAAUUCCCAUCUGCUGGAUGGAGUGACAUUUUUGUUCAGGUAGGGAACGAGCCCCCUUUAUGAGGCCCAGUAGUAUUUUGGGCAAUUUGCUAUCGGCCUGUCGUGGAUGGUUGGAUAUUACUCAUCAUUUCUAUUAUAAGAAAAAGGGUCCAUGACUCUUUGCCGCAGCAGCAUCCUCCAUCUUUAGUACGUUUUACUUAACUCUCCCUUUUAAAAAACGAAUCAUUUCUGCUAGAAAAUCUGUCUCCAUUAGCGUUCUGCAUAAUUAACAUUUAACAUCCGCGAUUAAGAAUGUAAGGUUGAAAUUUCCUGAGGUACAAAGAUCUCGUACCUCCUCCGUACUAAACAUCAGAGAUCAAUGCAACGUGAUACUUUUUCAGAGAUCAAUUAGGAGCUUGAUUUAAUUUGGGAUGUCAUCCUCCUCGUAUUAAGCUUCGUUUCCAAUUAAUGGCCUAAAACACCUGCUGUCACGACAAUUCUUGUUAUUGAUUGUACACUUUAUUAUUAUUAUUAUUAUUAUUCUAACCUUUUAAUAAUGUAUACAAAACUUGGUGUGCCCUUAUACCAGGUGCAAGGGAACAAAGGAAAUUGUAUAAAACCAUAGGGAGAGGGGAGAGGGCGGGGUGGAGUUCUUUAAACUAAACAGUAGAGAAGGUUGGACUGCUGCUUGUGAAAGGAAAUAUGCAGAGAAAGCAGGCAUGCUAGUCAAAAAGAUUUUUUUGUUUCUGCUUCUCGUUUGCAUCUGCGCUGCAGCAGCAAUACCUAAGCAGACAAUAGACGUAUCAAUCCAGGCAACAUCUAGACGGCAUCGUUUAGACUUGUCCAACAGGCUCUGCUUCCUGCGGCGACCAAGUAGUAGCCAGCCAUACAUAGUACUAGAUGCCCAUUAAUCAAAAGAAAAGAAUUCUAAAAGAAAAAAUAACUAAGCUAGUAGGUCCAGUUGCUGCAGAGGGGCUAUGUACUGUACUGGUGAAGUGAUCAGAUCGACAUUUUGUCUUCUGCCCUAUGAAAUCUAGCUAAGCUUCUCUGAUCCUGCGGGAUUGUAAAAAAGCAACACCACCUAAUUGAUUGUUAAAUCAUAUCGUUUUAAUAUGUCCACCCCACCCUCUGCCACUUCCACUCAAUUACCGACGGAUGAAAUAUUUCUCCCCAAGAUGAAUAAGUCAUGAGCCCCUCCCUGUACACAACAUAAUGCAUAUAAAUCUUUUUGAGCUUUGACCAAAGAAACCCUCCUCUCGCCACCCCCCUCCCCAAACAAAAAAAAAAAAAACGUACAAAAAGAGAAAUGCAUACGUAUUCACAAACAAUUACUAUAACUGUUUGUGUACCUUGACACAAUAGUGUUCACUGUGGUGUUGGAACGAUCAGUAAUGGUAUUGAAACAGUAUAAAGUCCAGGCCUAUUUUAACAGAGGUACAUUUUCUUGAUUUAUGCCCUGGACCCUUCUGAUUCGAUCCCUCGGUUUUGCACUUGGGAUAAUAGAGCGUGCUCUGGGGCCAUUAGUUUGAUUGAUGGUCUUUUUGAGGACUUGGUAUUUCUGCUCAAAUAUACCAGUUUAGCGGAGCAGUGUAGUUUUGUGUUUUGCGUGUGAGCAUACCACGGAAAGGAUAAAAGAAAAAGUGGAAGAGGAUUAGAGGAAGGGAAGGGUGGAGCGGAGGACAGGAAAAGUAAAAGAAGAAGUUGUCUUUCUCAAACACAGAUCCCUAUGGAAUGCAGGAUGGAUGCCCAGCAUUGCUUGCUGGAACUCAUUCUUUUUGUUCAAGUUUAAAGGGACUAGCUGUGUUCUCUUUAGAAAUCUUUUCAGUGAGAGAGAGAGAGAAAGAAAAGUAAAAGAAAAAGACCGUAGAUUCAGCUAUUCAGUGGGUUUUUGGGCUUUCUUUAGAUUUUGGCAAGAUUUCGUCUACUUAGUCUCCGCAGCUAGAAAACAAAAUACUACUACUACUUGCAACUUGCAAGCUGCUACUCCUACAUAGUUUCAAUUGGAGGGAGCAAAGAGAUUGAGGAGAUAUGAUUAGUUUAUAUGCUUUCCAAUGAUUGACUCCUCAGUCCUCCCACCAGGCGAAGUGAAACUGGUAAACUACUCUAGCUAAGAGUAAGAAGACUCUCUUCUAAGCGGGAAAAAUGAAGUCCCUAAGUAAUGGUAACACCAGCAACAAUAGUAAUACUAACUGGUUGGGUUUCUCUUUGUCCCCCCAAAUGAACAAAAUGGAUGGUGGUGCUGCUGCUGCUGCUUCUGCUGACCAUCCUUCCCAAACAGCUCUGCCUUGCUCUAAUGCAGUCUCUAGCUCAGUCGCAUUAAGCUUUUCCCAUCCUUCCUCUCAUUUUAACUACCCUGGAAUCUACCGUGGGAUUGAAGGUGACAAUGCUGCUGCGUUCUACUCGCCUGUGACUGUGAUGCCACUCAAGUCUGACGGCUCAUUGUGCAUUAUGGAGGCUAUGAACGUUUCACAACCACAAGGUCUGUCUAGCUCAAAACUAGCUUCUUUUUGUCUUUUUGGUUUUUUUCUUGUUUGAUGCUUUGUAAUACUUGCUUAUUUACCUGUACCCGCGGAAUCUUAUGAGUUUUUAACUUUUACUAUCAAGGUAUGCUUUCAACUCCAAAACUUGAGAACUUCUUUGGUGGAACAACAAUGGGGACCCAUCACUACGAAGCUGGUGAAAGACGAAGUAUGGCUCUCAGCCUAGACAGCAUGUACUACCACCAAAGCUUGAAUCAUGCGCCCAGUAGUCAAGAUUUCUUGAACAAUCUACAAGGGAACUCCAGGCAGCAGGAGCAGCAGAGGCAACAGCAGAUUCAGGUUCAACAGUAUGCGGAGUACUCUCCCUUUAGAUGCCAUGAAUUUUACCAGGCAUCAGAACAGGGAAGCAAAGAAACUCAUCUUGCUGAAACCAAUCUUCAGCUGCCUAUAAUGGCAGAUAAUGAUCUUUCUGGUAUGAAGAAUUGGGUUUCUAGGAAUUACCUUGGCGAUCAUUCACUAGAGCCUAAGAUGACUGGCGGCGGGGUUGCAAAUAGGUGUGAGUCUGGUUCCUUUGGUGCAAUGGGGUAUGGGGAUUUGCAGUCCUUGAGCUUAUCAAUGAGCCCGGGUUCACAAUCAAGUUGUAUUACUGGUUCCCAGCAAAUUUCACCCACAGGGACAGAGUGUGUGGCCAUUGAAACUAAGAAAAGAGGGCCUGAAAAGGUCGAGCAGAAGCAGAUAGUUCACAGAAAGUCCAUUGAUACAUUUGGGCAGAGAACCUCACAGUUUAGAGGCGUAACAAGGUUAGAUCUUUUGACUUGGUUCGUCUAAUAUCUCUUUUUUGUUAUCCAUUAUUUGUCUUAGAAUAGUUAAAUCUUGGUUUGUUAAACAAACUUGCUCUUCUUACAUAAAUAGGAUGCUAGUUUAGCCUGUCCUUAUUCUGCUUGCUCACUUGUUAUCAUGCUUCGUAGUUUAACACUAAUUGUCCUCUGGUCAAACAGUAUUUGGUAUCCUUAAUGUUGGUAGUACUUAUUAGAAUGCCUUUUCCUCUGGAUUGUGAUCAGGCACAGAUGGACUGGUAGAUAUGAAGCACAUCUAUGGGACAACAGCUGCAAGAAAGAAGGUCAAAGCAGAAAAGGAAGGCAAGGUAAGUAACUAACAAGUUAUUUGCUACAAAAUUAGCCACAUUGUACAUAUUGGCAGCUUUCUUAACUUGCUAACUUUGAAUCCUAUCCUUCUCAUGGUAUUACAACGGGGGUUGCUUCUCUGAUGACGUCUUCCAGUUUAUCUAGGUAUAUUUGUUUUCUAAGUCCUUUCGUUGUUUAUUUUUCAAAUGACUGAGCACUAUUGUGUUUAUGUUCCUAGCACCUCAUGUACUCCAUAAUGCUGAACUUAGGUGGCUAUGAUAUGGAAGAAAAAGCUGCAAGGGCUUAUGAUCUGGCAGCACUCAAGUAUUGGGGUCCUUCGACUCAUAUUAAUUUUCCGGUAGGGGUUUGGUUCUGGUAACUUGAACUUAGAUAUCCUAUUAACUCUCCUUAGCCUGAUUUGCUUGGUGAUGCCUUUUCAGUUGGAAAAUUAUCAGCAUGAACUUGAAGAAAUGAAAAGCAUGGCAAGGCAGGAAUAUGUGGCUCACUUGAGAAGGUGGCUCAUCAUCCUUUCUAUCUUAUAGCAUCUGAUUUUUUCUUAAGUCUGACUUUAUCCUCUCCAUGAUAUCUACACUACAAUUUGCAGAAAGAGCAGUGGUUUCUCAAGGGGAGCUUCAAUGUACAGAGGAGUAACAAGGUCUUAGAACUUAGAAACAGAUAUAUACUGCUAUGUUUCUGAUCAUGAUUAGUAUCUGUUGUUUAGCUGAAAUUGUAUUCUUAUAUUUUUCUUUAGCAGACAUCAUCAACAUGGACGAUGGCAAGCUAGGAUUGGCAGAGUGGCAGGCAACAAAGACCUUUACUUGGGGACCUUCAGUGAGUUCUCGGACCUAAACAAUCAUAAUUUUUGUUCAUCCUACUACUAACUUGUACUGGCUUUUCCUAUUGUCGUGCUAGCGUUACAAACAGGUUUAGGUCUUGAAAGAUUUUUUUUUUUUUUUGAAAUAAUUUAUCAAGUACAUGCUGUACAAAAAAAGUAAAUGAAUAAAUUAGACCACAUCUCUAGGAUGCCCAUUUUUUGCUACUUAUUGACCCUUGAGACUUCAGCAUACUGCUGAUAGUGACGCAGAGAUUAAGCCUUGCGGGAUUGUGCGAUACCAGCAAGGAAACAGCUUUUGCGAAAAAACAGUUCACUGGGGUAAACGGCAAUGCUGCCAACACGCCAAGGCCACUUUGGCUUUUGCCCCCGUUUUUUUCCCUCUUCUCGGAUGCUUUUGCAUUUUGUUGAUUAACUUGCCCUUCCUUUUACACAGCAGUUAGAGUUGUACAUAUUAAUAAAUCAUUCUCCUUUAGUUUUAACAACGUAGUGUAGUUGUAUAAUGUUGGGGAAAGCGGAAAGCAGAAAGCUGCCUCACUCAUAAACUGAUUAUUGCAUUUUAAUUAGGUUUCUAAGUUUUACUUGAUAACAUUUCAGGCACCCAAGAGGAAGCUGCUGAGGCCUAUGACAUAGCAGCAAUCAAGUUUCGGGGUGCGAAUGCUGUAACCAACUUUGACAUAUCUAGGUACGAUGUAGAUCGGAUCAUGGCGAGCAGUAACCUUCUUGCAGGCGAACUAGCUCGUAGAAACAACAACCUGGAAUCUAGCAAUGACAUCUCUAUUGGGAACCCUUCCAAUCUCAACUGCAAUGAGGAAGUUAACACCACCUCCAAGGAGAAUAAUGAUAAUGUGUUAGACUGGAAUGUGGCUCUUCAUCAGUUUCCUCUUCAGAAACCGGGUGAUCCCGAACAUUUCAAGACUUCAUCUUUUCCAGUGUCUGUGAAUGAUUUGAUGGGGAUGGAAACGCUUAGCACUACCGCUCAUCAAGAGGCGGCAGGAUCAGGCAAGAUGAUGACUCAUUUCUCAGAACCCUCUUCAUUGGUGACGAGUUUGAGCUGCUCCAGAGAAGGCAGCCCUGAUAAAAGCAACAGUCUACCAAUGCAAUUUACAGUUCCUCCAGCAGCAUCCAAGUUGUUUGCUAGCCCAUCACCCCACACGGCCAACCCUUGGAUCUCUUCAACUCAGAUGAGGCCUCAUGUCUCUGUUUUUGCUUCGUGGACAGAUGCAUCAUGAUACAAUCAGUGUCUAAUUAAAACGGACCCUGCAGGUUUUGACUUUUGCAUGAGCAACAGGCAAGGGAAAUCAUGUGGUUUUUCCCUGUAGUUACUGGCUCUAGCGGGGCCCUGUAAACUCUGUCGAGAAGAAAUUCAACAUUUCCCAACUUGGGCACUAAAUUUAUGUAUCAAAAGCUUGAAAAAAUUGAUGGCGGGAAGCUUUAGAGGAAAUGAUUAGGUAAGGUUUCUAAUCCAUGCGUUGAUUCAUUGACCAAAUGAAUGCACCCCAAUUCAUGAUUAGAUUUUGCUUCUCUGCACCUUUAAGUACAGAAGCAGCUCAAAGUUUCCCAUAGCAGAAAGGUCUAUUACCUGUGUCUUUGACCAUCAAUUGGGCUACUUUUCUUUCUUUCUGGAUGUAGAUCCUCCGGUUAUCUAUUUCAAACCAGUAAUCGUGACCGUAAAAAUUUUUCCUUUUUGUUUUCCAACCUAAGCUUUGUCCAAAGGUGACAAAAAAUGCCAGCCGCCAGCCUUUUUCAUUUUUUUUUUCUUCAAAAAGUUGAGAAAAGGGUGUUAAGAAUGGAUUCUGGCACAUUAUUACUUUGGCGGUAAGUAAAAUGGGCCAUAACUAGUUGAAAUUUCCAUAGUGCUGCAGUUUGUGGUGCUUGAUCUUGUUCAUAUCUCUUUUCUCAUCUUCGCUUUUCAAGAUUUAAUCGGCAUUAGCUAUCAACCGAAAGCAAUCAUCACAAAAGUGAUUUGGCGUCUGGACGUCAAUAAUUGCAUCCUUAAUAUCAAUAAUCCUCACGAGCAAACUCGUUCACUCGUGCACACAGGUAAUGCAAGGAUUUCAUGUACGAAUACUAAUGAUAUGAUGCAAUCAUAUCAUAUUGAAGUCACCAACAACGGCUCGAUUAAGGAUGAAAAUUCAGACGCAUGUUUUGGCAACUGAAUUUCAUCUAUUAAUUACUACGGAGUGAAAUGCAUGCAGUCCCUCAAUUCUAGAUUCUGGCUCUAGGUCAUCCAGUCCGUCCAUUCUUCCUUUCCCCCCCUCCCAACCUUCUCUUCAAAAAAAAAAAUGGAGGAGGAGGGCGAAUCUUGGAUUUUCUGUGUUGAUCAAAUAACAGUCAGGGAAGAGAUUUAUUAUAUGUAUUUCAAUCCAAUUUACCGGGUUCUAUCCCUUUGUUGUAAAUUUGAAAGGGUAGAAUAAUAACAUAUCAUCUUGAUCUGGUACGUACAAUACUGAAGUGGGGAAAAAGGGAAAGGGAAAUAAAGGGAGUGAUGAUGCAGUCAAAAAGGAAAAUUUGUGAGUAGUUGUCUAGCAUGAUGGGAAAGUCUUGGAUCAGAGGUUGUCCCGUCAACAAGAUUAGCAAUUAUGUUGUCUCAGGCUUGUUUUAUCUUUGUCUUACUAAUACACAUUUAUUAUUAUCAUUGUAAUGGGAAAUUGCCACCGAACAUGAGGUGUAAACGUACGUUGUUUAGAAUUGUUUUGUAGUACGUAUUUCUUAGGAUGGGAUCGCUAAUCAGAUAAGCAGCCCAAACUGCAUGCGUGGUUGCUCUCGAGCUGUAAUUAAUUAAUUUAUACGAAAAGCACGUUCUCUUGUCUUAAUAGGAAAUUGUCAAAAGUUUAAUCAUGUCCAUGCAAACUUUUCUUGGAUGAUUUAAACAUUCAAUGCUUGUACAGAAGCAAGUAUCUACAAGCAAACAAGUUUUUUUUUUUUUUUUCUUUUUACUUACUUGGGGGUUAUAAAUAUAGUUGUAAACGAAUUGAAUCUAGAUGAAUAUAUCAUGUUUGAACUCUGUUCAUUAAAUUAUUCGAACAAUACUCAUAUUCAUUCAAUACUAUUCGAGUUCUAAAUUUGUGUUCGUGUUCGAUUCGUUAAACAAAAUUCUAAUUUUAGUUUGAACUUAAGCUUGACUCGUUUAACAUAAAUGUACUAUUCAUGAACAAACUCGAGACACUCGAGUUCAGGUUCUUUCUCAUAAAAUUGAUGCAAUUUGCUUGUCUAUAGUAUUAACUACCAAGAAACAACAUGUUUGAGACUAACAGAGGUUGGAAAGUUUGGAAUAGGAAUUAUGAAUACAAUAUAAACCCUAAAUUUUGUAAAAUGACAAUGAGGCCCAUGUUCGCAAAUGACCGUUUAAAUUCAUGAACUAUCUUGUGUUCGUUUGAUGAUUUAUCGAACCAAAAUAUUCGUUCAAACUCGACACAUAUAAAAAAUUCAAACGAGCCAAACUAAUGAAUAGCGCAGUUGGAUUAACGGCGUUAGUUAUAAAAAGGACAUUCGCUACACUUGACUAUUGAGGUUAUCGUCCUGUUACUUUAACCUCACACAUUCUUCUUACCAAAACAUAUAUAUAAGCCUCACACUUUUGUUCAGAAAUUGCCAGUUUCAUACUUGGAUGGAUGUAGUAUAGACUGCAAUCGAUUCGUACAGAAUAUCCGGAGAAAUUUUAUGACUAAUGAAUCGAAUGCGUUUCUCCUCCUAUAUUUUUUCUAAUCUUUUACAGUUUUAGGAACCCCCUCUAUAAUUUGCAAAAUAGCAGUAAAUUUCCUUUUUUUUUUGCAUAAAACUACUCGUAACUAUUUUCAGUUAGUAAGGUUUCCCAUCGAUAAUGUGGAAGUCAUUGAGGAAAAAAUUUCCAAAAGGAAGAAUAGUCUUUUAAAAGGUUACCCAAAAAAAAAAAUAUAUAUAUAUAUAUAUAUAUAUGUAUAUGUAUAUUGCUAAUCGGAUUAGUCUCAGUAGGAAGUAAUCUAAUAAAAAGGAUAGCUUUAGAAAGGAACGAACAAGAGUGUUGGGUAUUUUCAGGAUUACAGUGGCCCAAGUGACGUAAAUGUCGCCAGUUGUAGCAAAAUGCUUAAUUCGUUGGGCUUCUUUCUACUAUGGGCUUUAAGAUGCCAAAUCCUCUCAGAAUCGUUAACCAUCUGCCCAAAGGAUAGGCCUCUAGAAAGAUCGAUCAAACCGUGAGCAAAGGCUAUCCUUGGAACAUGAGGGAUCCGAGGCACAUCACCUUCCGGAUUCCUUGCGAAUGCCUGGCCCAAUUGCUAAUGAACAGGCCUAAGGGGAAAAGAUAAAAAUGGCAAUUUUCUACUUGCGCCAGUCUGUCCAGUCCCACGGAACCUCAGCAGAGCUGUUAUUUUAGUCAGUUGACCAUUAAAUGCAAAAUUUAUGCUUUUUUUUCCAAUUGAAAAUAAUUUCAAGAAUAUCUCAAGUGUUAUUCAAAACCAACAAUAUCCCGCAAAUUGCUUGCCUGCCAAGAUUCGAUAGUUGAUGGAACGCUUAUGGGCCAAAUUUUUUUUGUUUGUUUGAGCUGUAAAUAGCGAGUACUUAUGUCUUGGUUAUGAACCACGAAUUAUUAUUAAAGAUUAAAAAUGUGAGAUUAGGAGACGAGAGACAAGGCGUUGAGAGAUUGCUAUCAGCAGAGAAUGAAACGAUAAUCUAAAUCUAAUGGCCCAUUGGCUACCAACCAAACAGAUGUUUGAGCAGCAAAGGGAAGGAUUUUGGUAUGAUGCUGGAGGGGGACCCCAGGUGUUUGUAGGAGAACUACCACAAAAAGGUUUAUGUGGUUAGCUAUCCUUUGUAGUCAUUUUCUUCCCUGCUUUAUUCCGUAAAGUUGUCUCAGUUUUGAAUGUCAAGAUCCCCGUCCCAACAGACACUUAAAAAAAGACUUGCCAAGAACAAAUCCAAGUAGUCAAAUUACAACAUGAUACGGUUUCCCUACCAUACCAGCCUCUCUUUCUUCUGUUGUCGUCAAUGUUUUGAAAAUCGGACCGGACAAGCCGGUUGACCGGUUAAAUUGCCAACUGUUCAUAGCAUCGAUCCGAUUCUAUAUUGCAGUUGACUUUGUCAGAAAAUCGGUCAAACCCUUAGAACCGGUGAAUGGGGGGGUCGAACCGAUGGUUUUCGAUUUUUAACUUUCCUUUUGAUUUUUUUUAAAUUUUGCAAAACACAGCUACCAAGGAUUGUCGGUUUUUUAGUUUUCCUUUUAAUAUUUUUUUAAGUUUUGCAAAACACAGCUACCAAUGAUUGAACUCAGGACCUUUGUGAUGAAAGACCAAUGUAGCAACCAUUGUACCAUUACAUCCUAUAAAUUUUUUAUGAUAACUCAUUUAUAUAAAACAAAUAUCCAUUUUUCUUUUCUCCGUUUUCUCUACAAAAUCUCAUUUUUUUAUGACUCUUUCUUUCUAAUUUUCAACUCUCUCUCUCUCUCCUCUCCUCUUUUGUCACACUCUUUUUAAUCAAACCUCUUUAGUUUUAAUUUAUUGAUGUUUUCUUCAAUCUUUUAAUUUUAUUUUUGUCCAUUAAAUUGAAAAAAAUUAAAAAGAAUUAUUUUUCUUAAACUUUAAAGACUAAUUAUUAAAUGCCACAACCACUCACUUUUUAUCUCAUUAUUUGUUUCUUAUCAAGUUUGUAUUUUUAUUUUCGAUUCUCCUGACUUCCUUUAAACUCCAAACUUCUUUUUUUUAAUUGUAAUUUCAAAAUUCCAAAAACGUAAAUUAAAAUUUAACUCACAAUCUAAAUUCCUAUAAACGUGAAUUUUGUAUAAUUUCAAAAUAUUGUGGUAUGUUUUGGAUUGAAUUUAAGAUUAUUUUUUGGUAAAUAUAAUUGAGAUUGAGAUGAAAUUUAUUUGUUUCAACUUAUAAUUUAAAAAUUUUAAUUUUGAAAAUCCAAGUUAUUUGAAAAUAUUAAACUUUUUAUCAUAUAAAGUUUUAGAUGAGUCCAUUACAUGUCUUAUUUUGUGCAUAUAUAUUUAUAUAAAUUAUUUUUAAAAAAAUCAUUGAACUACGGUCCGACCGGUUGAACUUUGACCCGAACACUUCACCGGUUCAAUUAACGGUCCGAGUUUUAAAACAUUGGUUGUCGUGGAAGGCCUCGUCUCACUUCCUAGUUUGUCUUUUUUUUUAUGCGGAGUCAGCAUGAACAUUUUAUUGCUUUAGUAUUAUGCAUGAACAUGAAAUAAGAUAACGAGUGAUUAAAUGAAAUAGAGUCACCAAUUGAGUUAUUGUUUCCCUAUUCAAGGGUUAAAAAACAAAAAAAAAAAAAAGAAGAAGAAUUGUCGAAGAAGAAGAAAAAGCACAACAUUUAUGGGAUGGAAUUCUUAGGUGUAAAUUAUCGGAGAUGGCAAAAACUUUAUUAGACAAAAAAAGCUGAAGAUGACUAGCGAUUGGGUUUCUGUGUCUAAAAGAAGGCCAACGCAAAUAAUUCAAUCCAUGAACCAAAACUAGACAUGCACCACAUAUAUAUAUAUCUCUUAAAUGAAAGAAAGCAGAUACAAAAACUGAAAAAAGUUUCUCCGCCACUACCCUGAUCUACCCCCGCCCCGCCAGCGAGAGGCGGUGGUGGUUCAGUUCUGGAACAUUUACUACUCCAUCAUUGAGUGUGUUUGGACAGCCAAUUAUUUGGCCAAAUAUAUUUGCUGACAUCACCAUUACAAUUUUCAAUACACCUUUUUAUCUUCCCAAUUACCUUUUUAUCUCACAUACAUCACAUCACAAAAAGUGCUACAGUAAAAAUAUUUCAAAUAACUUACAAUCCAAACACACUCAUUAUUAUUAUAUCCCUAACUUUGAGAGCGAAAUUUUACCUGGCAGAGUUGUGUGGUUAAGUGCUAACCUGACCUGUUCAAGCACCAGUAAAUGUUCCAUGGGGGCAGGGAGCCAGUGAAGACGCACCAAGUAUUCAAAUUAUCGUACUUUUGUACAAGAUGAUUAUUGGACAAUCGGUCCAAGGUGCAUUCGAAACGAGUAGCCCACUGCUAGAGGCUGAGUAGUGUACUGUACGAGUGUUAAAAUUAAAUUAGUGGUAGUAUUAUUAUUAAUACUACGACUCCCCUCCCCACUAUUUCUAUUAGUCGAGUCAAUGGUGCAGCCAAUGUCUAUCUCUACCACCAGUUCUACAACCAGAUGCAUAAUUAGUGCGUUUCAUUGCGUCGCCAAAUCCCUAACCUUUAGUACCAACCGUCCACCUUUUUUGUUUUUGUUGGUACUUUAUCUUUUACCACUUCAUUUUCCAAGCGGUGAGAUUUUAGAGGCUCUUAAACCAAAAACCCAUAAUGACAUGCCUUGGAAAAACACACUGAUAAACCCUGCAUUGGUUGGUUGGUUGGUUGAUUUUUCAAAUGCACCCAAAACCACUAACUACUCCCUCCCUUUUUUUAUAACUGACGUUUAAGGUUUUGCACACCAAUUAAGAAAAGUUUUUCAUUGCUUAAAUCUGUACACUACUUUCCUUUUGUACCCUCAUUAAUUAUCCAAUUCACCCAUGUUUUCUCGCACUAGAGUACUAAAUGGUGCUAUUUUACUCGGCCAAAAGCAAUGCAAACUAACUCCCACCAAACUAGGAGUAGUAAUUAAGAACCCUGUAUUGGAAAAGAGAGAUAAAAGGGUAAAAUUGUGAAAAAAUAAUUAAUAUUGUAUGGGGAUAAUAAAACGACAGAUAAAAGUACACUAGAGCAAAUUUCUUAAACGUCAGUUAUAAAAAAAUGGAGGGAGUAGUUAAUGGUAAUUAUUGUGCAAGUAUUCAAGCUAAGACUAGCAUUUGUUCCGAUUUCAGAAGACCGACGAAUUACACAUCAUUUUCGAGUCCCUGUCAGUGUCACACACACACACACACGAAUGAGUUGCCUGCGCACGCACACACACACACAUAUACAUGUGUGUGUGUGUGUGUGUGUGUGAGUUGUGGGGAGGAAGAGUGAUGGAUUGUGCAGCGUUAAUACCCACAAAGUUUGUUUCCGACUUUUCCCCAUAGAUAUUUAGGAGUAAGAUGAUAUAUCUGCGGAGGAAAGAGAUCAUGUUGUCGGAGGGACCAGUUAAGGCUAUGGUACAAAAUUCUCAGGAGCAACGAGACUGCAACUCCUGUUCCCGACUUAGGACGCAGCACAAACUUCACGGGCCUGCUAGGCAAAAAUAUGGCUUCUUCCUUCACUUUCAGUGAUCCAUGAAGCGCUUUUGGAUUUAGAGCUUUGGACUUUGCUCCCAACAGCAUGUUCAUUUGUGCUAGCUUGUAGGAAAAAGAUGUUGAUUCUGUCUUGAGCAGCUUAUUGGGAUAUGGACUGACAUUAUACAGUUAUAAAUGGAUAAUGUGUUUUUGAGUUAAACACCAUGAUAAUCUAGAUUAUUGUGUUUAAGAAGAAAACUAGAUUGUGUUUAAGUAGCUAGUAUCCUAAAGUGAGUUCCAUAUGGAUGAAUGAUUAUGCAAAAACUUCAGCAUUAGCAAUAAAAUUUGAAUAUUGCAAGCGUGACUCUUUCGCAAUCUCCAAACUCACAAAAUAAUCACUACUUCCUCACCCUUUUGUGUUCGAUGGACAACCAAGUAUUACAAUGGGAAGUUCGUUUUCCAUACUCCUAUAGUCCUAUAUAUGCUACCUUGAUACAUUUUUUAAGCUAAACCCUCACCCGUUUGAGGAAUUAAGUACUAAAAGUUACUCAAUCCGGUGAAACCAAAACUACAUAAACAGCAGCUGAGAAAGUACUUGGGAGUUUUUCGACUUGGUUUCGCGCCCACUGUCAAUGCAGCUUUAGGCUGGGUAGAGCAUGAGUAAGGUGGUCCAUCUUGCCGUCCAAACCCGGUGAUAACUUUUAAAUUAAGCAAUACUUAAGAGGUAUCAUUUCAGAGAACAUGCAUAACAUUAAAGUAAAACAAAGAGAGAAGAGUGGGAAAGUACUCUACAGUUGAGGGGCCAGAAAAAUUGGAAAAUCGUCUCCAGCAAGGCCAUUUCUUUUCUUUCUUUUUUUUUAAAAAUUAAAUUUUUGGAUAAAUCAAAAGAGCCAAGAGGGGCAAGUGCAUCAAUAAUCAUCUCUUAACCGUGAUUAUAAAAGUUUUAAUCGACUUUAAUUGUUUCAUUAAAGCAAAUAGGAGUAGCUGUUGCUUAGUCCGAAGAGAUAAGCUUGCCGCAUAAAAAGUGUAAUUGAACUAGAAUUCGACGUUGCUAGCCGCCCAUGAAAAUGAAAAGAAGAGCGCAUCAAGUGCCCAAAAAUUGCCAUUGAGGACGGGAUUAGUGUUGUCCCCAUCGAACCCCAUCAGUCCUCAAAUUUUGCAGCAGCUGACCCACCCCCAGUCCGCAACAGAGAACACCCCGUCUCGCUCGUGCCCAGUAUUUUGUAUUUACUUCCACUUUCAUUUUCACCAAGCCUAUAAAGUCUCUAGUGGGAUCCUGCCUCCCCCAGUUCUUUUCUUUUUUAUUUUUAUUUUAUUUCUGGGUGUUAAAGACUAAAGAAGAGAAGCUAAGUAUUAAUAGAAAUUAAUUCUCAUUCUCUUUCUUUUUUUUUUUUUUGUCAACACAGGGGUGUCCGGAUCAAGACCCGAAGGCGGCCCGACUAAUCCCCUGCGCCCAAGUACACCGCCACCCCAAGCGCACCGGGAGUUAAGUGGGAUUCGACCACUUGACCUUAGAGUUCCGGAAAAAUCCCAAGACGAUGGUCUAGCCCCGGGGGGGCUCCUAAUUAAUUCUCAUUCUCGUUAUCCCAUAUUCACCACUCCCCCAGCACUUCCCCUACCAAACACCCCAAAAAAAACAAAAAAGAGCCUUAUGAUGUGGCAAAAGCCCACAGCAUGAGCAUGAAUUAGCUCUAAUUAAUUAUGAAAGAUCUCGAAAACAUUAGCCUAAUCGUUUGAUAGGGUGGGCGAAGGUCGGGUAUCCGCCUCGUCCAUCAUUUGACUGAUCUGACCCGCAAGAUCCUUAUCUUGCCCAUCAGUUAUUUUUUUAUCCUUAUCUGCCUCGCAUAUUAGCGAGUACCUGCUAAGUUAGGGUUAGCUCAACAGGUAUUCGCUUUGUCCCACUUAUCAUUUAAUUUUUUUAAAAAAUAAUUUAUACUAAUUUAAUUUUAUAUUUUAAUAUUUAUCUAAAAUUUAAUAAAGACUUUGUUCUAAAAAAAAAAAGUCUCCCACUAAGAAACAAGCAUGUGAAGAAAAUACAAGAUAAAGGAAAAAAUUUAAAAGACUUCAAAAUCAAUAAAAAUUUGAAAUAAGUAACACAUUUUUUUAAAUAUAUGUUCCACAUUAAUUAAACUCUUUUCUAUAAAAUAUAAUAUCAUGACCUCGACAAAUGAAUCUUGUAAAUAAACUAUAGGCUCUCAAUUUGUAAUAUAAUUUGUUCAAUGAAAUUGCUCAUUUAACUCUAAAAAUAUUAUUUUAUAAUAUGUGUAUAAAAAUAAUAUAUAUAUAUAUAUAUAUAUAUAUAUACACGAGGGCGAGUCGAGUUCCCGUGAAUUUUUAAUUAUGCGGUCAUAAUUUAUCCUGCAUCUUAAACGGCGCCCGACACUCUUUUGAUCCAAUCAAAUAAUACAGAUCAUGUAUUCUAAUUUUCGAGUAUUGGAUACAAUGAAUUUUUGAGUUAAAGGAUAAUUUUACCCACCCUGAUGACAAAUGACAACACCAAUCCCCUUCCUCCUGGUCCGUGCUCGUGGUGCUGGGCUAGCGUGCGGCUUGUCACUCUCAUAAGGAAAUUACGAAAAAUCCCAAAUAAAAGCAUCCCUCUCUCAUUCUUUAAAAUUCUUUCUUCGUUGCUUCUUUUUGGUGAGUCCCCUCCCUUCCCCUUUUCUCAGUUUCUGAACAUCAGCUCUGUGAACUUCUACUAAUCCAAUAUAGACUAGAGCAAUUAGUCUAAUUACUUCCAUACAUUACAGCAAAUUGUACCCAUCUUCCCCUCCCACCUGUUGCCAACCUGCACUCAGAUAGUGCUACAAAAACGUCCCCCCAAGAAAAAAGAAUACUUUAGUAACUGCUAAGUAUAAUAGUGUCUUAUAUUUCUCCAAACGCAUUUUAGUGCCACCAGCCUCUAGCCCCCAACACAACACCCUCCACCCCCCCACAAAAAGAAUGGGUGUUUGGAGCAACACAAGAAUCCUGCUGCUGAUUAUCCUGCUAACGUGCGCCCUACUCCCGCCAUCAGAGCCAGAUCCAAACGACGAGUUAUGCUUAACCCACCUCAGUGAAUCCCUUCAAGACCCAUUAAAGAACCUCCAAAACUGGAGCAAAGCUACCUUCGCUAACCCUUGCCAAGGCUUCACCUCCUUCCUCCAAGGUGCCACCUGCAACAACGGCCGCAUUUACAAACUCUCCCUCUCCAACCUCUCCCUAAAGGGCUCCAUCUCCCCCAAUAUCUCCAGCUGUACUAAUCUUCAAGCACUCGACCUCUCCUCCAACGCCAUCUCCGGCUCCAUCCCCCCUGACCUCCAAUACCUCGUCAAUCUCGCUGUCCUGAACCUCUCCUCUAACCGCCUUUCCGGGCCAAUCCCGCAACAGCUCGCUCUCUGCGCCUACCUUAAUGUGAUCGAUCUCCACGAUAACCAACUUUCCGCGCUCAUCCCUCAGCAGCUGGGAUUGCUGGCCCGCCUCUCGGUUUUCGAUGUUUCGAAUAACAAGUUGUCGGGUCCGAUACCUUCGUCCUUAGGAAAUAGAAGCGGGAACCUGCCGAGGUUUAAUGCGAGCUCCUACGAGGGGAAUAAGGAUCUGUACGGGUACCCAUUGCCGCCGAUGAGGAGCAAAGGGCUAUCGGUUCUGGCCAUUGUGGGGAUCGGAUUGGGGAGUGGGUUGUUGAGUCUGGUGCUGAGCUUUACAGCUGUUUGCGUAUGGUUGAAAAUUUCGGAGCAGAAAAUGGCUGCUGAAGAAGGCAAAAUUAGUCAACUCAUGCCGGAUUACUGAUUCAGCCUCUUUUUUUUUUUUUCUUUUUUUGUUCUCUCUUGAAUUCUUCUUUUUUUAAAAAAAAAUAUAUUAUUAAUGGAGCUGCCACUAAGAAUCAAUGGCUGGAUAGGAUUGGAUGGAACUUACAGGUAUGUUUAGGGAGGUGGUGUUAGUAUUGGUAGUAGAUUAGCAGUAGUAGUAAAUUUUAGUGGCGAUGAUUGUGAUGGGCAUCUGGAUUGAAGUUCCAUGUUGUUGGCUUUUUGCUAAAAUUUGGGGGUAUUUUCCAACUUCAUUUUUGGGGGGGGGGGGGAUUUAGUUGCUCUUUUUUUUGUUUUUGUUUUGUUUGCGCCCCCUUUUCCGUCUUCGGUUGUGACCGUUUUCCUUCUUUUUUUUUUUCCCACCUUUUGUGCUAAAUUUUGGUUUCAUCCUUCUGAAACAUUUGACAAUGUAAAGAAUUAACGAAUUCAAUUACGAGUUAAGGCAAAUAUAUUACGUACAUUUUUUUUCUCAAAUUGUUUCUUUUAAUAUAGUGGCACUGUAUUUUUUUAGUGCUCUACAGCAUUAAUGUUAGAGUACUUGUUGAUUUUUUGCUUGUGCGUACGCUAAAAGUUGACUUGCGUACGGUUAUUUGUGGAGACAUCUCAUGUUUGCAGAGUUUGACUACUAAAAAAUUAUUAAUUGUGGAAUGGGAAACAUUCCAGCUGAUCACAAUCUAAUUUUUUUCUUUAGUUUGUAUACUCCUGUAUUAUACAGACUAAUUAGCUUUAAAUACUGUGGAUUAGUUGCUGGCGCGACUAGAAUAAAUUAUGGUAUUAGCAUUUAAUACGAUGUGGGAUUUGCUGAUUUCUAUUUCAAAUCGUCCAGUAUUUCUGAGACCUUAGUUAUGAUUGAUUUUGAUUGUCAAGAUUUUUUUUUCUUUUUUUGGGUGGUGUCGUGCCGGGUUGUUCGUGGUGUAAACACUAAACAAGGGUCGUGUUUUGUAUAAUUAGAGAGAAUUCGUGAUUAUGUUGAAUGAUCAAUCAACACUAAACAAGGGUCGUGUUUUGUAUAAUUAGAGAGAAUUCGUGAUUAUGUUGAAUGAUCGGAAGGAAAAGACACAAUAUGAGUCUCUUUGUAGAGCAAGAUGUCAACGGGGCAGGCAGGCGGGUAGUUAAAGUUUAUUCCAAGCUGUUGAAUCAUGGGCGAAAGGAACUCUUUUUCUUCGAAAUUAUUAUUAUGAUUAUGAACCUAACUAAGAAUUUAGACUCCCGCGUGAAGGGAGCUUAUCCAAUUAUUAAUAUAUGUUUGAACCACAGUUAGAGGGUGGUGUGUGUGUUUGAACCACAGUUAGUCAGCCAGUUUUUCAUACUACUAUUUCUGUUAAGCCAAAAUAAUGAAGCAUAUUAUUGAUGAUUUGAUACUACUACUUCACAAUUUUGAAGUUGGGCACAAUGUCAAGAUUGAUUCAAUUAGAUAUUUUUUCGCAAUUCUCCUGACCUGAUUAAUAGUGAUGGUGGUUUGACUUUGUGAUUUUGAUCGAUCUGUUGGCCAUAUGAAGCAGCGCCAACAUCCUAGGCCUAGCUUUCGUUUCAAACGUGCUCACAUGCUUUUUAGUAUUACUUUUUAGUAUUCUUUUUUAUUUUUUUUUUCCCGAAGGUAAUAAUUGUUGUACAAUUUAAUUUAUUCAGGAGUAAUUCGGAGGGGACUGAACCACCACCGGAUCAAACGAAUGCACUAUGCACCUGUCUGGAAUUUUGAAACCAAACCACUUUAAAUGUGAAUUUUUGAACUCUUGCAUUCGACUCCACCAAGCCUUAAUGGCUGGGUUUUGGCUACACAAGACAGACAUUCGUGAGAGAGAAAAGUUGCUUCCUCCGAAGCUGGGUGCGGUCUUCCUCCUGUUUCUACGCUUCUUCCUUUGUUGUGGAUUGUUUUCUCUAAUUUGCUUAUACGACGUUGGAAUUUCAGCUUGAACGACUGAAGUAAAAGUGCCAAAACUUUUGUGGUGAUUGCUGAUUAGGCUUAUCAACAUGAAAUAGAAGCCACUAGAGCCUGAACUUUUUUUUUUAGUCAAAAUCGUUGCCACGAUUUUUCCGUAAACCAAUCUUAUCGACUGCUAAAAAUUUACAAAUUUCUUCAUGUUAAUUUAAUCGGCUCUAAUUUUGUUUCCUUUUGGUAGAUGAAAAUACCAAAAGAAACGGAGGAGAUUGAUGACUGAAAUUAACCCGAUAUUCCUGUGAAUCACUUGACACCCGUGCUCGUCCUCCUCGUCAUAUUAAUUUCCCCGUAGAAAAUUCCCGAUGGGCUCGACAAAUUGAAAGGGCAGCACAGAGAAAAGAAAGUGAUGCAUGGCACCUUGUAUGUAUCAUCAGAUCAAAUGGAUCACAAGAUAUUCAACUUCGCACCGAAAGUAAAAGUUAAGUCAAAGUGUGCUUUAAUUCCUCUCAUUAAUGUAUCCCCCAAGAAUACCAUGCAUGUUAUGGACUCAUCAUUUUCUGGGCCCUCUUUGCCCAAAAUCCCUAAGAAAACUCUCAUGAGUCUUCAGACUUUCAGCGGCCGAUUCCAUUUCCGUCAACUCGGACCAAAUUGAUUUGGAUUUAGGUAUGCUUCCCAAAAUUCGGGACGAGUACAAUAUGAGAUAUUAUAUGCAUAUAUAUUAUAUAAUUUUUUAAAAAAUAAUACAAUUAAAAAAUUAGGCAUAAAAAUACUUGUUUGGCAGAAUAUUGCUUAUAAAAUCGUAAGUGAAUGGUACGAAUGUCUUUGAAAGUUAUGAAACUGAAAAUACAACAGUUAAAAUUACUAUAUUUUUUAAAAGAUCAUAUUAUAUUUAUGCUAAUUUUGACCUAUAUUCUUGUGUAUGAGACAUUAAAUUUAUUAAAAUCUUAUCAGCUUAUUAUUUUUAUAUGUAUAAAUCUAUAGAAUUAUGUUUUGUUAUGUACAUAAUUAUGUUAUAUGUCACUAUCAUGUUGUAUAUAACCAAGAGGAUGAAGUCAGUCUCCUUACUAAAAUUUUAAAAUUUUUUCAAAAAUUAUAGUAUAAUUCGUGAAGUAUAAUACGUCAAAAGUUUAUUAUGUGUUUUAUAUGGUCAAUUAAAAAGUAUAUAUACAUCUUUCAAAAUAUUUUGAAAAUGUACAAAUAUAAACGUUUUUUUAAAUUAUGCAUACGAACAUAUAGUAUACAAAUUUAAUACAAUGCAUAGUUUUCCUCUCUCUUCUAUCAACCUUGUUUGGACAACCUGAAAUCAAAAAUAAGUUCCUCUAUGUUUUCCAAAGCUCUUAGAGGAGAUUGUGAUCAAAACUUACUAAAUUAGUUUCAAUCAAGUUAUAAUAAAAUCAUUUUCUAGCUCAACCACGUUUUCUAUUAGUGAAAGAGGUUUAGCUUUUAUAUAGACAAAAAAGUUUCACUUUUAUAGAGAUUUUUUUUAAAAUAGAGAGUUUACUAUUUAGCAUGUUGAUUGAACUUGGAAUCAUCUAUCCAACUUUAUGUAGUCAUGAUAAAGAAAUCAUAGGAUAAAAAAAAAAUGGAAGCGAAAGGGCAAAAAUCAUACUAGAAAAGAAAUAAUCACAUUCAGAAUACCAUAUUUAGAAAUGAUUAUAUUUAGGGCUACAAUCCAUCUCAUCCUACCAUUCAAUCUAACCCAAUUCUCAAAAAAAAAAAAAAAAAAGGGCUCAUAAAGAAAUCACAGGACAAAAAAAGGGGAGAAGGGGAGCGAAAGGGGAAAAAUUCAUACUAGAAAAGAAAUAAUCAUAUUCAAAAUAUCAUAUUAAAAAAUAAUUAUAUACACGUCUACAAUCCCUCUCACUAGACCGUUUAACUCAACACUCAAAAAAUAAAAAGUUUUUUUGAGCAUUCAGAAUAUCAUCAUUAACUAAUGUAUUGAAAAUUCAUUCAAGCCAAAAAAAAGAAGAAGAAGAAGAGACCGACGUAUUCAAAAUUAAUAAGCCAGCGUUUCUACAAAUAUAUCAAUUAAUUGUUCCAAAAAAAAAAAAUGCACAGACAAAAAGCAAAUUUUUUUUUCUUUUUUGGGGAAGAGAUACUAAGAAAGACUGUAUAAGUCGUGAUUAUUUGAUCCGCGGUAAGAUACCACGCCUCUAACUGUGGGAUGCUGCACGCCUAAAGGCGUUUGAUUUAAUAUCACGAGGUACCACGCCCACUCAGUUCAUUGCAAAAGCUACGUAAUUCGACCCGAAUUACCCGUUUAUCGUCAUUUGGACUGCUUCCUUGUCAGCGGAAAGCAAAAGCCCUACCGGUGCAGUCUUAAACCCUCAGCCAUCGUUUCUUUCCCUCGAAUCCAAUGGCGAAGAAAAAACAGAAAUCAUCGCAAAAUAAGGAUAAGAAUCAAGAACUAAAGGAGCAGCCGGUAGUUGUAGAGGAUGAAGCAGCAGCAGCUAAACAAGAAAAAGAAGACGAGGAGAAGGAGGAGGAGGAAGAACGGAGUUUCGAAGACCUUGGAUUAGACCCUCGCCUAAUUCGAGCACUUAUCAAGAAAAACAUCGACAAACCUACACCUAUCCAGCGCGUCGCCAUUCCUCUCAUCCUUGUAACUGACUUGUUGAAUCAAUUUUGGUCAGUUUCUUGAUUUGUCUAAAAGUUACGAAUUCGUUUAACCUUUUUUUUUUCUUUUGUUGGUUGUCUAUCUAAAUUGUUGCAGGAAGGUAAAGACGUGGUUGCUCGGGCAAAGACUGGUUCAGGAAAGACCUUCGCCUAUCUCCUACCUUUACUUCAGAAGCUAUUUUCUGACUCGCCUUCUAAACAUAACCAAGCUCCUACCGCUUUCAUUUUAGCUCCUACUCGUGAGUUAUGCCAACAAGUAUGUAAUCUUGAUUAAUUUGAGCUAGUGUUGUGAAGAAAAAUCAAUCUUAUUGAGGAAUUAAUGGCUUAGUUAAUAGUAUUUUUGUUUUUUGCUCCUCAUUUUCUAGGUUUAUGCGGAGGUGAUGUCGCUAAUUGAGUUAUGUAGAGUGCAGCUGAAAGUUGUGCAAUUGACUAGCAGCAUGUCUAAUUCUGACUUGGUCAGAAUUUACCUUCUCUUGUUUUGGUGCCAUUUUAUAAUUAAUGAGCUUGGAGUUGUAUAAUUCAAUUGUUAAACAUGGGAUGUUGGUGGCUGCAGAGAACAGCAUUGGCUGGGCCACCUGAUAUUAUAGUGUCUACGCCUGCUUGUGUACAUACAUGCCUGUCAGAUGGUGUUCUUCAGCAGAAAGCUGUUCAGGAUUCCUUGUCCAUUAUUGUCCUCGAUGAGGUGUGAAUUCAAACUGUGCAAUAUACCUUAGUGAUGAUAUGGAUAAGAAAAAGGGUUGGUGCAUUUGCUACAACAUGAUUAUUGAAGAGGUUCAUUUAUCGAGUUUCUAAAUAGGUGUUAGCACCAGUUUAAUUAGUAUGGUUAUAAGAACCUCAAAUACUUUCGAGGAAAAAAUUUGUAAUUUUGAUGGUCUCAAGUUUGUGGAUGGCUUAGUGGUGAGAGAAACUCAUGAUAGUUGUAUUUGAUAUCAGGCAGAUCUUCUUUUGUCAUAUGGAUAUGAAGAUGAUCUUAAAGCUCUUACGGCGCAUGUCCCUAGACGUUGCCAGUGUCUUCUCAUGUCAGCAACCUCUAGGUUUGAUCCUGUUCUAUAAUGCUUUAGCAGGUUAUGCCUAUCUGUGUUGAAAUUAAAUCAUUAUCCUAAUAUUUUUGUUUAUAUUGCAUCGGGUCCAAUACUCUUUUCUGUCAGUUCUGAAAUUCAUUCUUUUGCUUGUGGUGGGGCAUACCACCGAUGGCAUUUUUGGCUCAUGCUCUUUUAGAAAGUGAUAUUUUGUUUUCUUUGACUUCAAUCUCUGCUUGUAAUACUGAAGCAUGUCAUGCAUGAAGCUUUGUGAGAAAUUUACUGCAUUCAGUCAUUUUAUUUUUCCUCGUAUGGAUCGGAUUAUGCCACUUGCCUCUCAUUGCUUAUUUGGCAAAUACCUUACACUGUUUUCUAUCAUGUGACAUUUUGCAGUGCUGAUGUUGAAAAGCUGAAAAGGCUUAUUUUACAUAAUCCCUACAUCUUAACUUUGCCUGAAGUAGGAGACCUUAAGGAUGACAUCAUCCCCAAGAAUGUUCAGCAGUUUUAUGUAAGAAAUUUUCUGCCUGCAGUUGUGAAUCUUGUCAACAUAUUCUUGGUGGCAGUUUUGCCCCUGCAAAUGAAAACUAGAAUUACCAUACUGGCCAAGAAGCCAGAAAAUCUGCUAUUGCUUCAAUUCUUAUAUUUUGUAUACUCUGUCAAGCUUCAUUACAGCUCUCCAAUGGAAUACAUACGUCAUACGCAACAUGCCUUGUUUAAAAUUUAAAAAUCAUACAGCAAUGGUUAUAAUUUUGCGAAAUUUGGUACAAUCUAGUUACCCUCUAAGUUUCUGGUCUGCAGCAUAUCCCAAGGUUAUAGUGGUUUACAACCUUUUACUGACAUAAUUGCUAAAGUAACAGAUGAUUUGCUUCUCUAGCCUAAUCAUGUCUGAAUAGGGUUGGAGCUUUGUCUAAUGAAUUUAUGCACAUAUAAGUGACUCUGUAGAUAUGCAUAACAGUACUGUAUUACAUUGGAAUAGUUGUUGUUAUUUCACAUUAACUACGUAAAAUUAUGUCUUGCUAUCAGAUAUCAUGCAGUGCCCGAGAUAAGCUUGUCCACAUCCUUGCCCUGUUGAAGCUCGAGCUUGUUCAGAAAAAAGUUUUGAUAUUCACCAAUGCAAUUGAUACAAGUUAUAGACUGAAGCUCUUCUUUGAACAGGUACUCUGACUCUUCUAAUUUGCUUUCAAUUAUUGCUUUGCUAUUGUCUUGACUUGCUAGUGCCAGUUAUUUGUGGGUUAUCAUCUAAUAUCUGCUGUUUCUGAUGUCGACUGGGGACUUCUGGCUUUAACCAAUUUAGAAGUAACACAGGGAAUAGUAAGAAGAUGUUCUGCGUUUCAAUUUUUCAUCCCCCUAAUUUGCAUAUAAGGACCUUUCAAUUUUUUCCUAUUUUUUAUUUUUAUUUUAUUAUGAUUUUUUUUUGGGUGAAAAUCUAAAGCUGUAGACAGAUGGAAAUGGGUAUCAGUGGUCUAGGAAUUAUGGUUAUCAGAUCUGGGGUUUAGAAAACUUGCAAGUUCAGCAAAGUGUUGAUCAAUUGUAUUGUUUCUUGAUGAAUUUCAAUCUGAUUGGUGAGGCAAGUAUGGUAAGCCUUUAUUUACAACUUCACCAAUUAAGUGUCCCUCUGUACAGUUUGGUAUAAAGUCUGCUGUUUUAAAUGCUGAGCUGCCCCAAAAUUCUCGUCUACAUAUCCUUGAGGUAACAGUUCUACUUGCUGGAUUGUAGUCAACAAGCAGCUAUCUUUAUGAUGAUAUGACUAGUCUUAUUACCACCGGUCUAAUUACUUGUUUCAUGUUCUGUCAGGAGUUCAAUGCUGGACUUUUUGAUUAUUUGAUUGCGACUGAUGACAGUCAGCCGCAAGAGAAAAAGAAGUUUGACAGUGGAAGUAAUGCUGUGCAGAAGAAAGCCAGAAAGCAUGCCAAGCAAAAACUAGAUGCAGAGUUUGGUGUUGUGAGAGGGAUAGAUUUCAAAAAUGUGCACACGGUAGGCUGCUUUUCUAAAAUACAUUUUUCUUGACACUUGAAUUUUUUUUUAAAAUUUUUGCACCACAUUCUAGACGUCAUAUUGCAGUAUCUUAUUCUUUGUUACAAUAUCUUUACUUUGAUGUAUGAUUUUUGCAAUAAGCGCAGGUAUCAUUAUGCAUAGGUUAUUAUAUAUUUGGAGAUACUCAGACAGCAUAUAUCUACUUAAUCUUCUUAUUACAAUCAAAGUGGAUGGUUGCACGAUUAGUAAUUAGUAUGUUACUAUUGAUUGAAAAUUUUGAGCUUUUCCAUGUAUGUUGUUUAUCCUACCCUUGAGCUUUCUUCCAUACAGGAAUUGCUUUGCGUAUCAUCUACUUGUCUGUGGCUGAUGAGGUUGUCAGUUUGAUAAUCGACUUGUAUUGAUUCUUUUCUUUCUUGCAGGUCCUAAAUUUUGAGAUGCCUCAAAGUGCUGCGGGAUAUGUACAUCGAAUUGGACGUACUGGAAGAGCGUAUAACACUGGUGCAUCUGUCUCUCUGGUAAUUUUCUAAAGACUAAAUUGGAAUUACUUUUGUAACUGAAUUUAUACCCUGACUUCCAGAUUGAAUUUGGUUGAUCUUCAUUUUUUUGCAAGCAGAACUGAUGAACAGUAUGAUUGCUUGAAUAUUGACUAGAAUCUUCGGUAAAUCAUUGGCUCAUAUAUAUCCAUGUUGUAGAAGUUCUGUCAUCCUUCGCAAUCAUGGUUUUGGUUUUCAGUUUUUUCUUUGUGUUUAUUGCAUACUGAAAUAUGCCUUUUAUUUUUUAUAUCAAAUAUUGGAUUGUGCUAUAGGUUUUGCCCCUAUUUUUUGCUGUUAUUUUUAUAUCAGAAUUCCUAAUAUAUGUUAGAACAUGAAUAAUGUCUCCCCUAAUAUGAUUAAAGUGAUUAUGGUAAUGAAUUUAAAAUUAUUGUGAUCAUUUUCUUAUAUGUUUCUUAUCUCCCUCUUACUUGAUCUUGAAUAGGUGUCCCCUGAGGAAAAUGACAUGUUUGAAGAUAUUAAAUCCAUCAUCGGUGAAAGUGAUAAUAUGGACUCCAAUUUUAUAGCUCCAUUUCCGUUGCUCACUAAGAAUGCUGUGGAGGGCUUGAGAUAUAGAGCUGAGGUAAAUAUUGCCUUCCUUUACUGCAUAGUAAGUUGUAACUUUUUGAACUUAUUAUGCAUUAAGCAUCUCUUUAUGCUUACUUUGCUUCUGUGCUUCUAUAUAUGCCAAACUUAAGUACUGCAUUUGUCAAAGUAUGAUAGAAGUGAUUAAUCUAUAUUCUAAGUAGAGUCCUUUCCAUUGUGUGAAUGCUCAUUUCGUAAAGGAACUAGGUAGAAACUCUUCAAUGGCUUUCUCUAAUUAUUCAUGUAUGUAUGUUUCUUCAAGGGUAAGUUGGUCAUCAACUCAGUCACCUUGGUUGCUGGACAUUUCUGAGAAAUUAAAAUAUUUACUUUUGUUAUGUUAGGAUGGUGAUUAUUAACAGCAAUUAAAUUGUGAUUUAUGUUUAGAACGGUCAUCUUUGGUGUUGUAAAAUCAGUACCGUGGAAGAUGUAAAUGGCUAUUUUUUCAGGAUGUGGCAAGGAGUGUGACAAAAGUUGCUGUGAGAGAAUCUCGGGCACAGGACCUUAGAAAUGAAAUUCUCAAUUCAGAAAAGUAAGUAGUUUUCUCACUUUAGCUUAUGAUUGGGUUGGCCUUAUUUUGCCUGCAAGCUUUCAGUUAAUUGCACCUUGGAAGUUGCGAUGCAGUUCACAUAUCUGUUUUAGAGUUUGUUGAAUUUGAUCCCUUUGUUGUCAUGUUAUGCAUUAAGAUGCAGAUGAUAAUUCUUCAUACUUUGCAUAUGAGCACUAGACAUGUUCCAUUGGAAGGAGAUGACAUCUCUGACUGUGACAUUGGACUUGGGAGUUGUUUAAGUGGAUGCGAAUUAAACGUUCCUCUACAUCUGAACACUAUAUUUGAUUGUCAGGGAGACAUUGAUUUUGACUUUUAUGUCUUUGAGGUAGUCAGUCACUAGCAUGAGUAGCCCGUGUGGCCAAAAAUUUAUGCUAGUCAUUUGUGAUCAUGUCUAUUGUUUUCAUUUUAGCUUUGAUAUUGUUUUGACAUGCUUAAUUUAUUUGGAUUUGCAUGCAUGUUAUGCUUUCUGCUUAUUCUUGCAUGGUCUUCUAUCUUGCUUUUGAGCUAAUUUAUAUAGUUUUGAUCAGGUUGAAGGCUCAUUUCCAAGAUAAUCCCAGGGACUUGGGUAAGAUGAAUUAUUAUUCGUGGAUAAUUACAUUGACUUUGCACAUGACUUCUCUUCAGCAAUUUGACAUGUAUAUUUGUUUCUGGGGAAAGAUCUUUUGAAACAUGACAAGCUUUUAAGUAAGAAGGAUCCGGCUCCCCAUCUACGUGAUGUGCCCGAAUACCUCUUGGACCCAACAACGCAGGAAGCCCGCAAAAUUGUAAAGCUUGCGAGAGCUGCAAUGGGCAAUAAUAACACUGCUCGCCGCAAAGGAUUUAAGGGCAAGUUUAGAAAAAGUAGAGACCCUUUGAAAACCUUUUCUGCUGAGGUACGUUUACAAUAUUUUUUCUGGUCUUCAUUUGCUCAAUGAUUGUACUAGCAAACAUGGGUGCACUCGGGGUGGGAUGCUUUUUAAUAUUUCAAAAUUGUAGAAUUUUCCUUUAUAAGUAUUAAAAUGUUCAGUUAGAUCCUUGUAAAAGUUAAUGCCCCCUCUAAUAUUUAUGACAAGUGAAAUUCACCCCUGUAAAUUUGCCAUCUAAACUCAUUUUUGUUCCCAAUUUCCUCGUAAAGAACAGAAGGUAAACUCAGUUUAUCAUCUUAGUUCAUGUUUAUCAUCAAAUUGGGUACAAAUUUUUGGUCGGUAACUUACAUAUAUCAUUUGUGUGACUAAAUAGAUAUUCAGCAUUUAGAAUUCAUGUAACAAAUAGAUAAAUUGUAGAAUUUACAUCACCUUUUUAAAAGUUAACUAUUGUAUCGAAUGUCAGUUUCACACCCCAGAAGGCAUGGGACAAUGGUUAAGUUCCAUUAAUGAUCUCAAAUUUAUUGUAUAAAAGUAGGUAUCCAAAUCAGUAAAUGUAUGAAAGAGAUGAUAGAUUGAAUCGGCGACCAUGUCUGAUAAUGCAAUGGGGCCAAAAACAAGUUUAGAUUGCAAGAUGGAAAAUCUACAAUUUCUAAAACUGUAAGAGGACCAAGCUCUCGCAUUCGCACAUGCUAGCAUAUUUUGCAAAAUAAUACAAAAAUUACUUUAUACAACUGCAUUACAUCAAAAUGUUGUUGAAUGGCUUGCAAUGGUGGUGGGUCGAAUAGCUUGCAAGGGCAGAUUUCUUAUGAAUUUAACGAAGCCUUGGUUUCAGGCAUCAAGACGACCUUCAAAAGGUGGGAUAAGGAGGAGGGGACCAGGGUGCGAUGCCGGUCAUAAGCGCAAAAGGAAAGAGACUGUCGAUUGAUUUGUUGCGCACUCGCUGGAAUAUUUCAGCUCGGGAGAGUCUCGGUCCCCAAAAGUUUUGUUUUAUAUUAUAUAUGAUUGUAAUGUUAAAUUUUGAUAUCCAGCAUGUCGUCCCGUUCUUGUCCAUGUCUCCAUGGAUCGUCACACAGCAUUUUGCGUGCUGGGGCGAUCCUGGGCCAAUUGCAGUGUCUGAACUUUCGGAAUUGAUUAGUCUUACAAGUAUAGAAUUCUUUUGGUGAUGGCGCAUGGCGUAGAUUGUAUCCGUCUAAACCCUGCGGAAAAAGUUGGCCGCCAAAAGCUGCAUGAUCCAUUCACUCCUCCUCGUGCAACGGCUUCCAGUCCCGUAGUGAGUAUCGUAACAAAGCCCAAUAACUUGUUUGUUUAAUUUUUCAAGAAUACGUUUGUGGAAAAGCGAAUGCUGCCUUAUUGAUGUCUAAAAAACAUGUAGUUGUUCCUACCCAAAAGGCAACUAAGGGAUGUCUUCCCUGUGUGUUGUCUAACUCUCUCUCUUAAAUAUAUAUAUAUUUAUUAUGUUGAGGUGGUGUCUAGUCCACGUUGGUAACUUCAUUAGUCUUUCCUUCUCACCAGUCGAUGUUAUCCGAGAGUCUGAUAGUCUGAAGCGGACUUGCGUAGCCUGUAGCUUGAUUGGUCGCCCAAACAAGACAGGAAGGAAUUCUCUGUCUGAGAAUAUCAAAUGUGGCGUAAAUCUAACGUUAGCAAAGAAGUUAUGUUUGGAAUAUUUAAAAUUCUUCCUGAACACCACUAGUGAUAUUAAGAGAUACUAUUAUAGCUCAUUAAAGAGGCCAUGUUAAUGACCAUGAUAGGCGUGUGUCUUUGAUCUUGGCAACCGACCCCCCGACCUUUUGUUUUCGAGACGGAAAGAGGAUCCUUCUAAAGCUAAUGUACCCCGUCCAAACAAAAAUUGACUAGAGAUGAUGUAAACAUCACUGGAAAGAACAAAAGCUCCUCCUAAGAUGUGACUGCCCCCACGGCCAGCCACGAUUCGUGAUUAAUAUAUUUUGACAGAAGCCUGGUCGUCGGUUUAGUAAAUAUGUAUCUUUCGUCUUUUCCGACUUAGCCCCACUGUCCCAGCGACGACUGAUGGUCCUCUUGUCUUUUGGCCUUCGAUGGGAGAUUGCUGGCGGGUACUACAGGGAUCUGUGGACAGUAACAUUUGAUGAUUGCUAUUUUUAAAAUUUUUUUUAUAAAAAAUAUAUUAUAGUGAUUUUAUGUAUGUAAAAUAGAAAAGUGAUUGAGAAAUGUGUUUAUAAAAAAUGUAAAAAAAUUUUUGGUAGAAAAAUCACAAUCCAAACAUAGUGUCAAAAGACUAUGCUGCCUUGUGGUCAUGUUUGAUGUGUUCGUGCAGGCCGUGAAGCAGACUUGAUGUGAUCCCAACCAACCGGUCCCGUUUUCAUAAUGCACUCGGCCACGCUUGAUGUAGAUCAACUUUGCCGUGUCCCAAAAGCCCAAAAAGAAUAUAUAUAUAUAUAUAUAUAUAUAUAUGUGUGUAUAUUAGAUUUAUACGUAGAUAUAUGAUUUUUUUUAAAAAAAAAAAUCUUUCUUUUAACCAGACAACAUAGUAGUAUACCAGUUAAAAUUAUUAAAUAUCCAUGUCCACUUUUAGGUUUCGAAAUGGUUUUCUAUCUUUAGACCCACCUAAGUACGAGUCUUCUUUUUGGUGCAAUCACUUUAUAUCAUACCAUAAAAACCCUUGUAAUUUAGUUUCCAGAUGAUCCAUAUCUCCCUUUUUAUUUUUCCACGAUUUUCUUUAAGAAUAAUUUCCUUAAGGAAAAAACAAAGAUAUGAGGAUAUUUAUUGGAAUAAAAAGCUUGAACUCGAAAACACUCUGAAGGCUAAUAAUGUUUAACCAAAAGUUGAGAUUACUGAUUACCUAUGGUCUCAACUUUUAGUAAAGUGAUUGUUGUGGGCACUGAUGACUGAUUAUCAAGAUUUCUUUUGAUAAAAUGCUAUGUCAAACUUGUACAGUUGGGGGUUACAAAGCUGGCCACAGAGCCCUUAACAUGGAAUAGUUCUGGCGGUAGCUGCCCUUAAAAUAUCCGCCCCCCAGAAGCUCCUACAGUGCCAUUGGAGGAUCAUCCAAGUAGAUGAAAUCUGCUUGUAUUGGGACCCCUGGUCUAGCUAGCCAAUCUGCACUCUUGUUACUCUCCCUCUUAAGCUUGUUGCGGGUUACAUUGCCAAUCUCUGCUGAUAAAUUCACGCAUCUGCUUCGUAAGAUUAAAAUGUGGCGAUGUGUUUCUUAGUGCUUCAUAAUCAGCCGUAUCUUCUGCAUUUAAUAAUCAGCCGUCUCUUCGCAAAUUGUAUUCGGGAAAUUGAGCAGCAACUUCAUCUUAAGUGGUCCAACUUUGUCCCCUGAUUUUGAGUUUAUCUUGUCUAAAUGUGGAUGAAGUUAGAUCAAGUGGUCCUAAAAAAAAAGGAUUUCUUAUGCAUUUGGAUAUCAAACAUACAUAAUUUACAUCAUCACCAAAAGAAAAGGCAUUAAGAUAAAUAAAACCUUCACAAGGUGGAAAUGACAGGCGCUCAAGGGUAGUAGUAUUGCAAUUUGGAUUAGAUCAAUAGCGAGAUAUAUUGCUCUUCGACAAGAUUUCGCAAAAUUAUACUUGAGUGAAGUAUGGGGAAAAGCUUGCGUUAAAAAAAAAAAUAUGUUUACGGAAAACAUAAAAAUUUUCCCGUGAAAAAUCACAAUCCAAACGAGGCAAUCGAUUUCGUUUAGUUUUAUGUUGUUUAUGCUUAAUUUUUCAGAUAAAUCAUCAGAAGCAUAUCUUUUUCUUGUACCACAGGGAGUCGCUCUUUUCUACGGCACCAUAGCGUUACGACUGCACGAGUUUCUGCUGCCUAAUUGCCUAACGUAUACCUGGAAAUUAUUGUGUUCGUAUGCCGAAGAAGCGACACUUGAAAUACAUAUAGAAUGUGGUAAUUGACCGGUUCGAGGAAACCUAAACAAAAACGACUUCAGCAUGUUUGUCGAUGGGGCACUUACAAGCACUUCGACAGCGAUCAUGAUAAUAUCAAGAAAGAAAAGACAACAAAAACUACUAGUUUUCUGUCUCUUUACUUUUUUAUUUGCCAAGAGGAAACAUCUUGAAAUCACGGGGUGAUUUUGUGGCUACCACCAAUCCAUAUGCCUCCGAUUUUUAUUGUGUUCUAUACCAUUCUAUUAACUCUCGAGUAUAGAAACGUGGCUGCCUGCACUGUAUAAUUUGGCAACCAGAUCUCAGUCCGGAUUACUUAGAUUUUGUACGUGGAUUGUCAUUUUCAAAGCCAAUGCACGAUCUUUGUCAAAUAGGUCCGUAGAAACAGUCGGCUAAUGCAGCUAAGUUCUUUAAAUUAGAACCCAAAAAAUUCGGGCUCGUUAUUCUUUUGGGAGAGCUGUGGGGACUGUAUCACCCCAAAAGAAAUAGGGGGAAAAAAAAACUUAUGUGUAAGUAUUGAUGCAGCCUUUGUACCUUCAGAAUGUAUCCUGGAUUUCUAAUUGCGCAAAUUAUUCGGGCUGCUACUAAAAUUUUGGAAUCAUCGAGUUUUGACCAUCGAACUAUUAAAAGUUUAGUUUUGCACGCUGAACUAUCUAAAGUCUAUAUUUCGACCUAUUCUAUCAAAUUUAAUCGUUCGAUAACUAUGUGAAAUUCCUACCCUUUUCUUGUCUUGUGAAUCGUGCGAGUACUCAUAUAUAACAUAGUUAACGAUUAAAUUUGACGGAAUAAUUUGAAAUCUAAAUUUUAGAUACUUCAAUAGUUAAAAUCCGCCUUUUAAUAGUUUAGUAGUCAAAAUUCAACGAUUCCAAAAGUUUAGCGACUAUUCUGAUAAGUUGCUCUUUCCAAUUCAUGCACGUGCAUGACUUUAAUCUAAAAGGCUCCUUAUCUUCACCAAUCCUCCCAUACACGAAAUGACCAAAGGAUUAACUCUAGGUGAUCUUAUUGGUAUAUCAACGUGCAAUUAACACCAUAGACAUGUUUUAUAUUCAUUUCAGUAUAAAUAAAAAGGGAUGUUUUAAAUUGAAAUUAACCAAUAAGGUUGUAGGCCCACAAUGCAGUCAAUAUUAGUUAUAUGCAUUUUUACUCUGAAUAUAUAAUGGUACCAAAUAUUUCCAAAAAAUAUAAAAGAGGUGGGCUGUUGGAGACGAAACAGAAAAUCAAGAUGGUGUCAUGGAAAUAAUCGCAACUCGAGCGCCAAAGAAUAUUCCAAAGCUCAGUCCGCAGUGAAAUGUACCUGGAAACGAAACGGAGGAAAAAAAUCGCUGGCCUUUUCUCUUUACCAGACAAAGUCGCACAAAAACGUACAACCAACACGUGUUUUUUUUUCCCCAACACAAGAAGGUUUUUGUUUUUUUUUUGGAGGCUACUUAUAAUUUUUUCCACUUUACUACCAAACCUAACUCUACCUCUACAACCCAACACAAGUUGGCACCUUAAUGAUAAUAGACGUUUGUACGUAUGUUUGACUUUCACUGUUAGAGCUGUAUUAAUAAAAAUUCUUAUAAACCACUAUGGUCCAUAUUCUAAUCCAUGGUGUGAUUGGAGUUGAAAUUAUGCAAAAAAUAAUAAUAAUAAUAAUCUCAAAAAAACACACAUGGAGACACACGAAUGUAGUAGUAUUAUGAUAAAUGUCAAACGUAUUUGUCGAACUACAUGCCUAUUGAUUCCCCCAUGUUGUAAGGGUGCUUUUUUUUUUGUUUUGAUCACUAAGGGUGGCUAAACUUCAGAAAAAAAAUCAACCAGUACGACAAAUGUCAAAUGUAUUUGUCGAACUAUAGACCUAUCUACUUCCCCAAGCUGUAGGAGUGCUUAAACUUCAGAAAAAAAAAAAAAAUCGGCCAGUCCAAUCUAAAUCGAAAUUUCGAUUGAAUUUUAGUAAAAUGAAAAUUGGUAAAAUAGAAGAAUAUUCAAUGUACAAUGUUUGGUAAAAUAAUUUAGAAAUGAAUAUUGAAAAUAAAUUUCCUAAUUCUUGAUUAUCGGCCGAACUUUCGAAAUUCUUAUAAUAUACACACACAGGAUAUAUAUAUUAUUACUUAUACAUGAUAUAGAUAUACAUAUUACGUAUUAUAUAAUAUUAAGAUCUACUAAUUCUUAGUGACUAGGGCCUACUACUAACUAGAACAGUAAUACUUUAAUGUUUUACAUACUAGUGAUUACUGAUUAGUUAACUUAUAAUAGGAAUUAUGAAUAAUAAUGAUGAUGGAUGAUUCUGAAUACUUAUGCUAUUUUUCUUUCUUUUCUUUCUGCUUGGAUUGAUCUUUUUUUAAAAAUAAAAUUUUCAAAUACAUGCUACAGUAAUACACAAUAACCAAAAAAAUAUCUCAUCCAUACAAUAUAUCAAAAUUUUCAAAAUAAUUUUAUAGUAAAAAAUUUUCGUAUAUAUUGCUACAGUAUGGAGUUGAUUUUUUGGCAUAUCAUGCUUGUUGGAGUUGAUUUCAUUGAAUUUUGUAGAGAAAGAACAAAUGGGAUCUAGUUUGGUGUAACAAUUUUUUUAGAGAAAAUUAAAAUUUUUUGCUUUACUAUAAUGAUAAUUCAUAUUUCGAAUAUUAUCAAAUUAUUGAUUCUUUGGCAUAAAUCCAAUUAUCAAAGACAGUAAAAAGAUGUUGGUUUCGGAAGUAAAAAACUGCAAAAAAUCAAAUUUUUUAGUCAAAUUUCCGAUCACCAGUGGAUGAGCAGGCCGUGUAGCAUUAUAAACAAAAGAGCAAAUUAUCCGAUUGGCCAUUAAACUUUUGCAAUCGUCGAGUUUUGGUCACUCAACUAUUAAAAAUCUGGUUUUGGUCACUAAAAUGUAUAAAGUUAAGAUGUGAGGCCAUUCUGUUAAAUUUAGCCGUUAAGUUUGCCGAUCUGUCUAUCCGUGCGAUUUCCAAGGCAAAAGACAGGGUCAAUUUAGGAAGUUCAACGUAACAUUGAAUGCUUCUCUCAAAAAUCGUCACUCUUCUUCCUCCCCUCAUCAAAUCUUCGUCAGACCCUUUUCAUCCACCGUAGGCAUCAGGACCAAACCCAGAACUUCCUCUCAAGCAACCCAAUCUCCCCGCCACUCGUCCCCAAAUUCUCCAUUUGCUAAAGUUCCUUCCUCCAGUCCCUCCACCAGCAGCACCUUUUAUUCAGGUUCUGCCCCGAAUACCGGCUCCGGUUCUGAUUUUCAACUAAAUUCGUCGGUUGGUACAACCUCCGCUUCAAGCCGUACAUCCCUCUCCAAGCCUCCAAGCCUCCAUCUCUCCCUCCCAGAACACGCCUAUAUUUAUGAUUUCUCCGAAAUCCGUUCUGCCACCAACAAUUUUUUCACCAAACGCUAAUCCACUUCCUCCUCCUCCUCCCAGUCCUGGCGCUGCGAGCUCAACGGAAAGGACGUCAUUAUUUUUCAAUGGAAAAUCCAUUAGACAAUCCACGAAUCUGAGCUGAGAUCCAAAUUAUCGGUUAUUUGUAAAAGCCAUCAUAAAUGCUUAAUCAAGCUCCUCGGAGCUUCCAUUUCAAACAUCACAUUUACUUAGUUUAUGAAUUUAUCAGCGGCUCGAAUCUUUCUACUUGUCUCCGAAAUCCAAGAAACCCUGAUUUCACCGUUCUUUCCACCUGGAUGUCGCGAAUGCAAAUCACCACGGAUUUAGCUAACGGCUUGAAUUAUAUCCACACCGCAGCCGGAUUCAACAUAAGUUUGGUCCAUAAGUACGUGAAGAGCAGCAAAAUUAUUAUCACUGGGCCUUCCUUGAAUGCCCAAAUUUGCCAUUUCGGAGCCGCCGAGCUAUGCUCUGAGACGGAGAGAUAUGAAUGAGGUGAGAUAACGGAAGAGGAGUUGCCGGAGCUGCGGAGGUCGAGGAGUAGGGGGAGGCAAUUUGAAGGAGUGAGAGGAUACAUGUCGCCGGAGUUUAAGUCGAUCGGCUUGGCGACGCAGAAGUCUGACAUGUACGCUUUUGGAGUGGUGAUUCUGGAGCUUUUGUCCGGGGAGGAGCCGCUGAAGUAUAAAUAUGAUAAUGCGAGUGGAGAUUAUAGGAAGAUUUCAAUUAUCAAUUCAGCGACGGAGGCGGCGGAAACUGACGGAGAGGGUAAUGAAACGGUGGAGGGAAGUUUUGAGGAUGAAAAGGGUCUGACAAAGAUUUGACGAGGGGAGGAAGAAAAGCGACGAUUUUUGAGAGAAGCAUUCAAUGUUAUGUUGAACUUCCUAAAUUGACCCAGUCUUUUACCUUGGAAAUCGCACGGAUGGACAGAUCGGCAAACUUAACGGCUAAAUCUAACAGAAUGGCCUCACAUCUUAACUUUAUACAUUUUAAUGGCUAAAAUCAGACUUUUAAUAGUUGAGUGACUAAAACUCGACUAUUGCAAAAGUUUAAUGGCCAACCGAAAAAUUUGCUCUAAACAAAAAGGCCAGCACGUCAAGACACCCAGCGGCCAACCUGCCGGUCACCGGACCUUUCCACUUAACAUACACCCCUCCCUUGUCCUCUCUCCACUGUGUACUCAAUUCAGCUCCAGAUCCCCAGAUGCAGAUGCUGGUACUACUUGCCAAACCUCAGCUGACCCCAACAGCGUUGUUACUCAUAUCAGUGGUCCAAAUUUUGUUGUCCUCUUAGGAACCACUCAAAUAUCUACUUACAAAAUCAACGGAAUGAUGCGGUUUAAUAGUUGUUUUAGGAGUAGUAUUUAUUCAUCAACUGCUGCCAAGCCGGCCCAUUCUACCUCCUCCUUCGUCCAUCGUCCUCUUCCAACACGCCACACCUUUCCUACUUCAGUUUCUUGGAAUUUACCAUCACCAACAGUAUCCCGACCCAACAGGCCUCUAUAUAUUCAGAUAACGAACCCCAAAACUAAAAUAACAACAACAACAUUCCCAGUUGUUUAUUGUACUGACAACAGCAAUACUACUAGUGCGACAACCCAAAACAGAGAACCAGAAGGUUCGAAACCCCGUUUGUUCUUUGGCCAACAAAUUCGGAUUGGUAUGCUGAUCAUGAUGACAAUAUUCAUGGAUAAGUACAUUGCCGGAACAUUCUUUGCCUCUGUUUUUGGUUUUCUCAUUCUCUGCAUUUUGCAACUUAGGAGUAAUAAACAAUAUAAGCAGAAACCGCACGCAGACCGGCCCUGCUUAGACAUUCGGAGCAACCAGAUGGCGGUUGAUGAAUGCCGGACCGGCUGGGACUCUGAUACCGAUGUUAUCAUAGUCGGUGCGGGCGUCGUUGGUGCAGCCUUAUCGUACACCCUUGGGAAGGUCGAACGCCAACGCCUGCCCUGCUCACCUCCACCCACAUACACUCCCCAAACACCCCCCCCCCCAAAAAAAAACAAAAAAAAUUCAUAUGAGCGUUUUCUCAAAGUACUAUUCCGUUUUAAAUUCUGUAAAAGAUUUUUUUUUUUUAAAUUUAAUGUUUCUGUAAGCCCAAAAAAGAUAAACCAAGAAAGAGUCUUCCUGGGAGUAUUUUGUAUAGGUGAAUUUGUUUGAAGGAAGGGUUUGCACCAAGAAUCUUAGCAUUAGAGAGAAAAGAGGAAGAGUCUAUAGGAAAGUUUUUUUUUUUAAUAAUUAUAUGUACUAAGAUGGGUGACUAUCAGUUCUCUAUUUACUCUUGGAUUGUUAACAGGUUUUCUUUGAUUAUGAUGUAUUGAGCAUUUAAUUUAUUUCCUUACAAAUAAAUAAAGGGAUGGUUUUCUGAACUGAGAGCUCUGAUGACUUGGAGCUCACCUUUCCUACAGUAAAAAUAAUAUCUGGCUAUUGUCAGCGAUGUUAUCUGGCAUGAAGUAGUUUUGGAGUUUUUCAGCAUUGUCACUUAUGUAAAAACAAUAUACGAAAAAAAUACUUUUUUGAAGUUCGGCUUGGUUUUAGUUUCUCCUUUCACUUCACCACAGUGGAGUUCUAUAAUAUACGAUGUAAUCUUUUAUUGCUGUUGCAGGAAGGAAGGAGAGUCCGUGUAAUCGAAAGAGACUUGAGUGAGCCUGACAGAAUUGUGGGUGAGCUGCUACAACCAGGUGGAUAUCUCAAGUUAAUUGAGCUGGGACUGGAAGGUAUGUUCUUAACGUUUUGCCAAUCUUCUUGUUUGGUGAAACAUCAGCUUUGUGGCUCUUUUUUUUUUUUUUUUUUUUUUCGGGUGGCAGAAGCUGAUUUUUAGUAGCCUGACGUGGUUUCCCAUUUACUACAGAUUGUGUAGUUCACAUUGAUGCUCAGCGAGUGCUUGGUUAUGCUCUUUUCAAGGACGGUAGAAGCACUAGAGUUUCUUAUCCCUUGGAAAAUUUCCAUUCAGAUGUCGCAGGCAGAAGCUUUCACCAUGGGCGAUUUAUUCAGAGGAUGAGAGAAAAAGCAGCUAGCCUUGCCAAGUAAAUUUUAUUUCCCACUUCUGUAGAGCACAAAUGUCUAUCUUGCUUCUUAUCUUAUGCCAGAACAAAUGAGGAACCAAAUUACUUUCCUGGAUGCUUACAAUUCAUUUUCAUGCAUUGAAUUUCACUACUUGCGUGCUAUUUUAACUGACCCUUAUCAAAUUCUGAUCACUACUUCCAACGCGCAUCUCUUUGAACAUGUUGAUAUAUUAAUUGCUCGAAUAUAGAUACCAAUUUAGUAAGCUGGAAAGAUCAAUUGGUAUCUAUAAGUUUUCUGAUAACUUCUGCUACAGAAUAAAAUGAAAAGAGCAAAGAGAAGAAAAUAAAAAAUAUAUAUAUAAUCUAUGGUUCCUUUUAGACUUGUUCGUGCCUUAGGAUGUCCAAUUUACUAAGACUUCCAGAUUAAGGAUCCAUAAAAAGUUUAUCUUUUGGACCAUGCACCACAUGUAUAACCAUCAUUUACAUUUCUGAUUUUCUAAAUAUCUAUUUUUCUUGAAUAUCUUCUUGGUUCAAUUUUCACUAGUGUACGACUGGAACAAGGCACUGUGACAUCCCUGCUUGAAGACGAUGGCACUGUAAAAGGUGUUGAGUACAAAACCAAAAGCGGCAAGCAGCUGAAAGCUUAUGCUCCUCUUACAAUAGUGUGUGAUGGGUGCUUUUCAAAUUUGCGACGAUCUCUCUGCAGCUCUAAGGUACAACCUCAAAAGCAAUGGCUUUGUGUACAAUUUCUUGUCUGCUGCAUUCAGAUCUGGAUCAAAUCAAAUUAAACUGAAGCUUGUCUCUUUAUCUUUAUUUAUUUUUAUUUUGUUAGAAUACUGUUUGAAAAAAAAAAAAGUUACAUUAAUAUCUCUGCUAUUUGCUCUUCACUCCCAAGUGGAAUGCUUAAAUCUUUGAAAGUUUGUCAGUAUAACCAUUAUGUUUCAUGUAGGUGGAGAUUCCCUCUUGCUUUGUUGGUUUGAUCUUAGAGAACUGUCAACUUCCGUUUCCAAAUCACGGGCAUGUCAUUCUGGCAGAUCCUUCACCCAUCUUGUUUUAUCCAAUUACUAGCACAGAGAUACGUUGCUUAGUUGAUAUACCAGGGCAAAAGCUUCCUUCCAUUGCUGAUGGUGAAAUGGCAAACUAUUUAAAGACCGUGGUGGCUCCACAGGUACUUAAAUAGUGUUAAGUUCAUCCUUCAAGUUUUUACAUAUAGAAUAUCCCCUGUGUAGCAUGUUUGUGUAUGCUUUAGCGCUUUUUUUUUAAAAAAAAAUUAAUUUUUUGGCAUAUGCUUUAGCUUUCUGCAUCUCAAUGUCCAUUUCUUUUCUUUUCUUUUCCCUGGUUUUGUUCUGGACAUGGGAGAGUUGUCGUGUUUUUGGACCAACUUCAAUUGAUUUAUAUGUUGCUUGACCUAGAUUCCUGCAGAGCUACAUGAUGCUUUCAUAUCUGCUAUUGACAAAGGAGACAUUAGAACAAUGCCAAACAGAAGCAUGCCAGCUGCUCCACAUCCUACUCCUGGAGCACUACUGCUGGGUGAUGCUUUCAACAUGCGUCAUCCUUUAACCGGUGGAGGAAUGACCGUAGCCCUUUCUGACAUUGUAGUGUUACGAGAUCUGCUUAAACCGUUGCAAAACAUGAAUGACGCAGAGUCCUUGUGUAAAUAUCUCCAGUCCUUUUACACAUUGCGCAAGGUAAGCUAACCUGCAGUUUGAAUUAGAAGAUGUUGAAGCGUUUAUUCAGAAAAUGAAGUUUUGGUAGAUAUUUAGUCUGACACAAGGAAUAGUUUCAUUUUUUUUUUCUUUGAUUUCCACGUUUAAAAUGCAAUUCUCAUAAAAGAGAAGAAAGAAUGCAAUUCUUACUUGCCAUAUACAUGUCUACCAUCUAGCUUCUGCAUGCUGUCUAUGAAGAAAAUUCCUCAUAAUAUUGACACCAUUCAUGGUCCUUAAUAUGCAGCCAGUGGCGUCUACGAUAAAUACGCUGGCUGCGGCCCUAUACAAGGUGUUCUGUGCUUCUUCUGAUCAAGCAAGAAAGGAAAUGCGCGAAGCAUGUUUUGAUUAUUUGAGCCUUGGUGGCGUUUGUUCGAAUGGACCUAUAGCUCUGCUCUCCGGUUUAAAUCCACGACCACUGAGCUUAGUUCUCCAUUUCUUUGCUGUUGCCACAUAUGGCGUGGGACGUUUAUUGACCCCUUUUCCUUCUCCCAAGAAAUUGUGGAUUGGAGCUAGAUUGAUUUCGGUAUGUAAAGAAAAUCCUUUUCCAACAAAUGAUUAGUGCAUCCCAAGGCAUUGAUUUCCUUCUUUUAGCACCAAAAUCCAGCUUCCCCAAUUUCUUUUUAGCCAACAUGUUAAAAGUCUGCCAAUAUGCAAACAAGGUUUUUGCAUACAACAGAGAGUGAUUCUACGAGACAGUUUGAGUUUCCUUGACCAUAAACCAUGCUUAGUAAUCACUUGUUAUUCAUAAACUCGUUUUCUCAUUUCUCACUGAUAUGGGCGACUUUUACCACGGAAUCCUUUCGGCAACAGCAACAAAUUGCACUUGUGACAUUUUAUCUUUCCUUCUCUGAGUUGUUAACUGACUUCCUCAUGCACUUUUAAUCAUUAAAUAGUACCCUUUUAAUUAUAAACGUCAAUUUCCCCACACAUUUUGGAAUGUCUUUGAGCAUUGGUCAUUUUCAUGACUUGGCAAACUUCCUGUCUCCAGGGUGCAUCAAGUAUCAUUUUUCCUAUCAUCAAGGCUGAAGGAGCGAGGCAAAUGUUUUUCCCUGCAAGUGUUCCUGCAUAUUAUAGAGACCCUCCUCAAGCAUGAAAAUACCGAGUUUAUCAGGCCUGAACACAAUUUAGCGACUUUCACCCGUCUCCUCUUACUAAAAAGCAAGGGACGUUAUGUGAAUUUUUGAUCUGCCAGGAGACAGAAGCUGUAGAGUAGACUAAAACUGUGAACAAAACUAAAAAUUUGAAGUUUAGGCAUCUGAUAAAACUGUAAAGCAUGAAUCUCCCAUAUUACAUUGGCUCAUAUUUUAAUAGAAAAACCAUCUUACUUCUAAACUUCUCGUACCGUCGCCAACAUCAACAUUGAACCUUCUUACUUUCAUGGCUUUUGGGUGCUCUUCAGCGAAAAUGGUAAUUUGCCACUACAAUAAAUUGUUCUGGUUCUCAAGUACAAUUUAGGCAGCACAUUAUAUUUCCUUAUCUAAAAAAUAUGCGAGGCCGCGUAUUAAAAAUAAGGUACACAUGUAAACUAGUUUAAUGGGUUCGUAGUAAUUAGCUGAUAAGGAUAUGGUACUUCUUUUAUGGUAGUUUUCUUAACUUCAACAAGGAAUGUCAAUGCAAACUCCUGUCUAAGAGACUUGUAAUAUAGGAAGAGUUAAAAUAGUAAAAAAUAGAAGUUAUGAUUCCAAUUUGUUCUGCCUUGGCCAUUGAUUUCCUUUGUAGCCUUUUAUAGGAAUGCACUACACAAACAGCGAAAACAGAGCUUUCCUCAGGUUAAUUAUGAUUAGUCAAGACAUAGGAGAAUGAGGUAACUCGAAAACUAGUCAAAGGUUGCCUCUCGAGUUUUCAAGCUAGCGUCUGCGUUUCAAGCACAUGGAUUUGGCACGGACUUCUUCGAGCUACGAGGCCAUGAUGUCCAAAGUUUUAAGUGCUUCACAUUUACUGCACGUCUCAUACUUGCUUUCAAAUAUAUCAUGGCAAUCAUGCCAACGUGACCAAUCUUUUAGUCCUAUGAUCUGAUCCAACUUCUUCCAGGUUGCUUCAUCACUCCCAAUUUCUUAAUCAAUUCCCGCACAUCAGCAGACUCUGUCCAUUUUCCUGCAUCUGCAUAGAUUUUUGAUAGAAGCACAUAAACUGCAGGAUCAUGCUUUUCAGUUUGAAGCAAGAAGCCAGCAACUACUCUUCCUAAUCUCAAGUUACCAUGAGCUGCACAGGAACUAAAUAAUGUCCACCAGACACCUGAAUUUAUGUCAACAUGCUUGCUGCUUAUUAAUCUUUCGGUCUCAUCAAGGUAACCUGCUCGACCUAGAAUGUCAAUGAGGCAAGAGAAGUGGUCUACAUCUGGUUCAAUACCAUAAGUACUGACCAUGGAGUUAAAAAUUCGGCAGCCAUCAUUGACUAAACCUGAAUGGCUACAAGCUGAAAGAACUGCAGUAAAGGUAGCCUCAUCAGGUUUAGUGUCAGAAUCUUGCAUCAGCUCAAAGCAACGGACACCUUCCCUACCUUCUCCAUUUUGUGCAUAUGCAGAUAUCAUGGAAUUCCAUGAAACUGUGUCUUUUGAAGUCAUUUUAUGGAAGAUCCUCAAAGAAGAACACAAAUCACCACACUUUGCAUAAAGAGUAAUGAAAGCAUUAUUCAAAGAUGUCUCCAAAGAAUAAUGAACUUUGAGUGUGUAGGCGUGCACCUGUUUUCCAUGCCGCAGAGCUGAAAUGCUGGCACAGAUGUUCAGAACAAUGCUGAGAGUAAAAAUGUUAGGAAUAAAUCCUGACAACACAAGCACUGAAAAUUGCUCCAAACCCUGGACAGGAAAUCCAUUCAAUUGAUACCCGGAUAUUAAAGUAUUCCAGGAUAUCAAAUUUUUGGUGUUCAUUGUAUAGAAUAAUCUGUAGGCCUGGUUAAUGUAACCAUGCCUGGAAAAUGCUGAAAGCAACGCAUUGGAAACUUCGACUUUCAAAAGUAGAGCGUUUUUCACAACAGCAGCAUGAAUCAUCUCAACAUUCACUACUGACUCUGAGCUUACUAGUAAGCUUCCAAUUGUGAACUCAUCUGGUUUCGCCCCUUCUCUCUGCAUAUGAGAAUAGACUAAGAUAGCCUCUCUGCCCAAAUUCUCAUUAGCAUAGCUUGUUAUCAUGGUGUUCCACGACACAUUAUCUUUCUCUAUUAGUCUCUCAAAAACCACACGAGCUGCAUUUAAGUUCCCACAGUUACUAUACAUUGUUAUUGCUGCAUUACUCACAGAAGUACAAUCUUCAAAACUCAUCUUUAUCGCUUGUGCAUGCACUUGAAUAGCAUCCCUUAAACAAUAAGAGGAACUCAUUAUACUAACAAAACUCAACUCUGUAGGCCAUAGACCAGCACUUUGCAUAUUCUUAAACAUUAGAAAUGCAUCCUCCUUUCUUUCCAUGCUGACUAGACCAGCUAUCAUUGCAUUAUAAGUUAUCUGAUCAUGCACAAUACCUUUUUCUUCUUCAAAAACUCCAUGAGCAUCACCAAUCCUUCCGCAUGCAAAAUACAUUGUAAGCAAAGCAUUAAUCACCGAAGUUUUAGCUAGAAGUCCAGACUUGAUAACCAAAGAAUGCACUUGCAAUCCAAAGUCCAACAACUCCAAAGAACAAAGACUCAAAACACUAGCCAAACUAUAAUUAUCACGUCCAACACCCAAAGAAUGCAUCUUCUGGAACAAUCUGAAUGCAAUCUCAUCAGACCCAUUUUCUGCACACCCUGUGAUCAUCGCAUUCCAAACAGCAACAUUUCGUUGUGGCAUUUUAUCAAACAUCUGACAAGCAUAUUCAACGUCCCCGAGCUUUGCACACGCAGAUAACAAUGUUGUCCAUGAAUAAUCAUCUGGGCUUUCAAUUUCAUUAAAAACCCUUUUCACUGAACUCAAGUCUUGUGAUUUUGCAUAAACCAAAAGAAGAGUAUUUGAAACGUGAGGAAAGAAAAUGAGCCCGGCCCGAAUGGCAUUAGCAUGGAGCUGGUUGCCAGUGCUCCUGUCCCGGAGGUUGGCGCAGGCUGUGAGGGCGGCGGAGAGGGUGUAAUGGUCAGGUCUGAGAUGUGGGGACGAAUUAAUUUGGCUGAAUAGUAGGAGGGCGCCAGCAUAUUGCUCGGAACGAGUGAGUUUUAUAAGCUGGCGGUUGAGUUUGAUUAGUUUGUUGGCGCAAUUCCCACUUAUGGUGGUAGUCAAGAAGCCUACUCCUCGUAACAUCUGACGUUCAUCUUCCCACUUGGAUUGAUGAAAUUAUGAAACACAAGUGACUUUUAGCAUAUUUUGUACACACAACGUAGGCUUAAUCUUUCCUAUAUACCAUCAGUGUAAGGUUGAUGUAUGUCAUAUCAAUUGAAUUUAAACAUCAAAUUUUAUAUAUGUGAAACGACGAAAUUUUGUAUAUGUGAUAUUCAUUUAGAUUUUUAUUUAUAUCUAUUAGUAUAUGGUAUUAUUAAUGCAUAAAAGAUUUAUCGUUAUUAAAUAAAAAAAGUCCUAUAUAUGUAUAUAUAUUAGGGAGAAGCUUGCGCUAAACGCGGGAGUUUUAACCUAUGUGAUAAAAUAUUUAUUCAAAUAAAUUUAAAAAAAAAAGAUACUAGUAUUAUAACUGUAUGGUAACUGGUUUAAUUGAAACAGUUGAAGUGCAUGAAAUUAUAAAUAAAUUGGUCAAAUCAACAAACUUAUAAAUAAAUUGGUCAAAUCAACAAACUUAUAAAGAAAAACAAAUUUAUAAGUAAAAGAAAUAGAAUUGUAAUAGAUAAGCAAAAACAUCAUUACCUUUCCAACAGUCAUGUAUAAAUUCCUUUAUACAUAUAUAUAUAAUACUUUUAAAUACCUUUCCAAAAAAAAAUCAUGUGAUCUUUUAUUUUUUACUAUUUUAGGAAAAAUGUCCAAUUUAAGAUCGACUCAACCUCUUUUUUUUUUCUAAAAAAUCAACAACCUUUUUUCUUUUUAAAAUCAACACAAACUUGAUUAUUGAAGUGUCAAUUAACUGUUGGAAAAUUUGUCAAAUUGGUCCCUAAUAUUUUUACAAAAAACUUUUUUAGUCUCCAACAUUUAAAAUCACCCAGAAUUGUCCCUAACAUAUAAAUUAUGAUCCAUUUUGAUCCUAAUGCUCGUAUUUGCUCAUUUUUCCGACUAAAAAUGGCACGCCUCUCUCACGUGGGCAUAUUUUUAAGGGCAAAACUGAAAAACACACUUCAUUCUCGGUUGAAAGCAAAAGUAUCCCUUUUCAUUUUCCCCCCUAACAUUACAGUCACAAAAAACCCUAAUUUUCCCCCUGAAUUUUGGGAUGAAGCAUAUGAAGAAGGCAUUGUGUACCUAAUGUUGAAUAGGGCUCCCUUUUUCUUUUGCUUUUGUGCCAACCAGACACUAAGCACCACAAGACCAAUUUCCAGAAAGCCCACGAAUCCAAUUGUCAUGACAACUCCGCCUUUCAUGCCCCCACCAUUUCUAGAUAUUGUGAUUGCAAUAAUAUUUAGAGCAGGUAUAGUUAAUCUUGCAGUGGGUUUCUUAGGGGCAAUUGCUGAUAAGGCUGAGCUAGUUGGAGCAUCAAUUUGGGAUGCAUUAUUUCGAGAGGCAGGGGGAGAAGGUAGAAUAAGAGAUGUGGUGAUGGGAGGAGGAGACACCACCGAAAGUAGAAGGGGAUUUAACAAGGAUAGAGCUUGGGAAGAAGCAGGUAAUGGUAGAGGAGGUAAUACAGGAGAUGGAGGGUUGUGAGCGGUGACUUUGGGCUUGUUUGGAAUCUCAAGUUUUUAGCAAGUUUGUAUAAUUCUAGUUUUUUAACAACUUUUGCUACAGGAAUCCCAAAAAAUUGAUCAAAGUUUUUAACAUACACACUUCAAAAUAAUACACAAAAAACUUUCCCUUCAACUUUUCUUCUUUUUCCCCCCCACCCACCUCACAACGUCUUCCGUCGCCGGCCACCACCUCCACCACCACUUUCGGCGCCGGUCACUAUUCCAGUUGUUAUUGCCGGCCUUUUUUUUUUUUUCUCUCCCUCUCCCUCACCUCUUUUCCCCUCCCCAUUUGACUGAUCUGUUGGUGUAUGUCUAUUUUUUCCUUUUUUUUCUUUCUCCCUCCCCCCUCCCUUCUGCCUCCCCUGCCACCAUCCCCUUCCUGCUAGCUGCGAUAUGGUCACGCGACCAGAUCGUAGCUAGGGGAGGGGGAGGAUGGCGGGAGAGGGGAGGAGAGAGGAAGAGACAAAGCUAAAAAAAAAAAAAUCCAUGGUUGCAACAACUCUGGUGUCGGAGGGGGAGGGGGAGGGGAGAUGAGAGGGAAAGGGAAGGGAAGAGGGCAAAGGUGCCGGGGGAGGGGGAAGGGAGAAGAAGAAGAAAGAAAAGAAAAGAAAAAAGUUUUUCAACCUAAAAAUUUUUCUUACAACUUCUACAAUAAUCUACAGUAAAAUUUUAGACAAACACUCAAAAAACUCACCUUAGGCCUUUAUAGCGGGAGGUGGUGGAAAAACUGAGGUAGGUGAUGCUGGGACUGCAAUUGGCCGAGGAGGAGAGAGUCAAAGAGCUGGAGAAGGAGGUGUUGUGCGAAAAGAAGGGGAAGGUGAUGGUUGUGGGGGAGGAAGGGGUGAUAAGUUUACAGAUGGAGGAGGGGCAGCAGGGAGUGGCGAUGGUGACACAGAUGGAAGGGGAGGAAGGGACGGAGAAGGUAAGGAAGGGAAAGUGGGCGGUGUUGAUAAUGGUAGUGGUGAUGAUUGGGGUUGGGGAGGAGGGGAAAGGUAAGUAAGGAAGUAUGUUUUUCAAUUUUGCUCUUAAAAAUAUAUCCACGUGAAAGAGACGUGCUAUUUUCAGUCGAAAAAAUGAGCAAAUACGAGCAUUAGGAUAAAAAUGGAUCAUAAUUUAUAUGUUAGGCACGAUUCUGGCUGAUUUUAAAUAUUGGAGAUUAAAAAAGUUUUUUAUAAAAAUAUUAUGGACCAAUUUGGCAAAUUUCCCUUAUCGUUUAUGGUUCACGUAUAAAAGAACAACUUACAAAAACAUGAAAACUCAAAUUCAAUUCAACUACACUAUUUGAACAGCUGCUCAAGCCUAACCAAAAUUUGAGUUGAGUUGAGCCAGAGCGCUCCUUUGUUUCGGCGGUCAACCAAAUCGCGAAGAGGAAAUACAAGAAAAAAAGAGAGGAAAAUAAAGAAGACAAAAAAGACCGAACCUUCUCCUUCCUAAGCUGCUUACUCCCUAUGCAGUAACCAGAGGCAGGCAAAGCCAUCUGCCAAAAAUAUGUUUAGAACCAUCUCUCGUAUUCGCCAUAUACAAUCAUUGCUCAGCCCCAAAUCCCUCGUUUAUACUACAUUAACCAACCAUAUCCCAGGCUAUGACACCCAUCCCAGUCUACUCAGCCCUUCAAAUUCCUUUUUCGAAAGCCCAAAGUUGCAUUCUUUUCUCUCAACCCUUUCUUUUCCAUUUUCAAGUUCUCAGAUUCUUCAGCGACGCCAUCAAGAUGGAGAGUCUAUUGAAAACAAUGAGCUUGUUAGCCGCCCUCCCAAGCUCUUCGUGGUUCAGCCGCGGUUUCGGCCUGAACCCGUUUUGCAAUGGAAGCUUGAAGAGGCUUUGAACCUCGCGAAUUCGCUGGAAGAACAGAGAGAUGGUUACUACGACACCGAGUUUUCGGAGAAAGAGUUGCCCCCUCAUGUUGUGGUGCAGAAUCCGAUUGACCGAUCACCUCGUGCUGGUCAGUUUUCCGGAUUUAUUUACUAGUAUCCCUUUGUGGAAUACAGCAGUAAAGUGAUGAACUUUCUGAUAAACUAGUGUUUGAUUAUUAGCUAAAUUUUAUAUCUUUUUUAUCCUUUUUAAAACAACAGUACACAGUAAGAUGUUGAGCUGAACCAAAAGUUGGAAGUAGCUUUAUCAGAUUGUGCUUUAUUGCAGAUACUUAUUUUAGGAAAGGAACAGUGGACACAGUUAAAUGCCAUCUAUAUGCCUUGGACUCGAAGGUAUGCUUUUGGGAUACUAGGUUGGCUUGCUAUUUCUUUGUCUUGAUUACUCAGCUGAAUUCUUUUAGUACGCAGAAGUUGUUAACAUUUUUCUGUCUUAAUAGGACGAGGUGGAUGCUAUAUUUGUGAAUGCAAGUCUUUCGGGCAUUCAACAGAGGAAUUUGGAGGUAAGUUUUAAUUUUAAUUGCCUUCUGCGGUCUGCGGUCUGUUUAGACAAAUCCACCUACUUAUCUACUCUAUAUAUUGUAUGAAUAUCAUUUGAUCAUUUUUACCCAUUUGUUUGUCUUUUUAUUCAAAUGACAGCGUAUUUGGGGCAAACCUGUUUUAGAUCGCGUGGGUCUGAUCAUAGAGAUCUUUAAUGCUCAUGCACAGACAAAGGAAGCAAAGCUACAAGUAUUGAGCGAAUAUUCUGCCUUCUACCAUUGUUACUAUUGUUGUUACCAUUAUUCGUACAAGUUUCAAAUAUUUCAUCUUUGAUCCAUCAUUGACCCACAGGCUGAGUUAGCAGCUCUUAUGUACAAGAGAUCAAGGCUUGUCCGUGUUCGUGGUCCUGGUGGGCGCUAUACAUUUGGCGGAGCUGGUGAAGCAGAAGUAGUCAGUGCCAGAGGGUAAGUACAUUGUUUGAAGUUCCUCAGUUACUGCUCAGCCAUGUGAUACAUCUUUAGUAAAAGUCCUCAAAAGGAACAAGAGAGAAAAAUUACCUAGUAUGGGAAUAUUCAUUCUUAUGAUAGACGUCUAUUGUUUAAAACCAAUUGAUGUCAGAUAGAGCCUUUUGCUUAUUUUGUAGCCUUUGUGGUUUUUGUUCCAAUCUUAUGCACUUCCUUGUGACUUGCAGGAGAGGAAGUGGGGGGCGUGGUUUCAUUAGUGGUGCAGGAGAAACUGAACUUCAACUCCAAAGACGGAGGUUUGAUCAUUGACUUUAAACCUUGCACUCAACUGAUUCUUAGAUUGCCAUUUUACAGGUAUCUUCUAAAUGUCUGUAUAUGCAAAAGAAAUAUGUAAGUCAAGGGGAUUGAGAUAGAAAUGGAUAUGAUGGUUGGUUCUCUACUUUAUUUGUAUUGAAGUACACUCCUAUUAAACGAAGGGUGGUAUGGGGUAACUGACUUAAAAGCAUGGUAUCCAGAAAGUCCUAGUUUGACUUCUAACUUUAUCAUGGCAAGUUAGUUGAGAGUUCUGUGUCUUUUUUUGACUUUGUCCUGGAAUGUGGUGUAAAAAGAAGCGAAGAGUUGAAUGUUGAGCGGGGACCUUUUUUCACUAGUGAAAACAUUUUGUUAACAGGAUCAGUUCAAAUGAAACUUCUCUUGACAGGAUGCUUUGUGUGUGAACCAUUUUACCUUCUGUGUUUUGGAUUUCUAUUACAGUUUACACUUCUGUGUUUAUCAAGUUCUCUCUCUCUCUCUCUCCCCCCCCCCUCUUCACCACCACGACCACCACUUGUUACAUGCCUUCAAUAGAAGUAUAUAUGUCUUGUAACUCUUCAAUUUCAGAAUACUGGAGCGGCGGAGUCAAUUGUUGUCUGAAAUUAAGGAGGUGCGACGGACACGAGCUGUGCAACGUGCUGCUCGUAAGAGGCAUGGAGGAUCAGAUGAUGAUGUCAUUGCUACUGUUGCUGUAGUUGGGUACACAAAUGCUGUAGGUGGUUAGAACACCUCUAAUUCCUUUUACAGUUCCCUAUUGUUUAAUUAGCCUAAUGCUGUUUGGCUUUUCUCUGUAGGGAAAAUCUACCCUAGUUGGUGAGCUUUCAGAGAGUUAUCUUUACUGUGAUGACCGGUAUAGCAAAUUGUUUAUGCAGUCAAUUGUCUUCUUUGUAUAUCUUGAUAACGUCAUUCACAUGAUAUGGAGGUCUCAUGGAUCUGGUAUCCAUUUCUUGUGUUCUUUUGGUUAAGGUUUGCGUGGCUCAUCGGAAUUUUGUAAUUAUGCAGAUUAUUUGCAACAGUUGACCCUAAAUUAAGAAGUGUAGUUCUUCCUUCUGGGUAAUAUAAACCACUUCAGAUUUUAAUUUUUAGUUUUCUGUAGUAAGCAACAACUUCUGAAUUUUGUUAUUGAAACGCUAAUAAUUUUUGUCAACUUUUAUGAUGAUAUAAAGUAGGAAGAUUUUUAUUAUCUGCUAAGCUUUAUGUCAUGGAGAUGAUCGUUAUUUCUCCCUUAUUUUCAGGAGGAAGGUGCUUCUUAGUGAUACAGUUGGUUUCAUAUCAGAUUUGCCCGUGCAGGUAACCAGGAAGCUGUGUUUUUCCAUUGGGCUUUAUUUGCAUGGUUCUUACUUCUCAUAUUUUGCACCUUGCAGUUGGUGGAAGCAUUUCAUGCAACCUUGGAAGAGGUUGUUGAGGCCGACCUCCUUGUGGUAUGAUGUAGUACUAUUUGAUUGUUGUCUGUUGACUUCGAUCUUGAACUUUGAUCUAUGCUCUGUAAAAGCACCUGAUACCUGGGGAAUCAAUUCUCCUUCCCAGAGGGAGCAAAGGAGUGCAUAAAAAUCUUGUGAAGUUGGGGCAUUAUUUCGAGAUGUCUCAUUCCUGCCUUCGACAAAUGGAUGGAGUGCUUUGAUUGUUUUAAUUGCUACACAAGAUAACUGGCAAUUUCUUUUGCAGCAUGUCCUAGACUCGAGUUCGCCAUUUCUCGAUGAGCAACGGAAGACUGUACUUCAAGUUCUUCGGCAAAUAGGAGUAUCUGAGGAGAAGCUUGCGAAUAUGAUUGAAGUUUGGAAUAAGGUAUUAUGGCCAGUUCCUUCCUUAAGUUGUGGACUACAGGCAAAAAAUUUGAGUAUCUGAGAAGGAGAUGCUUUUUUUUUUUUUGUUGGCAAAACAUUUUCAGAUUGAUCUUCAAGAUGAGGAAUUCCGGCGCGAUGAAUAUGGUGAGGAUGAAGAAGUUGGCGAUUUAUCAGAUGCAAAGGACGGUGAAAAUGUUUCUGACCAGUUGUCCGGACUGGAUGUUUCUGAAGCUGAUGAUGUAGAUGCAAAGGCUGAAUUGUCAGGGAAUUGUGAGGAGGGCCUGGAUGAUCAACAAGGUGAUUAUUCUGAUGGUUGGCUGUUAUCAGGAGAAGAACAAGAAUCACUGGUGGACUACGAAGGCUGUUCUGUGGGACAAGACACUCCGGAUAAUUUACGAAGUUUCACCUACAGGAGCUGGAGGAAUAGCAGAAAAGAUCCUCAAUUUGAUUUGGGACCCACUGCAUAUGUGAAAACAUCUGCCAUUAUGGGAGUUGGCUUGCAAGAGUUGCUGGAGCUGAUUGAUGAGAGGUUAAAGAUCCAGAACGAGAAAGUCGUGGAAAGGAGCAUCUUUGAUCGCAAAUGGAGGCCCCCUCGCUCAGAAGAUCCUAUAGCAGCUGAGCAAUAGCCAGUUGGCCAGGCAGGAUAGCUUCAUUUUGUCUUCCUGCAGCCGUAGCUGUGUUGCCAUUGGAUUAAUGCUACUAUGAUGAGUUCGGCCAGAUCAAAGAAAGCUGGGAAGCUGCAAGCUUAAAUCUUAAUUCAUGUGAUCCAGUUCUGGAAGAUAUAUAUAUAUAUAUAUAUGCAUGCUAAAGAAGAAUGACUUGGAGGAGGGGCACCAAAUCAAUGACGCUUAGCCUGCUGGAUUUCUUUCUACUUUGUUUUGGCCAUCAAAUCAGGAUCCAACAUCAAUUUUGGAUAGUAGCUAUCGCGGCAGCCAUAGAAACUCUCAUUGUGAAGAUUAUUAUACUUGUGUUGUUCCUCUCUUCACAGAUGAUGAUGUGCCAAUUCAUUAACAGAUACCAGGACGAAGUAGUAUAUACUCUACUUUGUUAUAUGGUAAAUAUUAAUAAAACUGAAAUCUGAAAUUUAAAGUCAUUAAUUUAUUGAAUUAAAAUCCCAACAUUUGAGCAUAUUUUUUAUUAAGUUGUGAACGGUUUAUUAUUUAUUUUUUGGAGUAAGUUUUGCCUAAAUAAUUCAGAGUCACUUAAUCAAUUAAUUAAGAUGUUUUUAUGUUUUGUCGUCAAACAUGUCUGAAUAUGUUAAAAUUUGAAUUCGUUAAAUUUAAGUUUUAAAUUGAAUUAUCAAACAAUUGUAGGAAUAAAUAUGAGUUGACUUGUUUGACUAAUUUGGCAUUCUUAGGUUUAACCUUCUUUUUUUUUUUAAGUUUCUUUUAAAGUCUUGAAUUAUAAUUUUCUUUUUCUUUCUCUCAAUUCUCAAAUCAAAUCUCAAGUGAAAAAUAUGCCAUGAGUUGUAUGUCUUGAAAAGCAAAUAUUUGUCUUUCUCUAUUUACCAAAUAGAGAAUGACCUGGUUAGAUAUUUUCACAUUGGGCUUAAAAAAUGUAGGAGGGCGAAUCACAUGGUUUAUUCCUUUAAACAACUUGAGCUGGAAGGGCGUAAGUUCAAUUAUUAUUAUUAUGGAAAAAUAGUUCAAAACGGCUUUCAUAUUUUGUAAAAUAGCAUUUUCAUCAUUUACUUUUAAAAGUAUAAUUUUACAUUCCUUAGAAAUUUACAUUGGUCAAAUUUGAUCUCUACCUAGAUUUUCAACUGGUUUUUGAUAGGAAUCUAUCAUGUGUCUUGCAUGUAAUCAUUUUUUAAGGGCAAAAUUAUCAAAUCAAAAUUUACAUAAUCCGAUCCAUAGUCUCUUAAAUUUCACAAAAUAAAUUGUUUCUUCCCUCACAUUUUACAAAAUGAAAUUUGUUUUAUCUUUCACAUUUUACAAAAUGAAAUUUUUCAUCCCUCAUUGACCAUGCAUAUGAAUAGUUUUUUUUUAAAAAAAAAAAACCCAUGUAUAUAUCUAUUUGAUAUCACUUGAGUUGUAGAAAUAGUAUAUAAUAUAUCUCUAUUUGAUUUCACCUAAACAAGCUAAUUGUAGUUAUAUAUAUGCUAUUCAAUAGAUAUAUACAUAGAUUAAAAACAAAAUUAUUUGUUUUAAAUCCAUGUAUAUAUCUAUAUGCUCUCACAAUGUAAACUUAUUCAAUAUUUGUGACCUUUUCUCUUUUGGUAAUAGUUCAUUUAUUGAGUUUAUAAUAAAGCCAUCAAACUAAUGGGUCAUAAUUCAAAUUCUAUAGUCAUGCUAACAAAUUAUAAUUUAAAUUUGAAAUUUCUACUCAUCAUCUUUAAGACUAAUAGUUGAAUUAUUUGCCUUGUGAUUGUUUUAAAAUUUAAAAGUGCCAAUCACUUAUUUAUUUUUGUCAUACUUUUCCUUUAUUUAUUUUUUGUCUAAAUUUAAUUCGAUAUAAACACUCGAUAAUGUUUAGAAUUAAAUUUUUUUGUUUUCAAUUUUCGAGUAAAAAGAAAUGAAUUUGAGUGAAAAACUAACAAUUUUUUUUAAACUCAUGUAUAUAUCUAUUUGAUUUUACUUGAGCAGUACAAAUAGCAUCUAAGAUAUCUCUAUUUGUCAAGCAAAAUCAAAUAGAGAUAUAUUAUAUACUAUUUGUAUUGUUCAAGUGAAAUGAAAUAGAUAUAUAUAUGGGUUUAAAAAAAAUCAUUCGUAUAUAUGAUCAUUGAGAGAUGAAAAAAUUCAUUUUAUAAAAUACGAUGGAUGGAAAAAUUCAUUUUGUAAAAUGUGAGAGAUAAAAUAAUUUAUUUUGUGAAAUAUGAGGGAUUGUGGAUCAAAUUAUGUAAAAUUUGAUUUGAUAAUUUUGCCCUUCAAAAAUAAUCACGUGCAAGGCACAUGGUAAAUUUCGCACAAAAACUAGUCAAAAAUUUAAGAAUGGACUAAAUUUGAUUAAUAUGAAAUUUAUAAAUGACAUAAAAUUACACUUCUAAAAAUAAAAAAUGAAAAAAUUAUUUUACAAAAUGUGAGAGGUGUUGUAAACGAUUUUCCCUAUUAUUAUUGUUAUAGGCUGGCAGGCCACCCGUAGUAUCCAAAAUCUAAUCAAGUAGUAGGAGCAGCAGCGCUAUUUAAACGCGGUUGAUCCGAUGGCGCGCCAAAUAACUAAAAUCUUUAGAUCCACAAUGCAGGCAACCCCACCCCAUCGCCCCGCCGCACCUCCACCGUAACCUCUUUUCUUCUUCUCAAAUUGAUUCCUUCAGGUUACGCUCCUCCUUAUCCCUUAAACUUCUCUUAAUUAUUAUCAUUUUUCGUUUUGAUGUCGAAUUAUUUUCUCAUCCUCUGGAGUUCAUGCAUGCACAUUAUGUAAUUAUAUAUUGCUGCGAUUGUAUUUUGAUCGAUAUGAUCAUCUGCCUGCAAGGUUUAAAUCUUUCUCGACCUUUAUGUGUCCUUUUGCAAAUACUAGCCUUGAUUUUUCAGCAUAAAUGGUUGUUUAAGAAAAAGAAAAGAAAAUAAUCUCAGAAGGGGAAGGAUAUGGACAGGAAGGAGAACGGGGGGCAUGAGAAAUAAGGUUAUAUUUGGAUCUGAAAAUGCUGGCACAACUGUUGGACUCUGGUAUUUCUUUGAAGAAUGGCACGUAAAAAUAGAUCACGGUCUUAACUUAGGCCGUCGCUGCAUUUCUCGUGAUUAUUAUUGUAAGCAAAGCAAUUGAAGAUCAUGAUUAUAGUAUGAUGCCCUUGACAUAGACAACGGGUUUGUAUGGGCUUAAUUUGUUUCCUUACUUUAACACUGUCUGCAAUUUGUGCGUAGAAUUAGUAGGGUCAUAUUUUAUCGUGCUUUGGCUGUCAUGAUGGUUAAAUUUUCGUCUUUGUUUUGGUCCAGUGUGGAUCACUACUAGAACAGUCAUGUCAAGAAGGCCUUCAAAUCCCGCAAGGCGCUCUACGGCCACUGGAAUUUCUGGGGCAAGUUUUCGUCCUAAAUCACGCCCUUCUUCUUUGUUAUCCGUGGUCCUUGGUGCCCUGGUACGUUAGACUACAACUCUUUUUUGUUGUUUGUGAAUGAAAUAUGCAGCUAGCUGUGUGAUGCAUUUCCUUCCUUUUAUUGCUCUAAAUUCCAAGUUCCAUGUUGCAACUUGAGUGUUCAUAUGCUGAAACUUUCUCGUCAUUCUUAAACUUUCAGGGUGUCAUCCUCGUUGUUGGCUAUUUGUUUCGGGGCUCAGGUAACUCUUUGUUUGCUGAGAUAUAGGUUGUCUGUUGGCUACUAAUCAUUUCAUGUAUGACUUCAAAAUGAGAAACAAUAGGUUAAUAAAAUUUCGCAUCGUAUUUUUUAGAAGUUUCAUGUUUUAAAUCUUUUUUUUGAUUUCUAAUAGGAUCUGAGAUCGAAUGUUUCUCCCUUCUCACCCUGAAAGAGAUUUUUGUUUGUAGGUUUAUCAGGGACUAGCAGGGAAGCGGUUGCUGGAAUUGAUGGUACAACUUCAGAUAUUUAAGUUUUAGAUGUAUAAACGUUGCCCAAAAGUUGCAAUUGAUUCCCUUUUCAUCUUUUUGUUUUAUUUUUUCAAAAGUUUUUUAUGUUAAAUCGUGAUUAAUAUGUAGCUAUAGAAUUGUCUAGAAAGCAUUGAAUAUGUUAGUUGAACAUCACUGUGAUCUAAUUUUUACGAGGACUUGGUAUGCCAAGGGCUGAUAGUUUGAGUUUUCAGCAUCUAUAGGCAACACAUGUACAUUGGAACUUUUGAGAGCAAUACCUAUCCUAAAGAAGGCAUAUGGUGCAAGCAUGCAAAAAGUUUUGCAUGUAGGACUUGAUACUUGUUCGGUGGUCUCCAAUUUGUUGAAAGACGAUGAUACUGAAGCCUGGGGUGUGGAGCCCUACGAUUUGGAGGAUCCCAGUGGGAGCUGCAAAAGCCUUGUGCACAGGGGCAUAGUACGCGUGGCAGAUAUCAAGUUUUCUCUUCCAUACAGGGAAAACUCAUUUUCUCUUGUUAUUGUGUCAGAUGCUGUGGAUUAUUUGUCCCCAAAAUACCUGAACAAGACUCUUUCUGAUUUGGCGAGGGUGUCAUCUGAUGGUCUCGUCAUAUUUACAGGUAAGCUCAAAACAAUAUGCAUACUGCUGUCUGGUAAUAUUUAGUUGUGUAUCUAAGUGAAAGAAUUUCAAACCUGCAAGACGCUUUCAUCCUUGCCCAGCAACACAUCAUGUAGAACUAGAAGUCAUUUACCUUCUUUUGCAAUAAAUUAGCAAACCAUAGAGCAGCCAAAUAUUUGUCUCCUAAAAUAGAGUUCUCUCUCUCUCUCUCUCACACACACACACACACAAACACAAACAUAAUAGUGCAUGCACAUGCACACAAACUCUCUCUCUAUCUCUCUCUCUCACUUGUACACACAUUGGCACAUCCUCAGAGCCAUGCUCCCAUCCACUUGUGCUGAUAUACUGGUCCAUCUACUUUGCAUGUAUUCUUUUACUUGAGUGAUCCACUUACAUGUGCAGUUCCAUGUACUUUGCAUGUAUUCUUUUACUUGAACAAUUUGGUCUGUUUUCCUUUGAAUGCAUGCUGAUUUUGGAACCCACCAACCAUUACUGGUACUGGUUCUCAACCUAAGCUAUUCAGUAUUCAUUUAACUAGUCCGACCCAAAAACAGUGAUUAGUUUGUAAACUCCUCAUUUUAUAUCUAGUUUAUUAACAAGAUGGAGAUUGAAUUCCCUGUUAUUUGGUCUAUAUCUUUUCCUAUUUAGGUUUUCCAGGUCAUUCUAGAGCUAAUGUUGCUGAGCUAUCCAAGUUUGGGCGCCCGGUAAGCUAUUAACUAGUUUGGCUUCAAGUGGUCUUACUGCUUUUUAGAUGUUUUUAUAGCUAGCAAUCGAAAAAUGAUGUAGGAAGAGUCAGCUAAUUGGCAUACCAACAGGAUAAAUAUGGGGGUUUCUUUUGCUGAAAUAGUAUGUCAGAGAAAAGUUGUAGCUUAUGUGGAAGGUCAAUGUGCUCUUUCUCUAGCCUUUUUCCAGGAGGAAUCCUGUCUCAGAUGCUGUAGUUUUGAUGCUUUCUGUCAAUAGUCAUUUAAUUUGGGGCCUAAGCCUUUUUUUUUCCUAUUUUCUUUUUUGGAUUGUUUUAGUGUCUAAAGCAUUGACCAUUAUUACAGUAGCUGAUCAUAGGCUACAAAUUUGUUACCUAUGGUUGCAUGUAUUUUUUUGAAUCUGUACCAGCCUGUUUGCCUCUCGAUUUUAGUUCUCUGCUUUUAGUCCGCCAAAAACAGACAACAAAAUAUACAAAAACUUCCACAAUCAAAGAGCAAAGGCCAAUCAUUUACAUCUGGUUCAAUUAUCAAAGCUUCUUUUAUACUUUUAGCAUGAAGAACUUAGAGUACGCAAAAUGAGACAUUACUGGUUGAGAUGCUCUGUUGUGGGAUAUUUGCUGCUUAUAUUUGCUGAAUGCAGAGGGCUUGUUUUGCCUGAAAAAUAACUACUCCAAAUUUCAUGUCCAGGCAAAAAUGCGCAGCUCUUCUUGGUGGGGUCGUUUUUUUGUCCAGACUAGUUUAAUGGAGAAUGAAGCUGCAGUAAAAAAGUUUGAACAGGUUGCAACCGAGAGCACAUACAUCCCAAGGUGCCAAGUUUUCCAUCUCAAGUCUUUUCGCUGACUUGCUUCAAUACUAGGACUGUCUUUAAAUUUUCACUUUAUUAAGCCACUGAAUCAAUAAUUAUUGAUUAGAUAAUUGGUAGGAUAGGAGUUAUUUAUUUAGUGCUUAUACAGUUUCCUUGCAUUAGAGAACAAUUUUUUGAACAGUUCAAAAGGCAAUAGGCACUAGUUUUUGGAAUUUGGCUAAUUAUCAGUUGCUGUGUCUAAUAUUGCAAGUCCUUGUUCUUGGUACCAUUGGAUUUUAAUUACUGUCUAUGAAUUUAAGUAUGCUAAAAACAUUCCAAAGCGAGGAGGCAGCAGAGGGAGAAAACAUAUACAAGAUUAUUCCAUGGUACAUCAGCAGAAUACAAUCAAAUUCGCUUCACUUCCAAUGUUAGCAUGCCAAUAACAAGUUACAAUAGAUGAAAAGAGUCUUUCUGAAUUUACAAAGUUUUAGCAACUUCACCAUCGGGGAUGGACUGCCAGAAUUGAGCCUUCUAAACUUACGGAAGUAUCCAGCACCAAUGUGAACUCAAUGGAGAGGUGACAUUGGAAAACAUGUCAUAGGGUCAUUUUAGCAAGAUUUGCAGUGUACUGUAUACAUGGAAUCCACCAAGUAAAUGUUUGCUUAGUAGAAUAGUAGCAGAUUUAAUCUCCUUGAACUCCUCACAACACUAGCUCUUCCAUCCUUGACAGAAAAGUAAUCACCAAAAGUCGGCACAUGAACAUUGCCCAUCCUUGAAGAAGUGAAACCUGUAACAAUCCCUAACAGUAAUCUCUCUCCCAGUUAUGGUAGAGAUAACUUUAAUUGCAUUGUGACAGUCCUCGCAUAUCCUCAAGUUUUUCACAACAAGUAUUGGAUCACCUUCUUUAGUUGUUAAUAAAGCAAAUCCAACUGCUAGCUUCUCACUGUGAUACCCCUGCCUAGCUGUUUCUUCACCUUUCCACCUCACAGUCGGCCAAUAACCUGCUUGCCUCAUCUUCUUUGACAUCUCUUCCCAAAAAUCAUAUAUCUCAUUUAUCAUUGGAUGCGAACUAUCGUCUGCUAGAAACACAUGGAUCCUCUUGUCCAACUCAAUCCAACUACACCCUGGUUUCUUCUUUAGUUGCUUAUCUCGCAUUAGUUUUCUAGCUUUGGCAACUUCUUCCCAUCUGCCAGCACUGGCAUACAUGUGCGCAAGCAUGACAUAUGGAACUGCAUUUGAAGAGUCCAGCUGAAGACACUUUUUAGCUGCUUUUUCUGCUAGCUCCAUGUCACCAUGUGUUCUACAGGCUCUGAGCAAUGAUCCCCAACCAAUGCUGCCAGGAUCAUGUGGCAUGGUCUCAAUCAGUUUCUCUGCUUCCUUGAGCUGGCCUGCUCGACCCAAAAGGUCAAUCAUGCAUGAAUAAUGUUCUGGCUCUGGUUCUAUCCUAAAUUUCUGAGUCAUCAUUUUGAAAUAUUUCUGCCCUUCUUCAACUUCUCCUGUAUGCGCGCAUGCACAAAGAACAGAUAUGAAAGUUAUGCUAGAAGCAGCCGUAUCACUUUCAAGCAUCUGUUCGAAAAGUAACAACGAUUCCUUUCCUAAACCAUGCUGAGCGUAUCCAGCAAUAAUUGAAUUGAAAGUGACACUGUUAUGCUCCGGCAUCUGAUUGAAUACCUUCCUUGCAUCUUGAAGAUUUCCAGAUUUGGAAUACAUAGCUAUCAGGGCAUUAUCUACCGCAACUAGGUUUGAUGGUAUAUCAGCUUUAACUACCAAAGCGUGAAUUUGCCUCCCUUGUGAAGGUGAUGCCAAGUUAGAACAAGCACUAAGCACACAAACAAAGCUGCAAUCAUCAGGACGGUGACCAGACAUUUGCAUCUCUUUGAAGCAAGCGACUGCCUCUUCAUAGAACUCCUCAUUCUGGGAACACGCAGAAAUCAUUGUAUUCCACAGGACCAAGUCGGGGUCAGGAAUUUCCUCAAAUACUUUUCUGCAGUCCAAGAUACUACCUCUGCAUUUUGCAUACAAAUCUACCAAACUACUUGCCACAUGAGGGUUCUGGUGGAACCCCAUUCUGAUCAAUUGAGCGUGAAACUGAAGCCCACCAAACAAAUCCUCCAUGCUUGUAAAGGCAGUCAAUACGCUUGCCAAAGUAAACAUGUCAACGCUAAAAUCCCUGCGAACCAUUUCUUGAUACAAAGAGAGCGCCUUUGAUCCCUCUUUGUGCUGCCCGUAAGCCACAAUCAUUGAAUUCCAAGACACCUCAUCUUUAAUUUCUUCCAUCCCAUAAAAUACCUUCUUGGCCUCAUCUAUGAAGCCAUUUUUACCGUACCACGUAAUUAAAGUAUUGUUUACAGAAGCAUAUGAAUCAAACCCACCCAAAACAGCCAAGCAGUGCAGCUGCUGAAUCAAACUGUUGUUAUCAGAAGCAGCAUUGACUGCCGCAGAGAAUGUGAAGCCAUCCAUAUCCAAACCCAUAAGCCUAAUACGCCUAAAGAGUUGAAGGGCAGGCAGGGUAUCCCCGCGGUCAGCAUAGGCAGAGAUGAGAGUAUUAUAGGAAACCAGAUCAGGCUGGGGAAUCUGGUCGAACAGUUGGUGGGCGAAGUGGGCCAGAAACUCUUUGGCAUAAGCAGCUAUAAUGGCGUUGAAGGAGAAAACAUUUGGGUUGGCGGUGGUGUCGAAAGCCUUGCGGGCGUCGGAGAGUAGGCCGCAUUUGGAGUAGAGGGUGAUGAAGUGAUUGGAUAGGUAGGUCGAAGGUGGUAUAAGGGACUUGAUGAAAAGAGCGUGGAGAGAUUUUCCCGUUAAGAGGUCUCUUUGAAUUAUGCAUGUCUUCAAAAGUUGGCGGAACUGUUGAACUAGGCUCCAUGACGUUUGGUUCAUCUAAGAAGCCAACACUAGCAUUGUAGCACUUUGUUUGUUUGUGACACUAUGAUGAUGGUUCUUCUUUUUUAUUAAGUAUUUUGUUUUUGUCAUAGAGAUAAAGGAGGGAAAAAAUAUCUUCUCUCUCUCUCUCUUCUAAUAAUUUUAUCGGGAGACUGUUCAAGUCUUGCAAAGAAGAAGGAGAAUAAUACUUGAAAAUCCAGUCACUAAUUUAAGCGGGGUUUUGGAGACAUAUUUCUUCACUCUUUUGGGCGUGAGUAAGACCAUGGUUCGAAGACUCGGCCGAGACCGAAACGACUCGGCCGAGACCGGUCGUCUCCGUCUCGGCUUAGCUCGAGACUAGACAGCGACGAAACGUCUCCGAGAUACGUGACAGGCCGAGACGUCACCGUGAAGGGUUGAAACGGCCGAGUCACUCCGAAUCAUCCCGAGUCAACUUGAAUUUUUAUUAUUUUUACUAAUUUUUAAUUAUUUUUAUUUAUCAUAUUUUUUACAAUUUUUAGAAUAUUAAAUAUUUCAAAAUUUCACGUCUCGCCGAAACCACGACCGAUAUGCCGAGACCGAUGUGAAACGAUCCAAGCCGCGACCGCGACCGCGACUUUGAACCAUGAGUAAGACCCUAACUGGAUUAAUCACAGGACAGGAAAAAUUCUACAUGUAGAAAGGUCUUUGUGCGAUCUAUGACCCAAAAAUGCUCUGACGAAAAAUGGGACCUUUUAGCUUAACAAGGACUUAGGCGAAGAAUAGAAUAGUCUUAGAACAGGCCCAAAACUAACGACCAAGUCCCUCUUUUGAACUCUGGGAACAUGGGAUAUUCUGAUUGCCCAUAACCCAAGAACUAAUUCCACCUUGCCGGGCUUAAGAGAUCUCAAUUCCAAUUUGGGUUUUGUAGCGAGCAUAUGUUUACAAGCUUACCUCCACGAAAUUGGGAAUUUAUGAUCUCCGCUUCGCCUGAUUAUAUAAAUGUAUGCAGAGACUCGGUGCUUGGUGGUGCUUGAUACGCUGUCGUCACAGUACUCUACUAAUAUAAAAUGUCUGUCGUCUAUUUGAGUAUCAGAUCUAUUAUUAUUAUUAUAGAAAUUAGAAAUAAAAGCAAGGUGCAAGUGUUGUAUUGGGACACCAAAAGGGGACGACUAGGGAGGCUGGUUUGGUUAGGCCUGUCAACGGGUCGGGUCUAGAUCCGGAUCCGGACCGGAUCCGUGAAAUUAUUGCGGGUAUGGGUAGGGAUUUAAUUCCGUUUCCCGGAUCCGGAUCCGGAUCCGUUUUGUCAAACAAAAAAACAGGUCGGAUACGGAAUAUAGUAUUCCGACCCGUAUUAGACCCGGAUCCGGAUAUAAAUGAAUUAAUAAUUUAAAAAAUAUAUAUUUAUCAAUAUAAUUUGAUUAGGGUGAUGUAUUUGAGUAAAAUCAAUUUGAUUUCUUUUCUUAUUUGGUUUUUUCUUUGCAUUAGUUAGAAAUUAGUUUACAAAUAUAUUUUUUUCUCAUUUUUAUUAGAAAUUAUAAAUUUUGCUAAAUUUGUUCGGGUAGACCCGACCCGGAUCCGGAUCCGGAACAUAGAAUAAAAGACCCGUCGGGUAAACGGGUCGGAUCCGGGUCCGAUAUAGUAAUUCGGGUCCGGAUCCGGAAUAAUGAAUUCCGGCCCGUUGAUAGCCCUAGGUUUGGUGGCUCACACUUGCUCUGUGGGGAGGCAUGUGAACAUGGGUUGGGGGGGAACAAUUCAUCAUUUGCUUAAUCAGUGCAUCUCAGGCUUCAGGUUGAUGACAAGUUUAAUUAGUCCCAGAUGAACGCUGGGCCUGAAAAUCUUAACGCGAAGCGGUUUUAAAGCAGGAUUUAGGUGGCAAUUUGGCUUUUAGCUACAACAUGCUAGCCCAAUUGGAUCUUUUUCGGCUCUGCUAGCUUUCACUGGGGAAACAGCAACAUGCUUCCCCAGCGCCAGCACAAAGAAACAUAUGCUUAUAGGGUGUCCUAAUUUCGUUGCACCUAUUGCUUACCCUCCCCCCAAAAAAAAAAAAAAAAUCAGAUCAUCUAUGGCACGAAUGAGUAAUCCGGUGACAAUGGUCAUUGCAUUUAUUCAGUACUCCAUAAUGAUAUAUAUAUAUAUGUGGGUGUGUGGGGGGGGGGGGGGGGAGAAAACAUAUGAGAACAAAGUUUGUCAGAUAUCGCAAUAAUAUUCUUCUGAGUAUGCUUAUUUCGCGCUACAAAUUUUUUCUCACUAACUAGCAAUAUGGCUGGCGGCUUUUGCAGUAAACUUGAGGUCAAUCAAUUGGUGAUGCUGAUGCUGGUGCCAAUGUCCUCUGCCUGCGGAGACCGCAACUCAUUUUCCAAAAUAGCAGGUCCAGCUCUUUGGUACCCAAUGACGUUGCAUCGGAGAAGUGACUGCGAAAUUAAUGAUUCAACAAUUUCACACUGACAAUAAUGAGCCAUCUUCUGAACAAAAUAGUUUGACUCGAAGCUCUUAAACGUGGCAUUGAAUAUAAGAAUGGAUGGACUACAGUACAUAAAGAGGCAUUGAGGUGGAGUAUUAUUUGAAUAGAGUCUGCGAAAUUAUCACUUUCUGUAGAACUCAGAAAUUAACCAAAAACUCAAAGAAUAUAUAUUUUAUAAAAUUCAUGCAUAUGCAUAUGGGGAGGCAAUUAACAUAUAUAAAAAUAUAUGUGGGAGAAAGGGAAUAAAUCAACAAUAUAUCAUUAAUUACACACACAUAAUAACAAGACUCUCAAAAUUUCACCAUUUUCAGCUGUAUACAAUAAUAAAAUUCCCCAUUUAUAAACUAGAUGAUUUGGUAAACACUCACAAGAAAUUUUCUAAUAAAAUAUUAAUUUUCAAAUAAUAAAACUUCUAUAACUUAAUUCUAAUAGAAUUACUAAAACCUUAACUUGACUACAACACUAUUAAAUACUAAUAUAGAAAUUUCUUUUUUUUUAUUUGAUUUAAUAUGCCAACAUUACUUUCUUUAAAUCAGGUUCUCUCUUAGAUUUGAUUCACCGCUAUCACAAACAAUAAUCUCUUUUCCAAAUUAUAUCAAUUUCAUUUUGUACCAUUUCUUUAUCAUUAACCACUUCUCUUGAUGCAAUAAUCCACACAUUUGGGUAGAAUGUUUUUGUUGUGCAAUUUGAUGUCAAUUUAUUGACAAAUCACUUUGUGAUUUUGAUAAUCACACCUUAACUAACAGGAUUCUUCUCUGAUCACUAUUAUAACACCGGCCGCAAUCUGACAAAUUUUGAACCAAUUUUAUGGUUCGAUCCUCACCAAUUGGAUACUACAUGACCAACUUUUUGAUCUAAUUCAAUCAACAGAUUUCUUCACAUCAAUUUCUACAGAUUAACUUUGACAACAGAAACGUCUAGGAUUAAUCUCGUAAUCUAGCCAAUUCUUCAAUGUUCACAAGCACUCCAAGAUUAAUUUUUUGGAUCUAGGGCUAGGUGUAGAACUCAAAAAUUAAUCAAAAACUUAUAGGAGAUAUAUUUCAUAAAAUUCAUGCAUAUAUGGAGACAAUUUACACACAUAAAUAAAUGUAUAUAUAUAUAUAUAUAUAUAUAUAUAGAAGAAGAGGAAUAAAUCAAUAAUAUAUUAUUAAUCACACAUAAUAAGAGAGUUCUCAAAGUUUCAAUCUUCCCAACCAUGUACAAUAAUAAUAUUUCUUAUUUAUAAACUAGAUGACUUGGUAAAUAAGUCAUAUAACCACAAUAAAAUACUAUUUUUCAAACAAUAAAACUAGUAGUAUAAUUUGAUUAUAAUAGAAUUACUAAAAUUUUAACUUGACUAAAAUACUACUAAAUAUUGGCUGGAGGAGUCCCAUAUACUACUAAAUAUAAUUUGAUAAUAAUAUAAAUAUUUCUAUUUUUUUGGACUUGAUUUAAUAUGCCAACACUUUCAAGAUUGGCUGGAGGAGUCCCAUCCAUCAAUAUUUAAAAGCAUUAAGGUAAUGACCGAAAACCAUCGAGCAUGGGCGCGCGCCGUUGUGAGUCCUGAGACUUACUUAAGAGAAAGCGAUAAAAUCUGAUUGUUAUUAUAUGUUGGCAUUUAAUGGCAUCAUCUCCAGCUCUUAACAUCCUUUGACGUGUGAAUAUGCUACACUACAUGCGUGAGUGUUACUUCAGACGGCCCACUAAGUGAGAGUGUCGACGAGAGAUUAACUGGUCUGAAAGAAACAUGCGAGACUGAGACUGCUUCUCUCGUCUCUUGUCCUCCAGUCAUAAACGAAACUCAAAGAUUGUUUCGGAAUGGAAUGUUAAUUAAUUUGUCAACACUAGCUCAAUUAUAAACGUAAAAUGCCUUCAAAACUUUACACCUUACUCAAGAUUUAUCUAAUUACGUCAAUAGGUAAGGUACAUCAUCCCUUCCUUUUCCGGUGUUGAUAACUUGUUUGGAUUAUAAUUUUUUUUUAGAAAAUUUUUUACGUUUUUUAUGAACACAUUUUUCAAUCACUUUUUUUUUUUAACUUACAUACAUCAAAUCGUUGCAGUACAUUUUUUAUAAAAACUCUCAAAAUAGCAAACCAAUCCGGUUCUUGUUUUGAUAUUGUCAAGGGGGGAAAAAAGGCUUUGGAUUUACAAAACACAUUUGAUGAAUUAUGUGAAAUAUAUAAUUGGGUUGUGGAAAGUUAUAUAGAUAAUCCUGCAUACUUCCUCCUUUCGACACCAGUAUUAUUCGUCAAUAUUGCUUGUCAGACAUGAUCGUUGAAAACCUGUCCGGGUGUCCACAUCAACCUGCAAAUUGAGCAGGGGAAUUCAAUUCCAAAUUACUUGUCUAUGACUUUAGCUCUUUGUGGAAAUUUAUCAUCUCAGCACGAGACUUCAUGAGAAGUAUAUUACAAUUCGGAAUUUUUUUUGGAAAAUUUGUCUUCAAACUUGAUGCGUACGUACGUUGAAGGGAGAAAAGAAAUAAGAGGUAUACACGGCACAUUUUUGAUGAAAAAAUGCGGCUAUUGCGUAUCUAAGUAUUAUGUUUGAAUAGCAACAUGAUAUAUGUUACUGAAACUUUCUUUCGGGGGCUUCAAACUUCUGAUGAACAAGUAGGAAAUGCUCAAACAACCAACUACUCCCACUUCCAGAGUAAUUGGCCGUCGAUAGAGUUUUAAAACUCUACUUGAGCGUAAAUCAAGAGAUUAAAUCUCUUGACUUAUAUUCUAAUAUCUAGAUUUUUGUGGAAAUAUUUCGCCAACGGUACAUAGGCACCCGUCUGGACCUGUUUAGGUUUCCCUUCCCCUAAUGUAGAGUAGGAAUAGUUGUAGCAUAGAUAGCCCUUCCUCUAAUGUAGAGUAUGAGUAGUUGUAAUAUAUAAUCUAUCGUGUCCAGUGAUGGUUCACCGGGUUCUCCUUGACCUGUUUAGAUCCCAUGUUCCUCUAGUGUAGAGUAGGAAUAAUUGUAAUAUACAAUCUAUCGUGUUGGAAAAAAAAGUAAAAAAAAAUGCUCAAACGCAAUUUCCAGCCCGAAGCUGCUUGAAAUCUUCAGCUGGGAGAAGACAGCAUACGUAUCUUAAACUGCAAAAUUGAGGAUGCAAAAUGCAUUGGAGAACGGUGAAAUGCUUAGCGGAUUGACACUUCACAUCUCGAUGGUUAUAUUUAGAAGAAACCAGUACUAGUAUUUUGUCCAAAGAAUGGACAGGUAGAAGAAAGUUGGUGGGGAUCCCUCAACUUCACCAUGGAGUUACGUGCGAUAAUCAAGAUUUAGAUAAAGCAAAAUUGGACUUGCAAACCAAAGAUAAAUUAAAUUACUCCACGAUGGUAGGAGAAUUACAAAUGUAACGCACUAAAGCAUCAGUUUUUCAUUUCCGUUAAGUGAAGUCCUAUUAAUGGAAUAACCAAUCGGUGUGUUUGGAUACGAGAUUAUUUAGAAUAAUAUUUUGAAAAAAUACUACAACUCUUCUUUUUUUUAUGUGAAAUAAAAUAUUGUUAUAAAAUUUGUUUGUGAUAUAAUAAAAUUUUUUUAAAUAAACCACUGUCCAAAUAAACUCGCUAAAAGCAUGUUUUUUUUCCUCCUCAUUUGAAGAAUGUAAGCUUGACCGUGUAAUUUUGUUUGGACAAGAAAGGAAAGGAGCAAGAAAAGAAGAGAACAUAAAAGUUCAAAAUGACAUUCUUCUUACCUUUCUUCAUGACACACUACGUUUCAUAGUUAGUCGCCAUUUUACUUGUUGGCUUCGUUGUUGACGAAAAUUUGUAAUGUGGAGAAACUUUAAAACCUCUAAUUUAUUUUUAUUAUCCUAUUUUACCCCUCACCAAACAAAAACCCUCCAAAGAGAGGGGGGAAAAACAGUAGUGUGAUCCUAAAUCCUUAUCUGGCUUUUAUAUUUUCUUAUAAUCAGUUACGGAAAUUUUCUGACAAGCUUGGUAGUGGAUUAAUCAUGACGAAAUACCAAUAUUAAUUGACAUAGAGUAUUAUUUGAGAUAUUAUUUGGAAUAAUUAUUGUAGUACUUUUUGUGAUGUGAUAUAUAUGAGAUAAAAAGGUGAAUUGGGAAUAUAAAAAGGUAGGUUAAGAAAUGUAUUUAUGAUACAAGCGAAAUAUUAUUUGAGAUAUUUUUGCUAUCCAAACACUCCCAAUUAAUGUUCGUAGCGUCGAAAGGACGUUUCGACGUGUAUUUCAAUCUUACAUGUUUACUCGUUUUUCUUCUUCCUUGGCAGUACUUCUAAACUAGUUUUCUAGCUUAUUAUCUUUGAGCCCUUUACUACAAAAUCUCUUCCAAAUUUUGAUUACUUUCAGAAAGAAAUGAUCAGAUCAGAUUGAAGCGGACCUAAUCAUUCUUCUCUAAACUUCUUCUAACACAAUCAGCAGUGCUUUGGUUGUACACAUAGUACGUGAAACAUACAUAGAGUGUUUUUUUUUUGGGGGUCAACCAAUAAUAUAGGUUCACUAAGAAAAAAGCAAACUCCUCGAGUCAAAAUAGAAUUGUUGUUUAAACUCUCUUUUAAACUCCAUUUGAAUUCUUAAUCAGUCUUGUGAAAGCAAUCGCAUAUAUUCAACGCAACGUGCAACUUCAAGCUUUGAACUUUCUUCAGUCAACAAGAAAAACAGUGGGAAAACAAAGAAUAAAAAGAAAAUGGAUAUGUCAAUACUUCCUUACCAAACUUAAGGAGCAAGAUUUGUCAACGAUGGAUUAUGGUCUUAUCUCCCACCGUUGCUCCUUGUAGCUUUCAGAGUGUAUACCACAUCCACAUGUAUGCAGCAUUGACUCUGCGCCCUAUAUGUGCCGAGAGUUUUCAGGAACGUCAUCUCCUAAACCUAAAGCCUUGACGCUUUGGAAAAAAAUAAGGAAUGCGAAGUUGCUAUAGAUAUUGCUGGAGUUUGAAGUCUUGACUACUGAAAUAAGUUCCCUUGCACGACUUUAAUUUAAGUCAACCAUUUGAUCCAGAACUUGAAAUUGUUUACUGAGGAGUCAGUCAGGACGACUUUGAGUUUCACUCUUGACAGCAUGCCGUUUACGUGUCCAUGUUUCAACUGUGAUAUACUAUAGUUGAAAUUUGAGGUCUCACCUAAUAAAGAAAAAAAAAUUUGUAUUUAGGUGUAAUUUGCGUUGACCUUGGGAUUUUAUCUUAUAUCUCAGCGUCGCCGGCCUUCAUAAAUACACAUCAUGCAUCUAUCAAGAACAAGUGCUGAUUGAGUUCAAAGAUGAACGGCCUUGGGCCUUUUUUUUUUGUUUUUGGGGUGGGGGGAGGCGGCGGCGAGAGAGAGAGACAGGAGCUGAUGCACUAGGGUCCUAAAUAAGGAGGGUCGGCCGGGGGCCUACACCAUUGAAGAGGGGGAUGAGGAAGCAAAUGGUCCUAUGACUAGUUGAUAGUGUCUCCUCUCCCCUGGGUAAGUCUGGGGAAGGAAUGGGACUUAAUGUGCUUGUCAUGUUGGUUGUCACCCUGGUUUUAGGCCUCUAUGGUCCUUACCUAUGCCCUUUCAAGGUAUGGGGUGGGGGCACUUAAACAAGGCUUUCACAUGCCCUAAUCACCCUUCUCCUACUACAAACCACGUGGUCCCCCUUCAAUCAUUUUUUUCUUAUCAUUUUGAGGGGCUAAGAAUCCAAUAUUCCCCCAAAAUUAUAGCCCUUAAUCCCCUAUAUAAAAAAGAAAAUAUUAAUAAUCUUUCCCAAUAUAAGUCAGUCCAGUGAAGGAGAGUUGGAUUUCACGGUUUAUAUCCCCUUUCCUAUAUUAAUCUUUCCUAGAAACAGUAGACAACAUUAGUUUGUAAUAACCAUGUCAGUCUAGAGUCGAGAUAAGAAUAUGUGUUCAUACGAAAAACAGACACAGGACCCUUCAUCCAAAGGUAAUGAACUUAUUUCCUAAUUAAUCAACUAUGAGAAAUCUUUUGCCUAUUAUUAUUAGCACAAAGAUGUUCUUAAAUGUACCCAACCUUGAAAAUUACUAUAAACAAAGUACCUAUAUAUAUAUAUACAGAAUGUUUUUUUUGGGUUGUGGGGAAGAAAAAUGUGGCAAAUCAGAGUAUGGGAACUUCUACAUAUACUUGUUAAGCACUGUGAGCCGGUGGGUGGUCCAGAAGCAUUAUAUUGUUGGUUGAAUUAAUUUUGUCAAGAGUGGAAAAUUUGAUUGAAGUUUUGUUCUCUCUGAUCGAAACACGAUUUGAACAAGUUGCGUAGGAGGUUGGCUGCACGAUUACCACUUCGCCCUCUGAGAGAAGAUCAUACGACGCCCAAAACCAGGAAGCAUGUGUUUUUCUCGUUCUACAAUACAACUUAAUGCACUUGAAAUUUGGGUACAAGAGAUUAGCAAUUGUGAUAUCUGGAAUAUUCAGAACUAGGGCUGCAAACGACUCGAGUCGAGUCGAGUUUUGGACUUAUCGAACCGAGCUCGACUUAAUAACAGGUGGGUUCGAGUUCAAACUCGAGCUUGACGAGCCAAGAAAAUUGAGUUAGAACUCGACUCGACCAAGGAAAAGUAAGGCUCGAGCUCGACUCGACAAGACUCGUGAGCUGUAGCUUGAUUUCUGGCUCACGAGCAGCUUGAAUUGUCAGCUCGUAACGUAGCUCGACUGUUUGACUCGUGAGUAGCUCAUUAGCUCGAGUUUCUGAAAAUUAAUCUAAUAAAAAUAACAAAUAAUUAUUUUUUUUGAUAAAUAAUAAAAUAUUAGGGAUAUAUAUGUAAUUUUACUAUUAAAAUAAAAAAAAUAAAAAAAUAUAUAUACUCGAACUCACGAGCUAACGAGGUUAAUAUUUUGAAUUCGAACUCGAGCUCGAGUUCGAUUUCGCUAGCUCGAACUCGACUCGAAUUCGAUAUUGAUUGAACUUGAGUCGCUCGCGAGCGGCUCGAUUCGUUUGCAGCGCUAUUCAGAACUCGAAAGAGUUGGUCAUUUUCUUGACAAAAUCGAACGAUUGCGUGGCAAACUGAUCUGUAACAUUUGUAUAAAAUUGAGGCCCGUAAAGAUAUCUCAGUAUGGGCACCUGUGACAAUUUCGUGUCAGGUGUAAAAAGAUAUAGACGGAUGCCUCUUUUUCAACCGCCUUCAAACCUUGUCUUCUACUCAUGCAUGUCAUUUUAUCAGCAGAAUUUUCCACGACCGGGUGAAAUUAUAUUGUUCGACCCGUCAUUUCUUGCCCCAGAGUGAAUCUUAACUUAAUAGUUCAAUCAAUCAAUCAAUGAGGUCUCGCCGAUUGAGAGACCAAAUUUUCAUCAUGUUUGAGUAGGACCAUAGCAACAACCUUAGAUGCAAGUAUUAGAUUAAGCUUAUUUUGUUCUUUCAAUUCGCUUCAAGAAGUGAAAACUUGUAUGCCAUGUCUCAUGGGAGAUGGGGUUUGGGCAAACCAUCCAAAUUCUUUUCCAGUCGAGACGAUAACAGAAAUCAUUUCGACAGCCCAUGAGUGGUUUAUGUGCUUCCCAGUCCUUAACCGUUUAAAACAAAAUGUUGGGGGAACAUAAUGGAAUAGGAAACAAUUAACUGCCCAAUUUGAAAUUGUUUUACAUGUAUACAUACUAAUAAGUAUUUAAUAAUAAUUCACUCAUUAAAAAAAAAGCAUAAAUUUUUCAAAGAACAUGACAUCUCCACCGUGCACCAGGCUAGAGAUAAAUUUGGGCUCUCAAAGAUUUAUCUGCGAAAACAUACGAGAUCGCAGAUUAUACUUUCGGAACGGAAUCAAAUCUCGGAAGCAAAAUAUUAAUCUCAGUUUAAACUCAUCAUGUCUCUUGUUUUUUUCCCUCCCAAUGCUCUUUCUGCCUCCGACUACCAAAUUUAGGUUCGAACUCUAAGCCCACGUUCUCGCUCGGAUAUAUUGAGCCAACCCUCCCUAGUAAUUAAACCAAUCGUGUCUUAAAUGAAUUCAUGACAAAAAGUCAAAAUUUGGUACAAUGGGACCCUUUUCCCAAACGAGUAAACCAAUUUGCAGAGUCAAAAUUGCUGGAAAAAAAUCAAAUGUACAUAUUAAUGUAUAUCACCACCUCGUUAAUUAAAAAAUUUGUCUAAAAGUCCUCAUAUUAAUUCAUUUUAACAUCCCGACUUUUGCACCGUCGGGAUGUAGCAACGUUAUCUUGAACUGCUCUGGGGUUACGACACCAUGAUGUGCUUGCUAUUCAUUUUAUUCAUGUGGCUCGUAAUUUGACCGGUCAGCGGUUCCGUCUCAAAAAUGCAAAGGUCUAUGGUACGACUGGUGGCGGGGUUGGUGUGGAAUGUGACUUUUUCGUCAAGCAACUUAGGGGAGUAUCGAAAUCCCAGUAUCCAUCUAAGUGUCAGACUAAAAAAAAAAAAAGAGAAGAAAUCAGACAAUUGCUGAAACCACGAUGGGCUGUCCCUCAACUUUUUCUUCCCUGAAGAAUUCUUUCGUGCAUACCCCAAAAAAGACAUGAAAAAGGCCUCUAAAUCUGGGAGCGCCAAGUCACCGCAGGUCACCCAUGACCUACCAUGAUGCCAAUAUAAUAUAUCUUUUUCUUUUUUUCGUUGUUCGAAAUUUGUGGAAUUAUAGAGAUCCCAGGUCACUUUUGAUCACUUUUUUUUUUUUUUUUUUUUACCUAAACGAGGCUGUCUUAUGACUUCAAUCGAACUCCGCAAUGAUUUUAAGUAUAAUUUUUUUUCACCCAAGUCUUAAAUGUGAUGAUGGUAUAACCAGUGACCACCAUCAUCGCUUUAGCCUUUGAGUCGUAAAUCAGUUGGCCAAUACAAACGGCGCACUUAGGUUAUGGGUGAGGGAUUCUAGGAACAAUUUCGUCGGUCGAAAGUUUCCGGUUGGUGCGGUUUUCUCGUUUCUGUUUUUUCACCCCACAUUACAUUCUUUUGUUACAGCCAAUCAAUCUACCGUGCCCUUCUGGAAACCUCGGUCAAGUUAUUAGGAAUUGUUGAAGUUACUACUACUUUUAUACAACUCAAAACCAGGUGGCACAUUUUCCACCCUUGUUCGCAAAUGUGAAUUUAUAUCUCUUUUCUCCACACGCAAUGGCACGGAGAGUGUUUCUUUUCUCGCUGGCUGCCGCCCCCCGGCAUAGUUUAGUGGAUAACGUGUGGGUUGAGGAGGGCAGAGGUUGACUCCUAAAUGAAGUGGUAACUCAGCUUUUCGUAUUAGCUUCAAUUUUCUCCCCUCCUCUCGAUAUUUGUUCAGGUGGAGUUCUUCGUUAAUAAUAGACCAUUCAUAUUCAUCACAAAUUUUAACAACCAAAUCGUGGUGAUUAAAUCAGGGAGUAACUCUUUUUAAAAAAAAAAAAAAAAAAAAAAAAAAAAUUUUUUGCAUCUAUUGAUAUACGGGUGUAGACUGGAGACUGUACAAGGAGAGUGAGUGGCCGACAUGGAAGUAAGAGAUGGGCCAUCGCGGUCGGGGAACAUGUGGACCAUGGCUUGGUUAAAGGUCCAAUUUUGGGUGGGCUUUGUUUCCUCAUGUCACUAUGUCCUGAGAUUUGUGUCGGUCUGGCUUUAAGUUUCUCGGCAAAUCACAAGCCUUUUCUCUACAUGUAUCCGUCUAAAAUCUAAUACUACACCAUUUUAUCAAAUUUUCAUACGAACUUUUUUAGUUUCCAACCAAUUGAAAUCAUCUGAGUUUGACGGAAAUGGCAUAAUGUUUACCUCAUAGAAUCGGCACCUAAUUCAAAGCGCAUCUCUCUCUCUUGCCCCCUGGUAGUAAUUAAGAAGGAAAACGUCAAGAAAAGUAAAUGAGUAAAACGUUAAAAAAUAUUAUUUUUUAAAAAAAAAAAAAAUCCGAAAUAGAUAUGCCUGCUGGAGAUUGUUGUACACUCACUUCCACUGAUUUUGCUACGCAUCUCUGACGCGGCGCAGUUGAGGUCUUGAAAGAGGAUGUAAUAAAAAGUUUUAGUAGCCGGAAAAGCGCGUGGAUUUAGCACACAUUGCGUGUUCGUACUCAAAAAAAAUUUCAUAAAUGAGCAAAAUCGGUGGAGAAACUAAUAAUGACAAGAAAGAAAAAAAAAAACCCAGAAGAUUUUUGAAAAGAAAGGGGGAGAAAAAUGUUGGUCUAUGCUGACCUUGGCAGCCAAAACUUCUAUAUAUAUGCAUAGAGAAUAUGCCAGAGAGCAACAUACCUGCCCAUUGCCCAAAACCCACUCCAUCGACGACUACUACUUUUCUCCUCCUUCCACAUUUCCACUGAAUCCCAAUUCUCUUCUCUUUCGUCUCUCCUUUUUGCUGGCUACAGAAUUUCCUGCUAGCUUUCGGCUGCUUCUUCUCUUUUUGCCUUUUGGCUCACACGAUUUUUCGAGGCUAACUUUUCCAAACAAAACCAGAAAUACAGAGUAAUUAAAAUGAAGCUGCUAUCUAGGAAAGCCACGUGCAAUUCCCACGGCCAAGAUUCAUCGUACUUCCUGGGAUGGCAGGAGUAUGAGAAGAACCCAUACGAUGAGGUUCGCAAUCCGACAGGCAUUAUUCAGAUGGGUCUUGCGGAGAGUCAGGUUUGUCAACAAAAUAUCUUUUCCCUCUUUUUCAACUCUUUUACUCCACAUAUGCAUGUGAUGGUUUUUUUUUUGGGGGUAAAUUUCGACUGUCAUUCUUCUUUUAUCUCAUACCGUCACUAUUACUUUUGGCAGCUCUCAUUUGAUCUGCUGGAGUCAUGGCUGGCUGAAAAUCCAGAUGCCAGUGGCUUCACGAGAAACGGGGAGUCCAUUUUCAGAGAACUAGCUCUUUUCCAAGAUUAUCACGGCCUUCCCGCUUUCAAGAAGGUUCGUUGAAAACGAUAAUUUAUGAAGUACCGUCACAAAUUUAUUUAAGUACUAUGCUCAGCUGGCUCUAUCUCUUAUGGAUGUUCAAUGCAGGCGUUGGCCGAAUUCAUGGAAGAAAUUAGAGGAAACAAAGUCACAUUUGAUCCCAGAAACCUAGUCCUAACUGCAGGAGCAACUUCGGCUAACGAGACCCUCGCGUUCUGCAUAGCUGAACCAGGCGAAGCAUUCCUCCUUCCAACUCCAUACUAUCCAGGGUACGCACGCAUACAUGCAGCGCCAUGCUACCCCGUACUUUUUUUUUCUUUUUUUUGUACACGGUAUAUAAACACUCUUAUAUGAUAUCACGUUGCCGGACCGGGUCUAAUGAUGAAACCGCAUGAAUAAUGCAGAUUUGAUAGAGAUCUCAAGUGGAGAACCGGAGUUGAAAUCGUUCCAAUUCAAUGCACGGGCUCAAACGGCUUUCGAAUUACCGAAUCUGCCCUUGAGGAUGCUUAUCAACUUGCUCGCAAGCAGAACCUCAGAGUCAAGGGCGUCCUGGUCACUAACCCUUCCAAUCCACUGGGAACGGCUCUGAGCCGUCAGGAAUUAAAUCUUCUAGUUAGCUUCAUUUCUGCCAAGAACAUUCAUCUCAUUAGCGACGAAAUCUAUUCUGGCACAGUUUUUAGCUCGCCGAGCUUCGUUAGUGUCAUGGAGGUUUUACUAGAAAGAAAUCUCGCCAACACUCAAGUUUGGAACAGAGUUCAUUUAGUAUAUAGUCUUUCCAAAGAUCUGGGACUUCCCGGUUUUCGAGUUGGAGCGAUUUACUCCAACGACAACACAGUCGUAGCUGCAGCCACAAAAAUGUCGAGCUUCGGAUUAGUUUCUUCCCAGACUCAGUAUUUGCUAUCCGCCAUGCUCGCCGACAAGAAAUUCACAAAGCAUUACAUUUUUGAGAAUCAAGUACGCCUUCAGAAGCGGCACGCAAUGCUCGUUAGAGGACUGAAGAAUGCUGGAAUCAGCUGCCUUGAUAGCAAUGCCGGAUUAUUCUGCUGGGUGGAUAUGAGGCAUCUUUUGACCUCCAAAAGUUUUGACGCGGAGAUGGAGCUUUGGAAGAAGAUAGUAUAUCAAGUCGGGCUUAACAUCUCCCCGGGAUCCUCAUGCCACUGUGCCGAACCCGGCUGGUUUCGUGUGUGCUUCGCCAACAUGUCGGAAGAAACGCUAGACCUGGCAAUGCAAAGGAUAAAGGAUUUUGUGGUAUCAACGGCCACCAAAUCCUCCAACACCGGUCGGAGUCAUCAUCUUUCCAGCAAGUAUUCAGCCCGAAAGUCUCUCAGCAAAUGGGUUUUUCGGUUAUCGUUUCAUCAUGACAGUGAAAACGAACGAUAGUCCUAGUGUGAACGUAUCGAAUAGUUGACUUUUUUUUUUUAACUAUUAUUCUUUUUUUUUUCCUCAAUAUUUAGAUGUUGAGUUCCAAAUUUUGUACUAUUAUUUCAUGCAAAGAGAGUGCACUCGGUCCAUGUGGAUUAGAAGUGGUUGAUUUCUGCUCUAUUAUUUUGUAAAAUCUCAUUUGUGAGGACUUCCACGAUAUCUUCUUGAAUUGUUCAAACCAUCACUAAUACAAUAAUGUACGUAUCACAUGAUCAGAUUCGGGAUUACAUAUUUAAUUGUAUGUUCUUUGACGCCCUUUUUUCUGCAUGAGUUUUUCCUUCUUAGAAGUAAGUAUGCAUGGCAUUAUCAAACUCAAUAUUGCAACGUCCUAAAAAUUAAAACCCAAAUGAAUACGAUUAACUAUCAAGUUAACAUGCCACUGUAGUACUGUGUCAACUACUUAGACUGCAUGUAAUGCCUACACUUGAUUACAUUGGAAUUUGGGAAUGCUUCAUGGUAGCGGCGGGAUUACCGGCAAGAUCCUGGUAGAACGAUGCCGACAUUAGACUUGCAUUGGCCGGUUUCCUAAACAGAUAUAUAACUGAUAUUUCCCCCCACCCCCACCCCCACCCCAAUGGAUUUUUUUUUUUUAGAAAUGGAAUACUGUAUAAGACGACGUUUUAGCCGUAUGAGCAGCUUUCUUGAUACGGGUCAGAAAUGGAAUGAGUCACAACAAUGAAUUCGUUCUCCACCUAGUGUUUUGGGGCAGGGUAGCGACACAAGUCAUUUUUUCCUAACAUAUAUCGAAUCGCUACAGUAUUUUUUUUUAUAAAAAAUCUAGAAAAAUGCAAUCCAAACACAAUCUAAGUUUUCUAACGCUUUUAAUCUUGGACACACAGAUAAGAAAAAGGACUAAACACAAAGGAAAAGAAAAAAGUUUAAAAAGAAAAUGAUCAUCCAUAUACCGUCACUAACUACGUAAUUGGUAGAGUUUCCUGCAAGAAAUUUUCAUGUUUAAAUCUUUUGAAAAUUUUGAAUGUAUUAUCAUCAUCGUCAUCAUUAUUAUUAUUAUUAAGAGAGGUGUGAGAUUUAAAAAGUGAGAGAGAGAGAGAAGAAAAUUUUGAACACCUCUAAAUUUUGGAGUUUCAAUUGUAGCACUAGACUAAGAGUCCAUUUGGAUCGGAGUUUUUGGAAGUUUUUAUUAAAAAAAUGCUAUAAUGAUAUGAUGUACGUGAGAUAAAAAAAUAAUUUAAGCAUAUGUUAUUUUAAAAAAUUUUCUUGAAAAGCUUGCAAUCUAAUGAGGACCUAAAGCACAUCAUGUACCCCAUUUGUCCUUAAAUGAUAGACUUGGGCAAUUGAAAAAUGAAAUGAUCAAAUUUUCAUAUACUUGGCUAGAUAUACGGAUCCUUUUUCUCCUUCCAACUGCAAUAAUAACAAAGGGUAGUAUUUGAAAAUUUUACUGUUAUUUAUAGAUAUGCUAGAAAAUUAUCUAAAAAUUUCUAAGCCAAAAGACUUUGGUGCUAUAUAUUUCAAUAACGCCAUUGUCUUUCUAAAACAACAAAGUGACAUUUUCCUCAUCCUAUCGUUUGUUGUUGCAUUUGUCUAAAGAUGGAGUAGCACUAACAUACCAACUAGUGUAGUCAUCCUAGGCUCUGAUCAUGGUACCUGCAUGUGAAGCCUUGAUUUCUAUUAUUGUUUUCCCGGAAUGUUGCAUGAGAAAUUGGUCCAUGUGAGGGUAUUGGUGGCCAAGGAAAAGAGUUAAACAUUACUGAGUAAAAAUAAACACACUAGAAUUUUGGUCCGUUUCCAUGUUCUUCUUGACUGCUAACAUGUGGCCUACAAUCUGCUAGGUUAUGCAGUAGAAUUCGGAGAGCUGAGAUGCUCCUUAAGAUUCUGGGGCUGUACUAUUAUAUUAACUUUAGGUUACGGAUCAUUGCUAUUUUCGACUAUGACUAAUCCCAUUCUGCAUUCUUUCCCGUAGCGAUGAUUCCGGCUGCUCCUAUCAACGUCGAGAAUUUUCAGUUCCAAAAUAUAAACAAACCUCGUUGUAUGAUUAUUUUGUGGUCAUUUUGGGCUUUGAGGUGGAACACAAAAGAAUUUUUACUGAUUAUGUAUUUACUUGCUGAAAUGAAGGAGACAUGUAUAGUAAAAAUAGUUUACUAAAACCAAUACUAAGUCACACAUGGAAUUGUAUGCCCAAGUUCCAAGUCUAAUUUCAUAGAAAAAAAAAUAUGUUACAUUUCAAAACUGAUUGACAAUGAGUAAAUUCGCCCAUAAUCUUAUUAACGUAGCUGAAAUUUCUUGAGAAAUAGAUGUAGCAAAUUUUGUCCCUCAACACUAUUGUUGCCUCAGCAUGAGAACAAAACAUCAGCUUGCUCAGCCUCCAACCCUUCAUAUAUAAAAAAAACUUCCAUCUGGACUAAGUAUUCAAUAUUGUAUUACUUGGAGUAAUUUCGACAAAUAAAAUUGUAAGUAACUUGAGCAUACUUCAACACGAAUUAUCCAAAACACUCAUCAAGUAGUGAGAUUGCAUAAACUUUCGGAAAACCUAGCAAGAUAGCAUUAUUAGAAUUGGCAGCUAAACCAUGCAUUCACAAGUUAUGCUGUCCAAGACAAUAAACUUUCUAAAUAGUUUACAAACGAGCUAUGAAAAAGACUGUAAGCAAAGAUCGGAAUUGAGAUGCCUUUCUAACUUUAAGAGAAUGAAUAUCACAAAUUCCAAAUUGGACUCACGAGCUUAGUCCCUUCGGACCAAGCAAUGCAUUUAUUCUUUUACUAUCAGAAAUUUUUGUUAAAAGUACAAUGAUUUGCAGGGGAAGCAGAUCAUGCUUUCUUGAGCAUGGUAUUUACAUAAAGAUUCGACAGUGACCCUUGAAAACUUCGUGCGUAUUGUAAAACUUUCUUUCUAAUGGUAAGUAACAACAGGGAAAAGCUAAAACUUGGAAAAACUUUUCAAGACAGAACCUUGAACAUCUUUCACCUUAGCUGAUCCAAAGUCAAUAAGCACGCAGUUGAAUAGAUUUGUUUGUAUGUCGACAUGGAAGACAAUAGCAGACAGGAAUAUUUUUGACUGAGGCUAUUGUUUCCUGCAACCUAGACACUCGGCAACGUAUAGCUACUGUUAAUAUUCCGAAUGACAAGCUAUCGACUAAACCCUACCCCAAAGUCGAGCUGGCCACAAGAAACUUGUUGUUACACAUACGUAUCGUGAUUGUUAAAAUUCUCAACCUUUACAGCAGUUGCCUCUUAUUGUUCAAAUUAACAUACUUUCAUGUCAUAAUAUUCAAGGAUUCGAUGGAAAAACCAAAGAAAAGAAUCUUCCAAAAUUCAACUGCGUACAACCUUGACCAUGGGAGCAACGUUGGUUCAUGAGUUGAAGGCAAGACAAGACCAUUUAUGUAAAUGUGGGAUGGAGUGUCAUGUGGGUUUCACAUGAAAUCAUCGAUCAAGGCACAUGGAGAGUAACAGAGAACAUCUGCAGUAUUCUUUCUUUUUUUUUUUUUGAGAGAAAGCGUGUGAGUUAAAGAGUUGAAGGUAGGGUUUAUCCGCGUGCUCUCAGCUAUGGAGCCAGGUGAGCCUGUGUGAGGUGGUGCCAUGGCUAUUCCUUGCUUGUGUCCUUAGCGAUAUCAAUAACUCGCUAUUAGUAUUACUCACCAACAUUGACGUGAACAUGAAUGGCCAAUUGAACGUGACCCCUUGUCUCAGGAGUACGAAACCGUGCCCCACAGCCCAUACCAUGGAUUUUUCAAUAACACGGACCCUCGUCCAUCUCGAACAGAUUGUUCCAGUCUCAGCAGUUUUUGUCUCGAUUCUCAAUGAUUGAAUGGACUGAUGGACCUAAAUUACUGUUACUUUAUCAGCAAAAUUGUAAUCAAAAGGGGGAGAAGGAAAAAAAAAAGGGUAUCGCCUCUUCCCUUCAAACCUCCUCUUGCAUUUUCUAUUACAGGGGUACUUCUAGAUGCAUUGAGCACAAGGAUAUUUUGGUAAACCAUGCAUGGACUCUCAUUGAUAUUAAAUGAUAUGGUACUUUUACGUCGGCAAAUUAAGAUGCAUUCGGAAAUGUAACAGCACUUGUGUAACAAAAUAUCAAUGGAUUGAUCAACCAUAUAUUACUCUUCCAAGUAGCCUUGUGUACUCUGGUGUUUUGCGGAUUGUUUACAUUUGCUAUUGCAUGGGCGGUAAAAGUUGAGACUAAAGAAUCUUGACAUACUACUUACGCAAUAAAUAUUAGCAAACGGAGAAAUGAUCUGUAUCACUUAAAAUUUGUCAACUAAACAAGGGGAAAAUAAUCUCCCAUGCGGACUGACGUGGAAAGAUGAUGCGGAAUUUUCUCAAUUUAAGCCAUCCAACUCACUUAAUUGAUCUAACAUCUUACUGUUUCUUUCUAAACCCUGGCUAUUGCCCAGCCACCACCUCCAAGAAACAGGAAACUUUAAAUUUUUUUUAAAAAAAAAGAAAAAAAAAAGGGUGGUGCAUCUUAUUCUUAUAUAAAGACAUGAAAAGGCAUCAUUGACUAAUGACGGCAAACAUCUGAGCGCAUGGCAUGGAUAUCAGCAAUGCUGUAGCAUUCUUCACUCUUUCGAUGGAGAAAUUAAAGAUUCUAGUUUAUGCGUGUUUUAACACGAAUGUAUAUCCUUGUACCAAGUCCCGACGGAUCUGUUCCCCCAAGAAACAGAGAAGAAGGAAAUUUAAAAAGAAAAAAAAGGGACACAGGAGGUAACAUAAUGCGUGACGAGGGAGUUAAUUUCCACAUUGUGAAGGCAACAAAGUCGUCCGCAUCGUGUGCAUAGGAGUCAAAUUGAAGGUCGGAAGCUUUCCCGUCCAGACCGGCUAAAAUCAGUGACGGGGGAUUUCCCUUGUCCAGGACGAAAAUUUCAAUGUCAUGUUGUCAACCAUAAAUUGGGCUUUGGACGAGUGCUUAUUGUCAAUGAAGACGUACACAUUACUCCUAUAUGAUUGGGGUCCAUUAUAGUUCUCUAUAGAUGUAGCCUACUAUUUCACAUGUAGAUGAUCAAAAUCUGGAAACGCCCAUGCAUGUUUCUUUAAACAUACAAUAGAAUAAAAUCGGCUAGAAAGGUUACCAUCAACUCUCAAGACGAUUAGGAACCAAAUAUGAGUUGCAGUCUUUUUCUUUUUCUUUUUCUUUUUCUUCUAAGUUUAAAUUUAGAAUUAAUCUUAUAUAUACUGUCAUUAUAUAUAUUAUUAUAGUUGAAUGCAUAACUAAUAUAUAAAAUUUAUAUUUUAAAUUUAAAUUAAAACUAAUUAUUAUAUAUCAAACGGACGGUGAUAUAUGUAUACACUGUCAGUACAUAAAAUAUUGAUCUUAAAUUUAAUAGAAGCAGCUUUUAAGGAAAAUGACUGCCUAUGGAACAGAUAAAUCACCAACGAUAGUAUGUUAAAUUCCUAAAGCCCAAGUGACACUGAAUGAGUCCAUCAGGCAGAUUUUCGGGCCUAUGUCGUUUCGUAAAUUUGGGCCAAGACUCCAAGUGUAUUUCAACUGUUAGUAACCCAGUUUAUGCAUGAUUGGCCCCGCUAAAAUGGCCCAAUCCAAUGAGGAUUCGAAGGAGAUAGGGUAAUGCACCAGUGAAAUUAAAGAAUAGGAAAUGAGUAAAAUGAGAAGUUAAUCUAUUGGAUUAACUUUGUAUACACUGACAAUGUAAUAAUGUAUUACGCUAUCAGUUUUGGAUGUAUGUUAUAUGUGUAUGAUUUGAAUUUUAAAUUUAAAUUUAUAAUAUGUGGUAUAAUCUAAGUAUGUUAGUGUAAAAAAGAAUUUUUAAACUAAGUAAUGAUCACUUAUCUUUUGGGUUACUAAUUAAAUGAGAAUAAAAUGCGGAUUGAGAAAGUUUUCUUUCUUUUUUUCUUUUCCAAGGUAAUGAUGAUGAUGGUUGAAAGUAUAGUUGCCAGGUUCCCCCUAGCCUCGAAUAAACUAAAAGUGUCAAAAGGGGUGAUUCGGAAAUUAAUGUUGAGAUACGUUUGGGCGGGACAUAAUGGAUAGUUGAUACAAUUGACUUAACUCAUUUAUACCCAUUCAAUAAAUGGGUCAAUAUGAUUCAACCCAUUUAAAUGCUAUAUCCAAUUAUUCGUUUAUGACUCAGUUGAAAUUCUAAUUUUUUUUUUAAAAAAAUUUUGCAUGCUAUUUGAUAAAAAAUAAUGAUAUUUUAUUAUUAUUCGAUUAAUUCAAAUUUAUAUGCUUAACACCCACUAAAAAUUAAGUUUAAAUAUAAAUUAUUUUUAAAUUGAUAUAAAUGGAUGAGUCAAAUAAAUCCACUAUCCACUAAUUAAAUGGGUUUAAUUGAGUACUCAUUUAGACCCAUUCAAAACUUAUUGCAUAUCCAAAUUUACUUAUUAGUGAACGGAAUUGAAUGAAUCAACAUAAUUUGAUUAUAAUUGACACCUCAGAGGUCUGGAUAUUCUCAAGGCAAUGGAUGGAUGCACUUUUGGCAUCACUUUUUUAGACUUAUUAGUUGAUGAUGAUCUUUUAAUUGAUAAAUUACUCAUAUUCUCAAUCAUCUCACUGUAAAGGAGUAGUAUUAUUUGUCGGGAAAGACUAUCAAAAGACUCUUUGGGAAAGAGUAGGGCCAGGUUUACGCGAGAAGACAGAAUCCGGGGGAGAUGAACACUGCGAUGAGAGGAAGCGGGAGUCUAGCAAAUUGAGCACCAAACAUCCCAACUAAGACCCGACUACGGCUGCAGAUCAAAUGUAACGUUUCAAGAAGUCAAAAGGAUGGCAUUAAUUUAACAUUUACUUUAACAAAAGGGUGUUGAAUUUAUUGCGAUUGCAGCACUAUAUUUACUUGUUGUUUACCAGUAAAUGAAGUAGACGAUUAAUCAAGAGAUUCACACGAAGUUUUCAACGCGGAAAAAUAGAAAAGUUGUCAUUGGUAGGGCUGUAGGCCACCAACAUAAAAUUUCCACUCACUGUCUUUUCCAGGGAAACCACACAUUAUUGACUCCUUUCUGGAGGACCUUUCUCAUUUUGCGUCUGAAUGUCACAAACUCUUCCUUGUGAUCUUCCAACCCCCCCCCCCCCCCCCCCCCGGCCCCCAAAGGCGCCGCCCCAGGAAAAAAAAAAUCCCAAAAAUCACUUAAAAACUACUCCGGCAUCUCCUGUUCAACUAAUUGAUAUCAUAAGCACAUAAGAACACAAGAUCUUUUUGUGUUAGCUAGCUGCAUGCAAGAACUCGCAGCUGUAAAAAUUAGGAUAGAUUUCAAGGAUGCCCGAAAUUAUGCGCUAUACCAUGUUGAGGAAUACGAAAACCUACCUGUAAUGUGUCAAACAAUACAAAUACUACUGCUAACUAAGAGAACUUUAUGUAUGUGUGCAAAUUUCAAAAGGUUACCUGUGUGUUCGCGAUACUACUAGAUGUUCUAAAUUAUGGCACGUGAAACAAUAUAGUGUCUGGUACAGGCACUUAGCAGAAAAAUUCAGCAGGACAAGACAGCUCUAUUUACUGACCAAAACAAAAGAAAAUAAAGGUUGUGGAAAUUUGGGUAUAGUUGUCUCUCUUUGAAGCUGAACCUUCUGGGGAAAGUUCCUAUUUCCACCAUAAUCUUCGAGAUAUCAGCGCUUGUUGGCUAAUGGUGGUGUUCGAUAAUUGCAUCACAUACAGCUAAAACAAAUGCUUUUUCUAUUUUUGCAACACGAAGUUUUCGAAUUAAAAUCUAAAUUCGGGGAUCCCAUUUCCACAGGCUGCAAGGGUGAAAAAGAUCAAUUUGGAUACGGCAUGAAAGACACAGUCAAAAUCCCUGUCCUCCAUUAGUGAGAUUUGAGGCUGUUGCGCUCUGUGAUAGGGGGUUUGUCGCGGGUCAACAGUAGUAUUAGUAAUUAGUUGAAACUUGUCCAUUUUCUCCAACAAGUUUCAAACCUUGUGCCACUUAUAAAAUCGUCAUCAUAAUCAAGAUUUGUCAAAAAUAUAUUCACUUGGGGAGACUUUGCUUGAUAUUAAAGGUGUUGAAAACUCUGGCAUCUACGAAAGUGCCAUAGCUGUCCUUCCUAUGAACUUCUCUAUCGCAAGCAUAAAUUAUCAAGUCAUGAGACCCACAAGCAAAAUGGUAAUGACUUUAAGGCGCAGAAAAAUAUAAGUUCUUCACUUAGUAAUUCUAAACAUAAACAAAGCUUAGGUAAAAGAUAUCAAAAUACUUGUGAUCAACUGAUCUCAUCAUGAAAUAUUCUGCACUUGGAUGUAUGACACAUGUGGUAAGUGUUAACAGCAUGUACGCGACCGACCGCAAUUCUUCUAGCGCGUCAUUUGUUCUAAAACGCCCAAAAACCAUGCCGCCGUUUCUGUGAUCUCAUCAUCGUCGGAAACAGUGAAAUCUUGGGUUUUCCUUUUCUCAACAUAUAUGCUUGGAUUAAAUGCCCAGCUUUGCCAUGGAAAGCAGGCUGCAAACUGCUAAGUCGCCAAGUUGUUGUCCAUCUGGUGGCGUCUGAAUUCCAUCCCCUUGUCGUCUUGUGGUCGUAGCCAAUAAUGUAUUUAUCUAUUAUUAAAUGCUUAAUAUCGACAACGUAAAAUUGAGCCGAUAAAAUGAUGUCCCUCCGCCAAUUUUUAGAUACUACUAUCCUUAAGCUCGAUUGAUUAUAGUUUUCAGGUUGAUGAGAUGAUAGGUGAAGUGUGAUGCAGCAGGGUCAGCAGUAUUGUGCUUUUCCGGGUCUCCACCGAAACAGUAGAGAAAUUAGCCAGGCAAAUGUCAAAUGAACGAUCAGGAUCAAGCUGGUACGUACUAUGUGUUAAAUAAGAUAGGGAGAGAGAUGGUGACAGUUAGCGUGUACGUUUGUGCGUGUCCGAGAGUGUGUUGUUUGGAGGUUUUAUAGAUGGAGACAGUCAAGAUGAAUGUCUGAAUUAUAUGCAUGAUGAUAGAGAGAGAUUCUGGACUAAGAAAGACAAUAAGAAAACUUCCCAAGUCUCCUCCUCUGGCAUUCAAAUUCCUCUAUUAUUUUAUGCAGAAAGCAGUUUCAUCUUUUCCCCAUUCCUCCUUUUUUGAAUUCAGGGGCUCAUUCCAUCCUAUGUCUCUCCUUCUCCAGCUAUUAUAUUCACCCCCCUUUCUCUAGCCUACCCAGCACUAUAUAAUUACUUAAAAACGUACAGCUGCAACCAUCACCAAUAGUGGGAAGCUUUGCAACAAAAGAUCAUCAGAGCAUAUAAUAAUUUCUCCAUCAUAAAACUGAAUAUGGGUAGAGCUCCUUGCUGUGACAAAGCCAACGUCAAGAGAGGACCGUGGUCGCCAGAAGAAGAUGCAAAACUCAAAGCCUACAUCGAACAGUACGGCACUGGCGGCAACUGGAUUGCCUUGCCACAGAAAAUAGGUAAUUGGGCUAAUACUUUUUGAGUUUUGACUAAUUCGUGCUCUCACUUUCCUUUUUCUUUUUUAACAGAAUAAAAUGAUUAAGAAAGAAAAAAGUAAAUUGAUAACACGGGCGUAAUUCUAACUGAUAAUGUUUUUGAGCUGAGCUAAAAAAUGAGUCGGUGGCAUGUUAUAGGUCUAAGGAGAUGUGGAAAGAGUUGUCGGCUCAGAUGGUUGAAUUAUCUGCGGCCAAAUAUCAAGCAUGGUGGAUUUUCAGAGGAAGAGGAUAGCAUCAUUUGCAGCCUCUAUAUGAAUAUCGGAAGCAGGUAAUCUAACUUAACCAACAACCAUUAAAAAUAUAGGGCUCGUCGUGAUCUCCAUAUACUUUUCCUUCGCAACUCAUAAACUCAGAGAUUGAGAGUGUCAAAUUUUUGGCGAUCUUCAAGGUGGUCUAUUAUCGCGGCACAGUUGCCUGGAAGGACAGACAAUGAUAUCAAGAACUACUGGAAUACAAAGCUGAAGAAAAAGUUGCUCGGCAAGCAACGUAAGGAUCAAAGGACUCGGGCAGCCAGCUCUCUCAAGCAAGAAAUGAAUAGGAAAAAAGAGAAUUUCAUGACUACAGAAGCCAUACAUGUGCUACACUCUCAUCAGCUGCAGCAACCACUGGCCUUUCCUGCAGUUAUUCCACAGCAACAAGCACAUGAUGUGGAGGACCAGGCGGUCAUCAUAGCAGGAAAGUUGUCUGCCGAUGAUCAACAAGCAAAUGGGAACAGCUUUAACAAUCACAACAGUUUAUACUCUUGUGACAUUUCCUUUGGUGAAGGACAGGCAUGUGAAAAUCCCCUCAGCAUGGCUUCAUGCUCACAACAGUGUUCGCCAAGCAGCUAUUAUCCCAUUCACGGGGUAAUUGCAAACAGCAACAUUCCAUGCUAUAGCAGCUUCCCUUUUCAUGAGCUUAAUGGGAUGGAAUACAUUAAUAAUUUCCAUCAGUCGGAUACUUUACAAAGUUUUUCGGGAACGGAUACGGUUAAUAGAAGCACAAUCACCGGCACUUCACCUGAAAGUACAAGCUGGGGAGAUACAAACUCUCUUGUUUAUUCUCCUAUCGUAUCCUGCUACGAAAUCUGCCAACAACCUAUCCAGCAAAGCUGCACACUUGAAAAAUCCAGCUACUUCAGGAUGCAACAAGAAACUGUACUUCAAUAAUAACAAAAAAAUAUAUUUAUCUUGGCCACAGUCAAAGAGGAGGGGCUAGUGUUCCAGCAUAAUUCCCCUCUGAACUUGGAUUCGUUAAUUUUGUAUUGCUUUAUAACUUUGAUAUUGACUCAGCACGUAGAGAGACUCUUCAUUGCUGCUAGAAAUAUGCACUUGUUUAUUCUCUUCCAUUUUUACCAUUUAUGUUCGGAAUUAGACUUCCAGUUGAUGGAUAGAUGCUGAAUUAAUACACUCCUCUCAUACCUUUACCAUUUACGUUUGGAAUUACAUUUGUUUGUUCUCUACAUUAUUAGGGCGGGUGAAAGUAUAUGCAUCUUUCACAGAACACCUCAGAAUCAUCCAUGAAAAGGCAGCACUGAUUGUUGAAGUUAGAAAGGUGCUUACAGUUUUUUGGCUACAAGUCAAUGGCUUUAGCAUGUAGGGUAUCCAGAACUGGCGGCAAGCUCUUAGUGCUUUCUUGAUUACUGUUUUUAAAUAAGAAGAGCUGUUGCAGCACUUAGCACAACACCAUAUGAUGUUAGUGGAAUUAAUAAAAUUAAAUUGCAUGGAAAUGACGAAUCAGGGCUGAUUUGUCGGCUGUAAUGGUAUCACAUCAAGGAAGCCUAUCCAUAUCGAGUAUUUGUUCCAUAUUUUCCCCUUUUGGAUUUUUGCCAUUUGGCAUAAUGGUUUUUAUCGAUACUAAUAGCCACUUUUGAGUUUUAUACGUUAAUUUCAAACAAAUUGUAUCUUCCUAUUUUGGACUACGGCUAGUGUAUAGAUUUCACACAGUCGAAAAGAAACUUUUUUAUUUUGUGCAACAAAUUCAAUACUCCAUUCUAUCCAUGCCAAGAUAAGAUAAACUAUAUAUCCCCAACUCAAACAUUAUCCCAUGGUUAGUCUUACUGGUGUGCAUAUGAUUGUUAAUUGAGUAACACAUGACAUAAUCAGUGGUAUCGAAUACAUAUAUACAUAUAUACAUAUACAUAUAUAUAUAUAUAAAGAGAGAGUAAAUAAUUAAGAUACGUUUAUCAAUCCUUAUAUGCACUUUUUUUAAUUUUGUUUAAACAGAAGAAAGGUGAAAUUUAAGAAACUCAAUGAACAUAAGGGAAUUAAAAAACUCAGAACCUCUACGUUCUGAGAUUUCAAUAUUAACCACUAGACAUUCUCGUACAUACUUGAAUCACUCUAUACAUGUACAAUUAGCAUAAACCUUGAGACCCUGGACCAUUAUACAGUACAUAUCUUGAAAAUGAAAUCAUGAGCUCCAAAGACCAUUUACUCAACUCCUUCGACUAAAAGUUCUUGUAUGUAAGGCUUUGUCCUUGUGUCUCAAGUUUCGAGGGAUAUGUUCACAAAUUUCGUUAGAUUUAAUGUAAAGUUGGAGGCAAAUUAAUGCCGUAUAAUACAACGAUAUAGGAUGUACAUAAAAGAGCCCAAAAAAUAGAUGAUAAUUGUCUCAAUUUUAGUGACGAGUAUUGGUGAUAUAAACUACAUUAAUUUUUCUUUUCUGCUUUCUUUUGUGCUCAUCUAGUUAUUUAUAUAUUUCCCGAUGAAGAAUUAUUAGUUGGGGAGCCAAAAUGCACCUUUUCUAUGCUUAAUUCAGUUUGAUCUGGUAAAAAGAAUUCUAGAAACAUGUUGUUUCAGAAAAGUGCAGGCUUGGCUAUGGAAUACCAGACAACCAGUAACCUCAUCGGAAAUUAAUUAGGGUAACGAAGUAACUCGACCACUAAUAAUAAAGGAAAAUUUUGGUUUCACGAUAUUUAAGAACAAGAUAUUUGACAUUAAUAGAUCAAGAAAAAUAAACUAGAAAGAGAUGAAACAGGGGUUGUGGGACACAGUGAGGAACAUACACAUCGAGUGGCAUCAAUAUGAGUAGAAUAUGAAGUCAAAAAAGCAGAUAAAGGGGCUGUGGCACAAAGCUUAAAAAAGGUUGACCAUUUCAUCAUGAAUUGGCUAUUAAUUCUAGCAUGAUAGUCUUCUAAGUUUUGAGUUACUAAUAUUCUAAUCCAAUGCAAAGAAAUAACUCAAAACAAUGAAAAUGGAUCCAUCUGUAUCUUAAGAAGAAGUGUACUUGUUCUUGCUAUUCAAAAUGUGUUGUGUACUUUGAUCAUUGACGCUGAUAGAUACCGGAAACGAAUCAUUUUUGUACAGGACUCCAACGUCGGCACGACUCAAAAUGUCAAAACUGGCACUGUUAUUAUUAUUAUUAUUAUUACUAUUUAUUUUAAGCAUAGCACUUUCGUCAGUUUUCCCUGAUCAUGAAAAACCAUACUCAGCAAUUUUUUUUCCCUUCUUUUUGAGAAAGGGUCAGUAGUUUGUCGAUCGAUUUCAAUGAUAUCUAGCUAAGCUGUGUUCUAUAAUUAAUCACGUGAUGGUGGCAGCCAUGGAAUUAAGGUCGACCAAAAUCACUCCCAAUACAUGUAAAUAGAAACAGAUAAAAUUUAACCAAAAUUGACGUCAAAUCAUUGCCAAAAUCUUUGUCGACCAAAUGAGCAGCUAGUUAAGGCCGGCUGCUCAUAAGUCAUGUGGGUCUUUGGUUAAUAAUAAUAACAAUAAUAAUAAAGGGUUUUGGUUGCCAGUCAAGCUGAGAAAAAACUAGCUAAUUAAUUAAUCUUUUUUUUUUUUUUGGACAAAGAUGGUGUUUGGGAACGUGGCACACCCUGCCUGGUGCUGACGCUUGUGACAUGCUCACUUGUUUUCUUUGUUACUUGUUCUUUCCUCUUGCAAUCACUCGCUUACGUUUUUCAUUUUUUCUUUCAGUCGGUGUGCUUCUCCAGUUUACUGCAGUGGAUAAAUUACUUCCUGAAUCAUGAGAAAAAGCUCUCCUGAAAUCCGUUGGCAAUCAAGCAGGAACAUUUGCAUUAAAGGUUCACCAGUUUCCUACUCUUUGACGGCCUUUAAAGUGCUUCUCUUGACAACACAAAUGAAAGCAAAUUGGCCCUGCGAUAAUAAAUAGAUACAGGGAAAAUAAAAUUCGUCUCCUGAAAAAUGUAAAACCAAUUUCUUGUUUGGAGUUCUGAACUCUGUCCCCAUCAACGUAAUUAUUCCCAGCCUUUGCAGAUAACCCUCUGCUUUCUUACAAAAAUCACGAGUCCAUGGAAUAACGGAUAAUUAGUAUGUUGAUGUUCACCUAAUAUGAUAAUAAUAAUAAUAAUAAUAAUAAUAAAGUGUAUAAAAAUAGAGACAGUUUUUUUUUUUUUUUUUGUAAUUCAAGUACAAAAGCGGAAGGGAAAAGGGGAAAAAUGGAUGUUUGAGUAUCGAAUCAGGACAUUAUGAUAAUGUAGUUAAUGCUCCUCUCAACUGAGUUGGAUCUUCGGAAUUGGUUUCUAAUCCUACAUUAGUGCAACUGGGCUGGCACAAAAUAUAGGAUAUAGAACCCCGGGUGGCUCACUUCUACCGACCAGUGACUACUGAGAAUGUCGAAGAUGGUGUACUGUUCAUGUCAUUUGGUUUCGGAAAAACAUGUAAAAUUUGAAGAUGCAAAGGAAAGACUGAUGAGAUUGAAGUGGAGGAGAUUAGAAGACGAGAGCACUAAAAUUCCCGCGUAUGGAGCACAAUAUUAAAGAAUGAAGGGAAAUGGAACUAUUAACAUGAAAUGACUAACGAGUGUCUUUAAAAUAGUUUUAUGUAUUAUUUUUUUUCUAAUUCGGGAAAGUAUCUAAAUGUAGAAGAAAAAUAAAUAUGAAUGUGUGUAUUUAGAUAGCAAAUUAAGUGUUGUAAUGAGUAGGCUGAUUGAAAAAAAACCCAAACUGAAAAAAUAAGCAUCAAAUUUAUCCCCGUGAUUGAGGCAUUAAGAUGGUGACAACCACUCCAAACAUCACUUUCUCCCAUAUCUUUACUCCUUUAUACCAAAUCAAAAAGUAUAAUAUGCUAUUGGAUAAAAGAUCCUUUUUUUUAUAAAUAUAUAUAUAUAUUUAUUUGGACCAAAUUCGAAGAGUCAUACCCAGGUCUUUAUAUUACAUGACCUCCUCACACGAGUUUUCCUGACGGAACUAAGACAGGAAAACAGGGAGAGGAGAAUUAUAUAUAUAUAUAUAUAUAAAUGUGUAUUGGGAUCUUUUUUGUCCCCCACAAACCAAAUUCCUGCCAAAUUUAAAAUAGAUCUCCACAAAUAACGUAAUAUAACUUUCCUGGAGGAUGGCAAAGCAGGUUGUAAUUUGGUCACUGUCAAAUCAACAGUACAGUCAUAGCAAGUUGGAUUGGUUAUUAGUACUAAACUAGCCACUAAUUAUUGUUUAAUUCUCUCAAGCUACUAGUCAUUUGGCUUUCGUAGCGAGUAAUUAAAUGACAAACUUAUUGGAAUUUGUUUCCGGUUAUUUGUAAAGAAAGUAUGAACAACUUGGGAUUAUUUUCCUAAUGGUUUUGUAGGUUUUUCAAAUUACUACUCAAAUUUGGUUACUAGUAACCAACCAAGUGACAACUAAUCUAGUAAAUUUUCAAUGUUACCAGUAACUUUCCUCAGCUUUACUAAUAAUUUAGGCUAUUAGUAGUCUUCCAAAUCACAACUGGUAACUAAGCUUUGACUGCUAAUAACCCUUUUUUUUAAACUUUUAAUUGAGUACGAUUUCAGCAUGGCCCUUUCGGCAUAUUUUCUAACGCCUCCUUUUUUUGUUUCAAUGCGACGAUGCCUGCUAAUCCUGCUUUUUUUUUUUUUUGACAAGAGGCCUCGAGUAAUCCUCUCCAUUAACUUUACCGGGUCCGGGGCCUCUACAGAUGCAGGGCCAACCAGCCCCCGCGUUGAAUGGCCCAAGAUCGCACAGGAACGAAUUUUGAAAUCAGUGACCCAGAUCAAGACGGGCCCCUCCAGCCUGAUCAUGGGCCAAUCACCUGGACCAGCCCCUCACCCAAGUUUGCCUCUCGAGGAUUUGUAGCCUUCGCCGCAAUUGACAAACAAAAAUACACGGAAGCCAGCAUGAGGGGCCGAAAAGCAAAGAAUUUAACAAUCCUUCUUGGUAACCAGUAUUGUAUUUUGUUAAAAGCUGAUGACUAAAAUGCAGUAUUUUCACAGUAACUUCCUUCAGCAUUAUCCAACAUAAAGGAACACUAUCUGGAUUCUAUAUUACACACUGAAAUUCGUCUUUAAACAAAGAUAUGUGAAAGCUAGUUCAUAAGUUUUCACAAUCAAAAAUGUAGACUAAGAUUAUCUUUACCAUGAACAGUAUCCUUGAGCAAAAAUCACUAACCAAGGGUUACUUAAGCUCAACGAUCCAAUCCAUUUUAUCCUCCGAGAUUCCCAUCUGCAAACUUGUUAGAGCAGAAUACAAUUGUUGCGCAACACGACCAACACCAUCUGCUCCGUAGGUCACCCUGCACAGUAAAGUAGGGAGGUGCCUUAGGGAACACAAAUAUUUUGAAGUCCACUUGGGAGUAAAGUAGUGGAAUAAUGAAAGGACGGGAAAAAUAACAUCUCCUGCUCACAAAAAUUAUCGACAAAUGGGGCGAUAUGUAGCACGUGCUAAAUGACUAAAAACAGGAUAAUAGACAAUGGGAAUGCUACUGGUAGAAAAGAAGUGAGUGAUAGCGGACAAAAUGAGUAACCUCCUAAAAUGCCCCUUUCCAAUCAUACCCUCAUUUUGUCAUCCUACCAGACCACUCCUAUUUUAGUUCUCAGCACCAUCUCCCUACUAUGUCUCUCAAAUCGCAUACUUAAAGAUAUGAACACAUGCAUAAUCAUAAAUAAAUACUUGAGAAAAUCAUCAUGAAGUAACAUCUUUGAAGUGAAAAACAAAGGUAAAACAAUUUCUCAUGGAUUUAUGUAUUGUGGCAAGCUUAGUGGUGAUGAUGCUUUGCCCGUACAGAGCAUAUUAAAAACUGUUCAAGUGAAGAUAAUUGGGUUUGCAACAGGGUUUGCUUAAUCCUUGAUUGUGAGGGUUUGGUGCAAGGCUUGUAUUGUUGGUGAUGAGAAAAAUGUAACUACUGUUUUUUUCCAAGCUAUUCAUGGCACAAUACAGGUGCAUUAUCAUGAAAGAGGAACAAGAAUUUGGGAGGAUCACACAAUCAAGAAGUGGAAAAUAAGGCAGGAAGAGAGUCUAGGGUGUUGUUUUAGCUUUUCAAAGUAGAGGCUGAUAGUGGCUAGAAAGAGGAAGGCAGAUAACUCGCCCUGAAUGCAGCAAUGGUUUUGCAAUUGAAUUUUCUGCCUUUGCCUUUCUCUGAAGAUGUGGAUGUUGACCAUAGCAGAACGUAUAAUCAGUAAGGUAACACACAGACGAGGGUACAUGUGAACCACAAAAACUAUUAAGUAACACCGAUAGUUACCUUUUACCCUGAUAAGUUAUGCUUCCAACAGGAGACACGACAACCGCUGUUCCUGUGCAGAAUACUUCAUCUGCAUCAAGCAAUUCAUCCACACUGACUGACCGUUCCUCAACCUACAUAUAUUAGCAAAUAAGCUUUCAAUAGCUUACAGCAGCUGUAUUGAAAAUCCAUGAGUCUAUCAGCAGCAAAGAACUCGAGUCUAUCAGCAGCAAAGAACUCCAGCUCAGCAAGGGACAUCAGUGGGAAAUUAUGGAAAGAAUUAAACAGGAACUAGUGUUGUUUUCGAUAAAAAAGAAACCGCAACAAAAUGUUUUGUCACACACGUUUCUAUCAAGCUAUAGUUUUAACGCUUGGGAAAUGUUCUAAUAUUUUUAUUAGCUGUAGAUCAAGCUGGAAUAUGAGUAUAAUGUCAAAUCACUGACCAAUCAGGCUCAUGAAUUGGCUUGAUCUGCAAAUUGCAGAAAAAAGCUAGCAUAAUAGUCUCCACAGUGCCAGAGGUUACCUGGAAGCCUUGGCUAAGAGCAACAUCAAGUAUGCUCUUUCGUGUAAUGCCAGGUAGGAUAGUUCCUUUUAUUGCAGGAGUUGAAAUGACAUUUCCCUAUAGGAAGAGAAUUUGAAUAGUAUCAAUAUGUAUCACUAAAAAAGGUUCCUUGGUAAAAGGUUCACAUAUUAUCCCGGUCAUGUAAUUAAAUAAUUGUUACGUGUUUUUUGGAAAUGUACAAAACCGGUUCUAUUUGUCCCAUCAUGAAUCAAGAAAGGCCACAAGGUAAUAUGCAUCUGACCAUGAACAGUGUACCUUCACAAGAAAAACAUUGCAAGACGAGACCUCUUCUAGAUAUCUCUUAUGAACGCUGUCAAGGUAGAGAACAUCAGAAUAGCCUUUGGCUUUUGCAGCACUCUGGGCCUUUAGGACCUACAAAUUGCAAGCCAGAAGAUCCUAAAGGUUUUAGCAAUUUCUAGGCUAAUCAAACACACAACAUCGCGAUCCACUCUUUUAGUGAAAAGGAAGAAUGUGGUUCUACAGGUAAUACAGCUUGAUGCUAUCAAAAUUACACCUUAUUGACAGACUGAAUAACAAAAAUACCAGAACCAGGAGAGUAGCUUACCGCAGCAUAAUUCCCAAUAGUCUUGACACCUCCAGUACCGCCUGGAGUUGCACGAUGCAUGUCAGUCUCAACUAUCAAGUUUAUUGGUGCCAAACCUUCCUGGGAAUAAAUUAAACAUAAAACCAUAGGGCAGUUAACAAAUCCACCAAUAAAAAAAGUUAACACACACCUCAACUAGGAUAUUUGCAAAUACAAGUACAUAGGAAUAGACAGUGUUAUAAUUUGAUUACCUGAAAAGCAAAUUUAAAUCAUUCUUGAGACAAAAGACUACCAUGGUAGAUCAGUUAACUGGCAUAAUAUAGUCAAGUUGACUAACAUAAUAUGAAAAGCUGGCUUUUGUUUCCAAUCUGUCCUAUUAGUUCGCCAUCCAACCCACUAUCCAUUUAGAAACCAUAUUCUUGUAACUUUUUUAUUACCCUACAUUCAUGUUACUUGUAUCUACCUAUUAUUAUUGCCUUUUUAGAAGUGAAUAUUAUGUAGUUCUCAAAAGAUAUCAUCAGCUUUCCAAUUACAACUAAUUCUGCAUUGAGAUGUUUAAGAAAAAAUCCAUCUUGACAUUCACAUUCUUCUUUGUUACACUAUACUAUAGUCAUGUUUUGUCUCAGUUACUUAAAAGUGAGUCCCACAAAUAUUGCAUUUUUUUGCCUAUAUUAUAGGUAUAGUGAUCAACAAAUUGUUCGAUAUCAUUCAAGAGCUUCUGGUUACUUCUCCCUGCCAGUCUCAGCAGAAACUUCCAGGGAUGUCAGCUUGAAAGCAAUAUAAAGUGCCAAAAAUCACCAUAGCAAAUGCAUAAUAGCCAACAGGCAAAAACUGAUACCUUAAAAUAGUUGCCUACAGGUGAUACAUAUAUUAGAAAUGUAUACUCUGGAGCUGGUGCCAGACCAAGAACAGCGCCACUCCCCAUCAGCAAUGGUCUGAUGUACAAGGAACCUUUACCUGGUGGAGGAAUCUGGAAAGAGGCGGAGCAACAAGCAAAGAAUUAACAUGAGAGACACAAGAGCUAGCCAUGGAGAAAGGUUACAUGCCACAUUACCCAUCUUUUAUUAGCCAAAACAGUGACUUUUACAGCUUCCACAAACUGUUCAACAGUUGGUGAAGGCAUGCACAUACGUUCUGCACCCAUCCGCAACCGCAAACCAUUCUCCUCAGGACGGAAAAGUAAAAUUUUGCCAUCAUGUUUUCUAUAAGCCUUUAGACCUUCAAAUAAACCCUACAGACAAAUUACAAUAAAACAUCCUCUAUACACUUCAAAGUAUGUGAACAAAACAACCAGAUCUUGAACAAAGAACAAAGAACAAAGUCUAUAAACUGUCUAAAAAUUUAAAAGGAAAACGAAAAACACGCUAGGCACUGUUUACGCUACAGAAAAACUAUGGAAUUAAACAAAAAACAGUAGUAGACAUUAUAAAGUUAUAUUAAACUCGUUCAUGCAACAACGAUAAAGCUCUUAAAGGAUUACCUGUCCGUAGUUUAAGAUACCAGCUGAUGGGCUCAACUCAAUGUUCCCAAAACGCUGCAAUUCGCCUUUUGUAAAGUUUUCACCUUGAGAACAUUUCAUGACAUACAUAUAAUCAGUAGACAUGAAGCCAAAGCCAAGGUUGUCCCAGUCGAUGUCAGCUAAUUCAGUGGUCACAUUGCUGUAAUUGAAAAAAUUCAACUUCACUAAAAUUGAUUUUUCAGCACUCAAAAUGAAAGUGUAUGAAUGAAGGUUCACUUGUAAGAUGUUAUCACAGACUAAACCUCAACAAAAGCAAGGAAAAAUCUCCUGAUCAUCAUUCACGCAUCACAUAUUUUAUUUUUAAUUUCAAUCAUCCAAACACACUCUCACUAGCUUAUCAACUCGUACUUCUGGAUCGCAGUGAUGGUGUGCUCAAAAUCAGAUUUAACAUCCAUUCCAUCUCAAUAAUCAAAAGCCAAACAUUCUGAUGAAGGAGUAGGAUUCUAAUGUUAUCGGUCCGCAAAACUUCACAUCUGCUUCUCGAUGGGCUUUAAUUGUAGAAAUAUUGAAUCUUUAAAAGUAAGGAAUGACAUGCAGUAAGAAACAAAUUGUGUCUUGCCAAAGUUUCUAGGUCCAACUUAACAGCACAUCUUGAAGAUUAAGCAGCACAACUAAUUCUGACCAAAAAAAAAGGAACAGCGUACCUUGUGGGAGAGGCCACGCGCGAAGUAGUACCAUUAUUGUUACUGGUAGUACGCAAUGCAAAAUGUGAUUGCUUUUGCAGCUGCAUUUCAUAAUAAAUAUACUAUCAAUUAGUCAAAACUCCCAUGCAAAAACAAGCAAAAAAAAACUAGCAUAGCAUAAAUAAAGGGGGCAAACCCAAGAAAGGGCAAAAAAUCUGCAUCGAUUAAUUACAGGGGGUUCAUUUUGAUUAGAAAGACAAUGCUCUGAUGAUGAUACCUUGAGAGGUAGGGAGAAAAGGUGUGUUUUUUCAGUGAAGAAAGGAGGGAGAAGCUUAAGAGCGCUUCUUGAUGGCCCCAAUAGUUGAUUUGGGGGAAUUGGGUGAAGCCCUGCAAAAACUGCGCAGUUUUCCAUUUCCUUCCCACUCCCUCGCUCUCUUUCCUUCGAUUCUCUCUCUCUCUCUGGUUUUCUUGGGUCGUCCUUGACCAAAAUGCUGCUCGGGAGAUGGAGGCUUAUAGUACCAAUUUGUCUACAGGGCAGUAAUAAAUAAGUACUUUGGUAUAGUUAUCAGUAUGGUCGUGUCGUGGGUUCGAAUCAGUAUAGUAAUAAUAGUAAUAAAAGACGUAAUUUGGUUGUCACGUAUGAGAUCUUUUGUCAGUUUUAUUUAGGGUAUUUGGUUUCCGUUUCAGGUUCAUUAGCUUCUUUUUCCUUCCUUUGGCCUGCGUCGUUGCCGCCGGCGGCCGUGUUAUAUUUUAUUUAAUCAAAGUCAUCCAGUCGUCUUAACUCUUAACACAUUGUACACAAGAAAAACUCUUAACACGUUAAUUGGGGACUGUUUGGCUUUGCCUACUGCAUGGGUGGUGGAAUCCCUAUCAUGGAACUUCCGUCUACUUAACAAUCACCUCUUUUAUUCUUGACACGUUUUUUACUCGAUUUUUUUUAUUUUUUAUUUCAUAUAAUCACAUUAUAAAAAUUAUUACAGUAAUUAUUUUACAUAAUAAUUCAAAUAAUCUCCUAUCCGAACACUCCCUGUUUACAUACCAAAACACUCCUACUAUCAAAACCAUAUUAGGUGCGUUUAUAUUGCCUUCUCAUAUUCGAUGAAGAAAACAACAUUUAUUUUAAGUUCAGAAAUAGGAAAUACUAUAGCACUACUUCUUGAGUUGAUUAAUAAAGCAGCUGUGAUAAUAUAGAAAAAUAAUUUUCUAGACUUGAAAUAGGUUUUACACUAAUCUCGCAUCAUCUCCUACUUAAACUUGUCAAUCGAGCCUAAUGAAUCGGUUUUUCAUGAGCUCGAGUUCGGUUUAUUUAAUUUGUAACAUUUUCGAGUUUCGGGUUAUGAGUUUCGAGUUAAUAAAAAUGAAACUCAUACUCAACUCAUAAUAUUUGGAUUGUGAAUCUCAUUCGGAUUUAGUCCAAACUCACUUAUUACUCCUUAAUUUUCUUAAUAUAAUUACUAUAACUAUUAAGUUGUAAAACUAAUUUAACAUUUACAAAAUUACAACAUUAAAAUUAAACAUGAACAAGUAAUAGUUUUUAAAAAGCAUAUAAACCAAAAAAAUUUCAUCAAUAUUUAUAUCUAAUUCAUUUAAAAUACAUGAAAAUAGUAACAAAACAUGCGAUCAUAAGCCAAUAUAUUUUCAAAGAUUGGAAUUUCUUUAUAGCCUUGUGAUUUGAAUCCAAACAUGCGUGAUGAUUUGUUCUUCUAGACCCAAAAGAAAUUGACCAAUAUUAUUCCAACACAAAAAUUUACUCAACUGAUAAGAAAACUUAGAGAUUCAGUUAUACAUUACUAAUAUUGGCUUUCAAAAAACUAGUAGAAAAAUCUUUAGAUGUAUUUUUGUGUUUUGUAAUUUAUAUGUAUUUAGUAUUUAGUAAUAAUAUAUUUGAAUAUAUAAUUAUAUAUAAUAUAUAUAAAUAUUAUAUAUAUAAGUAAUUAAAGAGCCGGACUUAUAUCGGAUUUGAGUUUAAUGAGGCUCAAACUCGACUCAUAUUUAAUUCAAGCCUAAUUUUUAAAUUCAAACUCGGACCGACUCACUAAAAAAUCGAGGUCAUUGGGCUUUUUCUCAGGCCGCAUAAAUCGAGCUCGAACUGGUUCGAUCUCGAACUGGUUCGAUUCCAUUGAUAGUCCUACUCCUACUCUCUUGAAAGAAAGACAAAAUGGACUAGUUAAAAAAGUAAUGGCAGUUUUUUUCCUUCCUACAAGAUUAGUUAAAGAAUAGUAGGUGUUUGGUUAUCUUUUUGAACUCCCAAGAGCAAAAAGGCAUUUAAAAAUCAUGUAACAAGAAAAUGACGUCAUUUUAUGUGGAAAUUUUUUUUGCCCUGACAAACUAGGGGAAAGAUCAAGUCCACUCUUUUUGUAAGUCAAACAUCAAUCGGCCAAACAGCCGCCCACUGCUCUCCCACUUCUGAGUGAUCUAAAUUACUGGGAAAAAAAUUUACUAAACUUUCUUUUUUGGCCGGUGAACUUGAUCGUUUUGUUGUUAUUAUUACUUAGUUGUAUCUCAACUUUAUAUCUUUUUCCGCUAGUAUCUUUAUAUCUUCUUCAUUAUGCUUUCUCAGUGCGAUGGUCCCACGAAGGCUCAAUUUUAUAGUGUCAGCAUGCUCAUGCAUACAACGUAUUUACUUACACACGCAUAUGAAGAAAAAGAUUGACGAGUUCAACUAACAAUCACAGCUCUAUAUGAUUCAGGGCAAGUACUUGGAAUUUCUAACCUGCAUUGAUUUGUUUCCUCCACAGAGCUGAGUCUUGCACUAAAUCACAGCCACGGGGUUGCCUGAUGAUUAAGGAGUCCGCUCUAGCUCCCAAGGAUGACCUAUAACUAACUACAUAUAAAUACUUUGUAUACCGUGGGAACAGAAUAUAUGCUCCCCACUAACUCCUUAAUGAAUGGCAGCAGGCUGUGAACGGCAAAAUAAAUUUACAAAAGAGUUGGCAGCAAAUCCAUAAAAAGAGGGCGAGGAAAAUAUAAACUAUACUAUUGUGCAAUGAGGUAUCCGAUUCUCAGAUAUCAAAUAUUGUAAAAACUAAACACCACGAAAUACCAAGGACCCCAGAGUUCCAAGACGGUUAAAUCCACAUCUAAGCACCACAUACUUCUCACUUGCAUGUCUACAUUACCAGCACAAGCACACACUGGUACAAAGUUAUGAGCUAAAAACCAGCACAACUAUACUAAAAACCUUCCUUUCAGCCAAGGAAUGCUAUCAAACACCUAUUAACAUCACCUACCUAACAAAAGCACGCAUGAUUAAAAGCUCACAUAAAGUAGCAUUUACAAGAUUAGUCAGCUUAGA
Molecule: long non-coding RNA, 105676 nt
Filed under: Coffea arabica (coffee)
Lineage: Eukaryota; Viridiplantae; Streptophyta; Magnoliopsida; Gentianales; Rubiaceae
Description: long non-coding RNA (CARA_LNC005202)
Source: RNAcentral